This 92945-nucleotide long non-coding RNA is filed under the name Lupinus angustifolius (narrow-leaved blue lupine). RNAcentral describes it as "long non-coding RNA (LANG_LNC001383)". Lineage: Eukaryota; Viridiplantae; Streptophyta; Magnoliopsida; Fabales; Fabaceae. The record is from RNAcentral.
UGGUGGUGGUGGUGGUGGUGGUGGUGGCGGCAUUGCUCUAACGUUUUCAGGGAAGUUGAGUUUUGCUCUGUUUCCUCUGAAUCUUAAAGCAGCUUCAUCAUAAGCUCUUGCUGCAGCCUCUGCAGUUUCGAAAGUUCCAAGCCAUACUCUUGCUGCUUUGUGUGGAUCACGAAUUUCUGCUGCCCAUUUUCCCCAUGGUCUCUGCCUUACUCCUCUGUAUCUUCUUCUCUCUUCACUACCACCUUCUUCUCUCACUGUUUCAUAUCAAAAUACUAAGCUUUUGCAUUAUCAUUCUUCUAUAUUAUCGUUGGAAAGUAAGUCCCACAUUGUCUAUCUCAUUCUCUCGGAAAUGAUUUAAAUGCAUGUUGGACUACUCCUAUCAUUAUGAAUUAGUUUUGAGAUGAAACUUUAACAAUUAUAGACUCAAUUGUAUAUCAUGAUGUGGUGAGGUGAGAUUAAUCAAAUAUUCAUUUCAUUUAUUGAUGUGGUCCAACAAUACAUGAUUGAUAUAGAACUAUAGAGUAAUGGUUGAUUAAGCAAAAUUUAGAACAUGCAAAUAAUGAAUGAUACCCCAUUUGGUUAUUUAGACUAAAAUUGAAGAGAAUGAGAUUUUGUUUAAAGCAAUUGCACCUGAAGAUGAUUCUCCUUGGGGUAUGAUAUUUUCAUGUUCACGCCCUCUUUUGUGUCCAACAGAACAAGACAAACUAGGAGAAGAAGAAUAGAAUGACAUCAUAGGAGAACCACUUCCUAUGACUAUGCUACUACUUUCAGCAGAUGCAGAAGGAGUUGAUACCACACGUGUCAUCCCCGAAACAAUGGCACUUAAAUCUCCUUCCUCCUCCUCCUCAUCGCUGCCGUGCUCCUCCGUCAACUUCCCUGAACCCCUUUGAUGCGCCACCGUUAUAAAGCACAUGUAAUCAAAACUCUUGUGUUGUGUAGUUGAUUCCUCCUCUUUCUACUUCUUCUCUGAUAAAGAAAGAAUGAAAGAGAGAAGAGUGAAUAUAUAAGACAAAUCCAACUACAUGAAUAGUAACCUUGUUCAAUAUAUAUAUAUAUAUAAUCAUACACCAUGCACACAAAUAUGAGAGUAAAAAUACAACAUACUGUAAUAAUAAAUUAAUAUAUAUUGAUAUAUAAUACUGUUGGGUCCUCCCUUAGAAAGAGUCUUUUUUGUACUGAAACUUAAUGGAGAUGGAACAUGGAAUUAAUGGAGAAAACAGUGAUCGUCUUUGAAUUGAGUUCCUACACCCAAAUCAGUCAAAUUUAUUUAAUAAUGUGAUUAUGUAUAGUCAUUCUAUUACUCCUCUUAUCCUUAUCAUAAGUUUAAUGAUGUAGUGUGACUCACAAAUUCUAUGGGAUAAUAAAAUCAUGUUUAUGUUUUUAUGUUUGGUAUUGUUUAACAUAAAUAUAAGAAUAUAUGAUAUUUCAAAAUUGUAUCACUCCAUAUCUUAUUAAAUAAUAUGAUCGAUUAGAAAAAAUAUUCAAGUUUAAAAUAUAAUUAUUAAUGUAAUUGCAUGGUCAAAACACUGGUCUCGAGGAACUCAAAAUGCAAUUUCGUGCAUGUUUUUCUCUCUAUUUAUUAAACGGAAAAUACUAAUCCUUGCAUAAAUCUUUUCAUGAAACCCAUGUCAUAUGUUAUGUCCAUCUAAUUUUUAUACCUAAACCAUGUUUAGUUUUUACACUUAUUACGUAGUUUUUGACAAUUUCGUUCUCACAUUUUCUAGAAAAAGAUGAGUAUAUAAAAAGGUGUAUGAGUUUAAAGUAUAAAAGUAACAUUUUUAUAUGAUUAAAUAUGGUGAGUUAGGCAUGAACGAACUGAACAACCAGAGUGUUGAAUUUGAAAAGAUGGUUUCGUAAUUGAACAAAUGAUGAAUCGGUGGGGUUUGUCCUUAUAAAGAAAAGGACACUCCCACGUUCUCCCACCCAAAUAAUUACGUACUAAGUAAUAUUUUCACACAAAUUCAUACACUUUUUUUUACAUAAUUUUUAUUAUAAUUAAUUUGACCAAUAUUUUAUGUACAUUUUUUUUAAUUUUAACGUUGCAUACUAUAUUAGGUAACUAGAUGUAAAAUGAACAUUUUCAAAAGAAGGUUUCUGGUUUUUGUGUACAUGAAAAUGUCAUAGAAUCAAAAGUUACACAUUCACCUACCCCUCACUUAUACAUACUUACCUUCCAAAUACUAUACAAGAAUAGAAAAAGCUCGAGUACGUGGUCAAGAAAAUAAAAUAUAUCUUUAUAACAGUAAAUAAUUUAUUUUUUAUAAUCACUAGUCAGUAUAAAUAUGACAUGUAUAUUAUUUUAUUUUAUAAAUAUUUUUAUAGAAAAUGAUUAAAUAUGAAAUAUUUCUAAGUUAAUAACUGUAAUUAAAAUCGGACACGACCAUUCCAUUCGACUAAAAUAAAAAAAUGGUAAUGAACCACAAUGAGUACAAAAACUGGUCAACCUAUUCUGAACCUAGUUGACCAGCUAGAAAUGUUGACUAUUGACCACGCGUACGGAAAAAAGAAUAUGGGUGAAAGGUUAAUCUAUGGGACUUAGUUUCUUAUAUUGUGUCUCAAUGCAUGUUACUUGUAGCACUAAAAGAGGUGCAAUGUAUGUCAACCCCACUCUCCCGCAAACAUACGAGUCAGACUCCUCUUUAAGAAAUGACAGUUAUAUUUUGAAGGACAAAAUUAUAAUAACAACGUAAAGUAAGGGAUAAUAGUGUUAUUGUCUUUUAAAUUUUUCAUGUAUUUUUAACUAACUGACUUAACAGAGAAGACAAGAAUGAGUCAAAUCGGCUUUGAAUUAGUGAGAACCAAUUCCAUUCAGACAAAUUGACUAGCUUGAAAUGUUGAAUGUUGAUCACGCGUACACACACAAAUGAGGAUGGAACAUUAAUCUAUGAGCAUUUGAUAGAUAUAUUCUUAUAUUGUGUCUCAAUCUUACUUCUACCACUAAGAGAGGUUCCAACAAAUGUCAACCCCUCCUCACGUAUAUACAAAAAAGAAUAAGUGUCUCUUUACAAACUAUCAUUCCAAUUUCGAAUUGAGUUUGUGAUUUUAUGUUUGGAUUGUACCAAUAACCAACAACAACUUGAGAAGGGAGCAUCUUUUGUUUUGUGUUUAAUGCGAUUUUAAUUGAAUUUUCCAAACAUAGAAUUCUAAUUCAAAGAGUAAGAUGUCAAAUUUGAGUUUAGGUAAAUUCAGUUUAAUGGCCUAAUUUAAUGACCGAUUUCACACAUCUAGUCACCAUAAUUACCAAAUAUAUCAUCGAUCAUUCAUUUUUAAUCUUGAUUAACUCUUGAAUAAAAAUAAUAUAAAUGAAUGAUGUUUUGACUGUAUAAAAAUUUAUACAAUGUCAACGCAUAAAUAUUAUGCUCUAAUUUAUAAACAUUCGUUAUAUAUGUGCAUCGAAAAAAAAACUCAAUAAAGUGUAUCUUAAGGAAGAUGAUUGGCGUUGCAAAAAAUAAAAUAAAAAGGUUAAUACCCAAUAACUUCUAAGUAACAUAGCUAGUAUGUACAUUUUUUUAAUAACCCUAAUACAUACUACAUUCUAAUCAUUAUUACAUGACUAUACAUGUAAAAGCACUAACAAAAGCAAAAACACCUACAACAAAUAGAUUAUAUAAGUUUUAGAGUAAUGAUGGAGAAAUCAUAAAAAUUGGCAAAGAAGGCAAAAUUUAACAAUUCUUACAAAAUUUAAAAUAAAUAGUACUAUUAAAUAUUAAUAGUUAUGUAAAAUCGAAUGUAAUCAAAAACCAAUUAUAUCAUAUAUUUUACAAAAAUAAACAUGGUCAUUUUUUAUAAAAUAAAAAAACACAAAAAAAGACAUACUUUAAAUUAGCCAUAAAAAAUAUUCUAAAAAUUUGGUAGGAAUAUUUGAAAAUUUAGAAGGAGAAGAAAUCUUAUUAAAUUUGUUUUUUGGGUUGCUGCCCUUAUUUUGAUGUAACUAGUUAUUUUGUGGAGGGAAACGUCCCAACCCUUAAAUCAUUUCUAAAUAUGUGGAAUCAUGAACCUAUUCGACAAAGAAUUAGGCAGAUAGGUUUUUUCCCCAACUUGAACGAUGCAAAAUAGCUGGUAGUAUAACCGAAAAUCGAAGAAACAUAUAACAUUUAGAGAUAAGUGUAUUUAUACUUAUUGAUGUUAUCAUUUAUAAUUAAAUUUUAAUAAUAAUUAAACUUUUUAAUAUAUUGACAAGAUUAAUUUUUUAUCUCCAUAUAUAUACGUCUUUGUACAAGUCUUUCUCAAUUGUUAGUUGAUACCUUUCUGUUUUUUUGUUUUAUAUUAAUUGUAAGUGUAGACUAAUAACUACACUAGUCAUUCCAGCACCGACUGUUCCACACGUGUAUCAAUAUCUCCCGCAUAAACUUCAUCUUUCAUUUUCACGACCAAAGGACCAUCUUCGGUGCAUUUCAUCAUUUAUCUUCUCCGCUUAUAAAAAAGAAAAUGAUUGUUUUGUCUCAUAUUUUUAAUGAUAAAAAUGUGAUUUAAUACUAAAUAAAAAGAUAAAAGUGUUAUUAUAUAUUGUAUUUCGUGUAUUAUUUUGUGUUAUUUGUCUCUCCAUUAAUGUAGAUCAUUCUUGCUCAUUUCAUUAAUGCAAUAUAUAUCAUUAAUUGUGUUAAGAAUUUAAAUUGUAAGUUGCUUUCUGAUUAAUUAAGCACGUGUUUUAUUGUGUUGUAAUGUACUUUAAAAUAAGUUUGACAUUUUCUUAUUAAAUAGGAGUAGCAUAGUACAAGAGGCUAAGGGAAUUAUUUAUCUAAUUUUUAGUUUUUUGGUGUACAUUAUCUAAUUUAGUUAAAUAAUGAAUAAACAUAAUAGAGAUCAACAUGUGUUAUAUUAAAAGAUUGUAUUAUUUUAUGUGAUACUUCUUCUGAUUGGUUGAAAAAUUUAUAUUUAAUUUUAAAAUUUAAGAAUAAAGUAUUUUCUUGAGUAAUUAAAAAAGUGAUACGUGAAGUGACAUACUUUUUGGGAUAGAAAAUAUAUAUAAAGAUAAUCUUACAAAUUAAAAAAAGGCCUCUUAAUUACCACUAAAUAUUGGUUUAGGAAAUUGACGUACGUAGUGAAGUGUGAAUGGGAUGAUUGUGUUAUAAGUUUGGUGGGUGGAAGAGGAGAUAGAAUUUGAUCAGGUUCAAUGGUCAUGUCUGAAAAGAACCAAAACGACAACACAUAACUUCAUAAUCAUUAAUCUAACAUCUUCAAUGGGACCAAACUAGAGGCAACCUAUUAUUCAUUUCCAACAUGUGUAAAAAUGAGGAUAAAUUAUCUCUUUUAAAAAAUAAAUUUGCGUGUAAAUGAGUAAGAAUAGAUGCACUUAUUAUUAAUUUAAUGCAAUCUUAUUAAUAUUUUAAAAAAUAUAUAAUGUUCUUAUGAUCAUCAACGAUCAAGAGUAAACUUGUAAUAGGAUUAUUACAGCCGAAUUUCGGUCCAAGGAUUAUAAUUUAUGUGAAAGACAAAGAAAAGAUAUUGGAUAUGUUCUAGUACAAGAUUUUGGCCGUCCAAAUUUGGGGAGGAUAUCUUUUUGUCCGAAAAUAAUGUACUAUUUUAUAUAUCAUUACUUAUGAUUGGUAAAAAAAAUAUAUUUAAUUACUAAAAAAUUAAUUUAAAUAUAUUUUUCAACCAAUCACAAAAAAUAGUACAUAGAAUGUCAUAUUAUAUCAGAUAGUAGAUGUGUUCCUCAAACUUUAUAGAGUACGAACUCUUUAAUUACUCACGCAUGGGUGCACAAAAACUUUUGGAGAAGCAUAUAUAUCAUUGCUUCCCAUGCUAGGUUCACACUUUAGGUUUUGAGAAUAAUGAUUACCUUUGGUGAAUUUUGAUACAUUGAAGUUAGAUAUGCUUUGGGUAGAAGGCAUCACUUAACUCAGUUUCAAAAAAUUGAGAUUUGGGUUGUGUUGGAUCCAACCUUUGAAAUCUUGUUUUUUUGUUUCUUAUAUGUAUUUUUACACUGGAUACAAUCUUAUCCUAUCCGAGAAUAUUUAUAAAUAUGUAAGACUAACUCUACCAGUGAUAUUAACACGGUAAAUAUUUGUAUGGCGAUUAACAUGGUAAAUAUUUGUAUGGCGAUUAUUUUAAAGUUUUUGUUGGUGUUUUUGGAUUUAUUAUUCCUAAUUUAAAUGGGAAAAAGUUGGAUGUUUGGACAACACUUUCCAAAAAGAAACAUUCUUUUCCAUUCAACUUUAUUCAGAAACCCUAAAAGUUUCUCUUUCUUAAUCUCAAUCCUCUCCCAACCCUAACACCAAACUAAAAUAAUUACACUAGGUUGAUAAUUGACAUUACACAGUUUCCUUUUUUGAAAGGCUUCUAUAUUAAUACGCGUGUAUAAUUAGUCAUUUAUUUUUUUAUAAAUUAGCUGCAUGCAUGAAAGUGAUGAAAUCCUUUACUAAUUUUGUGCAUUUUUUAUUUCAAUCAUUAGUUGCUCCGUAAAACUUCAAGUAAAAAAAUAAGGCUUUACUCUUUAAUGAUGAUGUAUGAAUAAUUAAUAUUUGUCAUGUUUUUAUAGAGAAUAAUCAUCUAACAUGAAUCUUUUAUAUGUAUCACUUCAUGUGUUAUUGAUAAUAAACAGUCAUCUCAUUAGAAAUUUUAAUAACUUAUUUUUAAUAGAUAUUAAUUUAUUUUUUAAUAGUGACAAAAAAGUGGUAGUAAUUAUAAAUAUAGAAUUUUUUGUUUCAAAUUAUCCAAGAUAUAACAUAGAAAAACACCUCAUUUUUAAUGAGUAAGAUGUGUGUUAUAUAACACCUCAGACAUGCGACCCCCGGACCUAUGAAUACACCAAGCAUACUACAGAUAAUACCUAAUACCUGAGUUUUGACAUGCGACCUCCUAACCCAUGAAUAUACUGUGCAUAUCACCUACAAGCUUAGAUACUAUUGCAGUAUUUUAUUCCCACAAAAGGGAGUCUACCGCAACUAAAACUCAUGACUUCAGAGACAAAUACCAUGAGUAAUACCAUGAGUAACUACCGUUAAACUAUUGAUGUCGUGCUCAGUAUAUUCAUAGGCUCACGAGGUCAUGUCUUACAUGUUAUAUGUUUUAAGUUGGGGGAUGACAAGCAACCCCUCCUGUUAAGGAUAAGACCAAAAGUCAAAUCCUAUUCUCAUAGCAAUGCCUAAAUAAAGAGAUGGCCUAUGCUUUGAUAGGUACAUGGUUUAGGAUAGAAACUUUUGACAUGCAUUGAGAAUAUAAUAAGAUGAAAGAUAAGUCUGAGUUUGAAAACACAAUGUACAGUUUAAAAAUAUAAUCUCUCAUUUGAUCACACUCCUUUCUAUUCUCCAAGACUAAUCUAAGGAAAUAGUGAUGGAGAUAAGAAGAUUAAUGAUUGGGAGAAAAAAGGGUCAAAGAGCAUGUCUUAGUUAUGAGUAAAACAUAAUAAAGAACUUCAUCAUCUGCAUUAAGAAAGUAUCCUUUCCUUUAUCCAGAAUCCUUCUCCCUAACACAAAUAUCAUAUGUUCUGUAGCUGAGAGAAGGAGAUCCGGACUACCAAGCCCGAAAUCGAGGUUGCGUGCUUGCAGACGAGAGCUUCAGUUGCCUGCUCUUCAGUCUCGAACUGAACAAGAGCCUGCUUUUUCCCAUUCAUUUCGAAGACCUUGCAGUUCAAAAUGGUUCCAUGGUCCUCUACUAGGUUGACAAUAUCCUCUUCGGUUAUGUCUUGUGGGAGACUGGAUAAAUGGAUCACCCAUGUUGGAGAGCAGCAGUAUCGGUAAUUCUUUGCAGCAUUACGAUUGAAACGAUUUAGGUUUGAGUUGGCAUACUCGCGUGUAUCAGCACCUUGGAGUAUGGUUGCGUGCUUUGAGAAGUUCACCUCUAAUUGUCUCUCAAAUAACAAUGCUCCCUGUAUCUCAGUAAAAAUGGUUCGGUGAUUAUCUUUAAAACUAAAGGAGGAUCCAACAAAAAUACAAUGUAUAUAUGAAAUCACUGCCAAGCCAGUAUAGAAAAUUGAAAAAUGCAGUUCACAAUCUUCUAUGUUUACAUUGAACCAAAAGAAACUAUCAACUAAAUACGCGAUGUUUAGCUUAUUCAAAUUUAAAGAGUGACAUUAAACAUUCUCAUCUCUUAAGGAUAUUACAGCUAUGAUUUGUAUCAAACAUGUUUAACAUCACCAUCUCAGAAGCAUUGGCCAAUACUGGUUAUUCAAAUCAAUGCAUGCAAAAAUCAAACAACAAAUAAUAUCACAGAUGAACAAUAAAUAUGAAAUACACAAUGCUUUUUAUAGUAAAAAAAUCUUUAGAAUAAACAGACAUUAAUUAAGUUUCCUCUCCUUAUAAAAUAUAUCAUUCAAGUUCAGUCUUGUUCCAUAUACAAAGGCCUCGAUAAAAUAUAACCAUCAAUAAAUGAAGUUAAUCUUAAAACUUGGGUAAAAGAUUUGCAUAGACCCUGGUAGACAAUGACAAAAGAUAUGGUAGAAACUUCCAUUUUCUUCUAGUGUGAAUGUACAAUUGUAAGGGUUUGGUAAAAAACAUACACUUCAAAAUAAAUUUGUUAUGAACAGAAUGCUUACCAUAAAUUUUCAUGGGAAACCCAAAUAUUCAAGAUCAAUUAAAAACAGACAUGUGAAAAUUAAAUGCGAUUCUGCUCUUAUCAAACUUUCCUCAAGUUCAGAAUAACUAAGUAAACUUGGAUUGUCUAAUGCGUAGUGGCUAUUGUUGACGAAAAGUAUUGACUUAAUAUACAAAAUAAUAUAUAGCCAGGAACAACUAUAAAUAUUAUAACAAACAACGAUAAUUUCUCCCUUGAGUAAAAGAUAUCACAAAGACCUAGUAUAUCGGUUAUGUAUGAUCAGCAAGGUAUACGUGAAACAAACCUUCAGAAAGUGUACUGCCAACUCAGCUUGGAAACCAUCUCCCAUCUGGACAAGUGCAUGAUCUGGUUUGUUCCGGAGAAGUUUAAUUCUCACAAUGUUCCCAUAAAUGGAGAACAAGUUGAACAGUUUAUCCUCAUCUAUUCUCUGAAACAAACAAACAAAUUUCAAGCUAAAUACAUACUCACAUAGGGAUUGAACUUUCUAGAUAAUGCCAGACAAAGUGCUUACAUCGGGAUUCAGAUUUGAGACAAGAAUAGUACAUCUUUCAUUUUCCCCAGUUAUCCCAGGAGGCAAGUUUCCUCCAAAGGCCGCUGUAAUGGCAUCAGCAUUGCCGAUCUAUAAUUCAAUAAAUAAAUAAAUAACAAAUAUAUAGAGAUCAAAAAGAAAAGAAAAAGAAAGAAGUUCACUUGCAUGUAUGUCUGCAGUUGGUUUACCGAAAACAUCAUAGUAAUAUGCUCAUACUAUUAUGUUGUUUAUCUCAAAAUGAAAGAAAAUCCCACACUUCAAGUAGCAAAAAUCCAACAAACUCACAACUGCCUCUCCCAAUCACACCCCAUUUUGAAAAAGAAAAUCAAAUUAAAGAAAUAAAGCCUUAUCAUUGAAUGAUUAUGCGGGAAAUCAACAAAAAAUCCUACAAGUUGGUGGUUACUAUGAUGUUUUCAGCCGACUUACUGAAAACAUCAGAGUAAUAUGUUCAUACUAUCAUAUCAGAAAAUCCCACAGUCCAAGAAGCAAAAAUCCAACAAACUGACACCUGCCUCUCCCAACUACACCCCAAUUUGAAAAACAAAAUCAAAUUAAAAAAUAAAGCCUUAUCAUUGAGUUAUUUUGUUGGAGAUCAACAAAAAAGUCCUACAAAUUGAUGGUUACAAUCAUACAAACCUGAUGUUCUGUACAUCCAUAUUUUAAAAGGAUAAGUAAAAGACAUCAACCAUCAUACAAAAAACAAAGCUCGGAUGGGACUUCAACUUGGUGCAAAAAAUACUCACGUGCGAAAGUCCAGCUGAAAGGGGAAAAGGGGGACAAACGUUAUUGAACAAUAAAAAAAUGCAAUAUGACAAAUAAACCAAACCAGCCAAAGCAGUUUAAAAUAAAUUGAAGUACCUGCCCUGGCGCCAGACCCAUACAUGUUUCCUGCAUCGAGCUGUUCGACAGGAGAUUAAGGGUAAAAGAAUAUUAGAUUGGAUUUAACAAAGACCAACAAUAAGAUUUGAUUCAUAAGUAGAUAAAUAUGAAACAAACAGAACAUACUUGUGAAGGUCUGCCUUUCUGCUCGACAGGAAGAUUUGGGUUCGUGAAGUCUCUGUGAAAGAUGAGGAUGAAUAAAGUCGGAAACACGUGAUAAGAUGUUAAAAAAGAGGUUAACAAAGAAAACAAAAACAGAAAAACAAUAACUGAAUGAAUCACCUUGAACGGUCAUUAUUGUAGUUCACUUGUAAUUCAUCAAGGCUGCAAUUAAGAUGAAUUAGACAACCAUAUAAGAAAAUAAAAUAAAUAAAAAACAAAGAGAAAGAAGAGGAAAAGAUAUAAGGUUCAGGGUAAUAUAGACUCAACUCACACGAGCAUUACAAAGUUUAAACCUACAAGUGUAAAAAUAUACAAUGAAAUCGUUUUGAUAAAUUUCACUUACUUUGAGAACUGAAUGUCCAGCUGACAGCAACCAUCAUAAACAUUGCGUCCCUGGAAAUUUCCAAAAUUUCAAUCACCAUUCACAGACAAUAUCAGAACUAACAAGCCAAGCCUAUUAAAGCCCCGGGCUAAAAGGAAAUGUUAAACAACCUGAAGUGCAUUUUUCGCAGUAACAGCACUCUGACGUGAUUGAUACUGAAUGAGAGCCUGACAGCCUACUCGGUUUGCAAAUACAUGAUGAAACAAUUAUUAGAAAACACAAACUAUAUAUGCAUAUAAUAUAAUGAUAAUUUUACGUUCAUAAAAAUGCAAUCAUAGUCCUCAACAAUAAUAAUAGGGCAAAGGCAUGACCAAGUCUUGUCCUGCUAUACAAGUCGGCUACAUGGAUUAAUCAACACGAUUGGGUUCUUUCAAAAAUAAAACUUUUAGUAAAAGGCUUUGUUAUUUAAAUACAAAAUGACGGAGUAAAUGGUAUAUCUCAAAAUAAAUUAUUCAUGACCAAAAUAUAAUCUCGAUCCACAAGGAUAAAAAAAUAAUCAGGAAAGAAAGAAGAGAAAGGGAGAAAUAUGAGGAGAGCUGACCAGCUGACUUCUGAAAUGUUACAAUCUUCUCCACAGAUCCAUGGGGAGAAAAUACUCGAUGUAGCACAUCCACUGUCAUAGGAUACAGCACGUGAUGAAUUGUAACUAAGAGAAUUCGGUUUGGCUGCGCAUCCAGAGAGUUCACGACCACAGAACAGCAUAGAGAAAGAGAAGAAGAGACAGAGAAAGGAGAAUGAAUAGAGAAGUAAAUGAUAAAGAGUAAAAAACUAUGGAACACAAACAAUUUUACAAACUGAACCCAGUGAAUAGGAACAGUCUAAUAUAACAAUAAAAAUAUGCAUGGAUAAAAUAUCACAUAUAAAUUAAAGGUAAAUGCCCAAAAAUGGGGUAAAUAAUUAUUUUAUGCUUUAUUGAGCAAUCAAUAAGAUGAAGCAUGCAUUAUUCAAUUAAAAAACAUAAACACAAAAAAUACCAACCUCAUCUCCUCGUCCUUGAUUUUGAUCCAUUGGUGCGAGUUCCUGAUGUGAGGAAAACUGGACAUAAACAUUCCUUCCCCUAGAAUAAAACAAUCAGAUAAUUAAGAUUGUAAACAAAAUCUCAACGUCAAUGUGAAUCUGUGAAGGCAAGAUACUUCAAAAAUGGGAUGCAAUUCUAAGAAUCAAUGAAAAUGUUAGGAAUGGGGGAGCCCAAUGCAAUGCGAUAUUAGCAACAAAUUGGUAUAGUGAAUAGCCAAAUAAGUAGGCUUGCCACCACAACUUGACCCAAAAUCUUAAGGCAUUAGGCUUAUGGGUCUUGCCAUUUAUAUGGACUUGAACUUAUCCAUUCUAUUCCAACGUGGAACUUCUUUCUCCCACAUAACUCGCCCUUGGAAAUUCCUAAUGUUUUCUAACUGAGUUUUCUCGCCCUUAUAUACAAAAAACUUUUUUUUAAUUGAACUAAUCAUAGCAUUAGACAUUACUUUAGUAAAGGUGCUUUUAAAGUGUAGGCUAUUAGAUAGAGCUGAAACUUCUGAGUUGUACGCAUGCUCAAUACUAUGUAUAUGAGCUUCUUACAUGCGAAGAAUAAAGCAUUAUAAAUCUCUGAAUAUGACAUCAAAGAUCUUUAUCAAAACAAUAGUCAAGCAAACCAUGCAUGGUUUUGAAAGACAACUAAAGAGGCUAUGAAUACCUUAUGUUUGGCUGAACAUUUUCAUAAAAUUGUAAAGCACUAACUGCAGUAGCAACAUCUUGCAUUUGGAUCAGAGCCUGACAAUUUUGCACAUUGUACAAAGAAAAAAAAUGACAAAAUGAAACACACUUAAAAUUCUAAGGAGAACAGAAAGUCUCAUCCAAAGGCAUGAAAAAUAAAACCUGGUUUUUUGCUCGCAGCAUUACUAGUUUUGUUAUAACUCCAAAAGACUGAAAUAGCUGAAGCAAAUCAUUCUGCAAUCAAAGAAGGCAAAUAUUAUAAAUCAAGAUUUUUCUAAAACCAAGAGUUCAAAGAACAUUUUGAUGAGAAACUAACCUAUAUUUGUGAAGCAAACAGCAUAUAUAAAUAUAAAAAUUAUGAACUCAAAUACUCAUCUCAACUUAUGCAAUGGACAAGGGAUAAUCCGUAUUUAAUCUUGAUCACAAGGUAUCAUUUUAGAAUCAUUCUAGUUUGGGGACAGACACACAUUAGAGCAAACAAAAGGUGGUAGGAAUCAAUCAGGGUUGCCCAAUGUAUGAAGCUCCCGACUAGUGGGGUCUUUGUAGACAGCCUUACCCUUACAAGCGAAGAGGCUAUUUCCAGGGUUGGAAUCAAUCAAUGUAAACAACAGAGAACAACAGUAUACAAGAUGUUUAUGAACAAGUUAUUUCUUGAAAUAAUUUAGGGUUUGUUUGGUUCAUGUUCAAAAAUAAUCUGAUCAUCAUAGUAUAGCCAAUGCAUGAUCCUAUUAUCAAAACAAAUGGAAAAUAAAAACAAUAUAGACAUCCAACAAGAGAGAGAGAGAGAGUACUUCAGAUAUCUCCUGCCCCACAUUUCGAACAUGAAUGACCUUGGAAGGUUCAGCCAUUGUGAAUUAAUUAGCCUGUAAAAAGUAAGGACAAAAAAGUCACACUCAAUUACUUCAAGUUCAUUUUUUUUCUAGCCCAAUUUAUAGCAUCAAACUCAAUUAAUUAUCUACUUUGAAUCAAUCUAAAAACUAGCAAUUGAAGUUGAAAUUAACAUCACUCAUGCUUGAAAAUGCUCACUGAAACUGAACAGCACCUCAAAAGCAAGCAAAAGAACAUCACUUUCAAUUUAUCUAUUUUUUUGCAAAACACAGUUGCACUAAAUCAGAGUGCAAAACCCGAUUGUGGGGCUUUCACAGACUAAGUACAAAUAGUGAGUGAAGAAGAAAAAAAUCAAUUUUUUAUUUGAUACUGAAUGAAACUUGCAUACCCAAAUGGAGAACUGAAUCUAGGGAGUAGAGGAAUGAGCAAAAUCGCAAAAGAGAGAAAAAGGGUAUCUUCCAAAUACAAGCUCAGAGAUAUGAGCAAAAGCGAUAAAAAGUGAAAAAGAUAAAACGAGAAAACAUGCCUGAGAGACAGUGACAGAGAUAGACGAAUAGAGAGAGUGAGAGAGAGUGAAAUAGAGGAGUGAGGUGAGGUGAGGUGAGGUGGGUGUGAAUAAUGAUGUCAAAAAUGAGAUUAUGAUGCCAUAUCUGAGUUAAAUCGAAGAUUUUCUCUCUGCUUUUUUGGCCUAUCCACCGCUACCACUGCUAAAAAACUUAUCCGGAUUUUGUUUUAGUUGCCUCAAUUUCUUUGUGCAUAAUGAAUAUGGUAUAUUAUAUGUGUUUGUAGACAAAAUAGAUUAUCAUUAUAUUUUAUUUAUGAUUACAAUUUAUAAGAUUAUAGUCUGAAAGCAAAAAAUAGCAAUCUUCCUACACUCUUUAUUAACCUUAACCUAGUUUAUUUUAUCCAAUGAAAAUUAGAACUGGGAAUUGCUUCUUGCUUACUAAUUUGAGGUUCUUUUAUGAAAUGAUUUUGUAUAUACAUGUCCCAUUAUGCCUAAGCCUAAAUGGAAUGGAACAAUCCAGGGAUUCUUAUGUAAAAAUAGGAUCUAUUUAGAUACAUAAACCAAAUUUUCACCUACAUUUGAAUUUAAACAAAAAGCAGAGAAAGAAGAGUAAAUGCUAGAAUUAACCUGGAAAUUUUAUUAGUUAUUCGGGAUUCACAUGGAAAAUUUUGCACGCAAAAGUGAAAGGAAAAAUCAUCAAAUCCAUGGGUGUAUAGUUAAUAGUAUUUCAAUUUGAUUUAUACAUUUUUAAUAACUACUCAUAAUUUGGUGAACAUAAAAAAAUAAUAUUUUUUUAUAAAUAAGAGUCCAAAAUAAAAUAUUACAUCAAGAGACAAGAUUCAAGUUUAGUACUUGAAAAAGUCCAUUAUCAUUUGCUAAAAAUAUUUAACCUUUUUCAUUCCCUUGACUACAUUUUUAUUUCAUCCGUAAAAAAAACAAAGGUUAUCUUAGCAAUACUAACUCUAGAAUGUGUCUCCAUUUCUUCCUCAUUACUCAAUCAUAUUCUUAUCUCAUGACAAGGGAAAUAAAAACCCAGCAUACAUGCAUAUAGAAUAAAAUGCAAGAGUAUAAGAGAAGGUGCAGAACGAUAUAAUAAAGAAACAAAAGUUGUAAGUACUUGGAGUACAACUCCACCUUGUUGAAAGAUUCGACCAACAUAAAAGAAAUACUCAACAACCAAAAUUAUCCAUGACUUACAAACAUGAAAGGAAAACACUAGAAAGUUUUAAAAGAUGGUAACAAAAUAUAAUAUUGCUAAGUUCAAGCAUAUAUUUCCAUCCCAAUUAAGCUUUGAGGCGACCAAAGAACUUUUGCUUCUCUUCUGUUGUCUGGAAGCGACCAUGCCCAAACUUCGAAGAUGUAUCGAUGAACUUGAGCUUGAUCUCCUCCAAUGCAAGACGAGAAGUCUGCUUAAGCAACGAUUGGCGAAGUGUAAUAACCCUUUUCUUAGGACCAACACAGCCACCCUUCACCAUCAAAUAAUCAUCCUUCACAAUACCAUAGUGAGGGAACCCACCCAUUGGAGUAAUGUCCUUCUCAGUCCUAUAGCACAAAGAAAGAGAAAAAAUGAGAAAAAAUGAAUGAGAAAAAAUGAGUGACCGUAGUUGUUAAUCAGUGAGUCACUGACCUAUCAAAAUCAGUGACAGCUUCGUGAGACUCUUGUCCAACUUUUCCAAGCCUGUAGAUCUUCUUGUUCAAUUCAGUUCUGUGAUGGUAUCCAUUCUGACCAGCCCUAGCCACAGUGAAAGAAACUCUAGCCGGAUGCCAUGCACCAAUACAGGCAACCUUCCUCAAACCCCUGUGAGUCUUACGGGGAAGACGGGUGACACCCCAACGGGUAACCACGCCUUCAUAACCCUUACCUUUGGUCACACCAAUGAGGUCAAUCAUCUCAUCCUUCUGGAACACAGCAUCAAUAGGAACCUGCUUCUCAAAGAAGCUGUAUGCAAAGUCCACCUUCUGUGGAAUAGUCCCACCAUUAACCUGAAUCUCCAUGAUAUGGGCCUUCUUCUGCUUCAAACCCUUCAAUUUCCUGAUCUGAGAUAAAAGUAGGCAGACACAAAUAUAUUAGAAAUAUAUUUAAAUAAUAACAUAAUACUAAAUACAUGGUAAUAGCAGACAGUAUUACAAAUAGCUGCAAAAUAAAAGAACAGGUAAAUUUUGGUAUGGAUACAAAAAUGGUGUAUACAUACAACAAAAAACAUUGGCUGACCAAAUAACCCUAAUUACAUGUCUCCUUUUUUUUUUACUAUAUAUUUCUAAAACAACAUGACAGCUCAAAGAAAUUAUAGAAAUUAGAACAAGUGAGAGUCAGAAAUCUCGUGUGGAAAGUGCCGCUCAUUGCACCAAUUUUUAUAGCACUGCGUUAGCACAAAAAUAUCAUCAUCCUCAUCAUAAACACGAACAAAUACUAGAGUUUACAAUAAACUCAGUAUAAAAAGCAAACUAUAUACAUUGAAAUGAGGCAUACAAAAAAGAAAAUAAUCAAAUACAUUUGACAUGGUCAAGAUACCUGAGUGUGAGCCAAAACACGGACAACAGUUGCAUACUUCUUGAUUUUCUCAAGUUGUUGCUCAAUGUUUUUCUUUCCAUCCUCAGACUCAUACUGCUUUGAGUACUUGGUAAAUGCCUUCUUCUUGGACUUGCUCCAGUUCUUGUAGAACCUACGCUUAAUUUCCUCACUCAAAUGUUGAGCCCACACUGUGUUCAAUGUUCUAAGACCACGGGGAGUUUUCACAUAACCAACAACACCAACAACAACCAUUGGAGGGGUCUCAAUGAUUGUAACAGGCUCACAAGUCUCCUUUUUGUGAAGCUCUGACAUUUAAAAGAUAUCACAGAAUUAGAAUAAAAAAACAGAGGACAUGACACCAUAAAGAUAUUCAUCAGAAGGAGAACAAAUACAAGUGAGCUUAAUUAUCUGUAAAAGAGUACUCCAAGAACAUUAUUAUCAAUAUAAUUUUCCAAAUACCAAAAUGAAUCAAGGGGUGUGGCAAUUCUAGAAAUAUAAAGCAUGUCAUUAACUCAGAGACAGAGCUCCUUUAAAUUGAGAGAAAACACUUACACAGACAAACAUCAAUUUUAUAUACAAAAUUGUUAAUUAUUUCACCACUUAUAACAAGUGAAGACAUUUAAUUAAGACAUAAUUAUUGGGAAAACAAACCAUACAAAUUCAUUUAACAGAUUAAAUAUCAGCGAAAGAGAAUACAACUUACUGGAUCCGGGUUUCUCGACCUCUCUAACAAUGUGAGUCAUACCAGCCUUGUAACCCAAAAAGGCAGUAAGCUUUGGCGCCUUGGUUUGGUCAUCCUUGGGGAAAGCCUUCACUGCAUGAGUGAAAUUAUAUAUAAUCAUAAGGUUAAAACAUAAAAUCAAAUCAAUAUUCAAUACUAAAUGUGAAAUGCCCUUAAUUAAAACAAACCUAUGUAAAACAAUCUGGUUAAAAACUAUAUCUUAUUCGAUAACAACAGGAAAAAAACAUUUCCAACAUCACAGUUUUCAUAUAAAAAAAUUAAUUUGCAAAUCCACAAAUCAUAAAACCAGAUAUAUAAGAAAGGACAAUGAAUGGAAAAAUGUACCUUUUCCUCUGUGACGAUUAGCACGCUUCCUUGGAAGAAAUCCAAGAGAACCGUGCCUUGGGUGUUCAAACUUCCUGUGAGACAUUCUUCCUCUCCUAAACAAACAAAUAAUCAAAGUAAUAAUUAAAAAAUGUAUAAUCUAUUUAAUUUGGACGAAGAAUGAGAACAACAAACUAGUAAUUCACUCGAGAUAACACUUCACAAACAAAUCGUUACACUUAUAAACAUAGCUAGAUGAAAACAACAGAGGAACAAAGAAAACAUUGAAUCUCGUUAUAAAAACAAAUCAUUAUAGUUGAAAUGGAAUUGAUAAAAAUGAAUUGAAAUAAGAAAAUGAGAAUGUGAAUAUUGUGAGAGAAAAGGAAAACCUGAAGUUGCUCCUGCGGCUACUGAAAUGAGAAAGCUCAAAAGCAGUGAAUCUAAAACCCUAACUAUUUUGUGUCUUUAUAUAACCAUUUGGCCCUUUCGGUUUAUUUUAUGGGCCCGGGCUUUUCGGUAUCUAUGGGCCUAAUCUCAAUUUACAAAAUCUAUAGCCCACCUCAUUAUAUAAUAUUAACAAAAAUAAUAUAAAGUUGCAAAAGUAAAAGCAGAUUGUAAUAUCUAUGUACUGUCGGUGUAAAUAUUUAUCACAAUCACUGUAUCAUUCAUUAUUCAUUAAAUUACUCUUUGAAGAGUCAAUUAUGACUAAAUAUUAUUUGGGGAUAAUGUAUCAAUACAUAAUUUUUUAUUUUUUUCUCAGGUAAGAAAACAAGGGGAUCUAUUUGGUCAUCAUAAAAAAAAUGUGAUUUUGACAAUUAUGUACAUAAUGCUUGAUGAACUUAGCCAUCCAUCAAUUAUUAUGUUAAUAUGUGAGUAUUUUUUGUUCUUCUUUCCUCUCUUAUCAAGCUGUGAUUUGAGAUUAAUUUUCUAAGUGGAAAAUAUAAUUUAGUUUAUUAAAGACCUAGAGGCUGAAACUAGUUUGAUAGUUAUUAUGGUAAUAAUACCUACCCUUUGCAUUCUUAUUAAGAUAGUAGAUAGACCGAGAUGAAACAAAAGAUGAGUGUGGCAACCAGGUCAAAUGAAUUAAGGCAAUCUUAACAUUUCACAUAUUUUCCAAGGAUUUAUCUAUGCAGGUGUUUGUUUAUUAUAACAGGAAUUUAUUCAUAUUGUUUAAAUCUUCAUUUUUUUUAUACUGCUUUGAAGAUAAAUAUAAUAGAUCAAUGGAGGCUGGGACCAAAAGGAUUAAUUUCAGAUUACAAAUGGCUGAUGAUCAUUCCAACCUUGAAAUUCAGGUUAAUGUCCUGAGGGAAAUCUAAUUUUUUUGUUUUAAUGGUUUUUUUAGUUGUAGCAAUUUUGAGAUCUUUUGGAGUCCUAGCCAAGACCCCAUAGAAAUUAGUAUUAUAAUAUAAUGAUUGAAGAAAUGACAUGGUCCAAAUUAGUAUUAGGAUGGUUUAUGAUAUUUUAUUUGGGUUUUGAUGAUGGGGAUUAUAAUUCUAAAAUGGUUAGUUUUGUGAUUAUAAGGCUGCAAUCAAUGUUGGUUUCAUUUUUCAAUUCAAAAUCUUUUUCCUUGGUGCUCAUAUACUUCGAUGUAUACAUUAAUACUCCAACUCUCAAGGUAUCCCUUUUCUGCUUGUAAUCUAAUGUAACUAUAAGAAAAAAUAAAGCAAAUUCAUAUAGGCAAAACCAGAUAUCUUAAAAAUACCACCCAAACAUAAAAUAAUCAGGACGAGAGAAAAAAUGUAUUUUAUAUAAAUUAGAUCAUUUUGAAGUUAGCUAUAUGUUUCACAAUAGUUCUCUGAAAUUAAAGAGGGUUUUCUAAGAGGAGUAGCCGAGUAAAGAGUUAGAAUUUUCCUACCAACAACAAAAGAGGCAUGUGGGAAUUUAAAAAAUUGAAAAUCACUAUUUUUUUUCACAACAAGGAGACCACAAAUUGGUACUUUUCAACAAGCCAGUGUCCAAUUUGGAGGUCAUCUUAAACAUCUCUCUACACCAUUACUACAUUUCCAACGAGACGUUAGUCUAAUGGUCCAAUGACUCAUUGAAUCUCCAUGUAAGUACUAGACCAAAUGUCAAAUGUCCGAUUCCUGUGAAUGAUAUUUGUUGGGAAGGAUAGUCACACACUCCGAAAGAGAGUACUGGUGAGAUGCCCUUAAUAGUACAAAAAUAAACCACCACUACAUUAUAUGCUAGUCUAAGUCCCAGUUGGUCUUCUAGUAAUACAUGUGCAUUAUGCGCAGGAGAGAGGCCAAGAUGCCUACUUACCUUCUAAACUACAAUUUCCAAUUCCAUACAUAUUGCUGCUUGGAUCUAGACUAACCGUUGGAUUUUGACCUUUAAUUUAAAUAGAUGAAGAAUAAUGUGACCAUAUUAUUAUUUCCCCAUCAGUAUCAACAUCAUUGGUGGAAUCUUCAGUUUACAUCUUGCACCACUAGUGAAUUUGAUCUACCACUGCAAGGAGCGAACCCUGCGAAGUAAACGUGGUGGCCUUCGCUUCUCCACAAUAGGGAUUAAUUUUUCCAUAAGCUGCACAAAAAACAAACCAGGUCAGUAGUGACCUGAUUACUUUCUGAGCUAACAUAUACUUUACAAAUGUAUAUUUGUUUCCAGAGAUAAGCUGGUGAAUAAAAAUUCAACGCUUGCAAACUUUGCGAUACAAAGAACUUGGCUGAAUACCAUACUUGGCAAUAUAUUUUUUUUUUGCAUCUCCUAUGGAGAAUUCAGUUAACUUGCUUAACCCUUGAUAUAUCUCAUAUCCAAUAUUAUAUACAAGCAAUCUUAAUGGAAGACUGCCCCUGCUUUUUUCUGUUGCGAGAGGAAAGUAUUAAUUUCAUGAAUCAAUGAAAAUAUGUACAAUCAUGACUAAUUACCAACCAUGCUGCAACAGCAAUGAGUCUAGAAGAAACAUUGACUAACUGCCACAUAUUCUGUUAGUAGCAAGUAGCCUUAGGAUAAGGUAUCAACUAUGGAAGAAUUUAUUUGAAGCAAUUAGCUACUCAUAAAUAUUUUUACCAAAAGGUUUUGCACAAACUAACAUAAGGACAAUCCUUACCUGCUUGUACCUUUCUUUUCUCUUCUCAGCCUGCACAAGAAUAUCUUUCGUAAGAGAUUGAUAAAAUCUGAAGGAUAAAAUGAGCACGAGACAUACAAAAUUUGAAUGUGUUUCGUGGAAUGCCCAAAUCCCUUAUGUUCCAUGUACUGGAAACAUUAAUUCCAAAACAUGGGCCGUUUGAGACCAAAAAUGCUGAAAGCAGCAUUCCAAACUCAUACAUAGUAGCAAUAAAAACAGGCAUAAUAGCACUUAUUGGGACUAAAAUAGGGAGUCCGUACCUCAGUCAUAGGUAGCAUGACAGGUACAGAGACCAAAUUCUGAGAGAGUGAGAGACAUAUUUUUCCUAACCAAAGAAAAGAUUUCUUGCUUGGUAGAGAGCAGAUUUAAUAUCAUACUUUGAAGUUUGUUAGUAGUGAUCCAAUUCUAACUUUCUAAGAAAAUCCUAAAUAGAAAAACAACUAAGUCUACCCUCUCCCCCAUGGUGCAUACCGCAUAAUGGGAAAAGUCGCAAUACACAAUCAAUGUAACACUGAUUUGAACAAUCAAUGAAGGAAACAUUGAUAUUUCAGGGUGGAAAAGUCCAAGCUAUCUUAAUAAUGUUCGCCAAACAGUCAUUAAUUCUACAGACACCAGUGAGAAUAAUAAUUAUAACCAGGGAGGUGUCACAGAAAUCCUGAGUGUUGCUAAUACAGCUUACUUUCAAUAAUUCAAAAACUUAGAACGACGCACCAAUCUCAGAGGCAGCACUCUGAAGUACGUUUGGUAAAUAUGCUAGACUGUAAAGCAUAUAUUGACAUAAUCCUUAUAUUAUCAGUACUACUACUUGAGUACUUGCUGAAGCAAAAUAGCUUCCCGCAUGUACAUGGAAUGAAUCCCACUACAGGCAGUUGAAAUUGUUUCUGGGAAUACUGUGGCCAAAAAAUUAAUCAUAGAGCAUAUAAAUGGUAAAAUGAAGGUCAUCUAAGAGUCCUUCAACCUUAUAUCUGAAAACAGUAACAUACACACAACCAAGUCAAAAGCAUAUGAGAAUUGAAAAUCAGCACAGCAAUGGUCCAACAACAAAAUCAAAGCAAAGCAAAACUUAAUGUCAUAAUUACAAAACAACACAGCAGGGAAACAUUGGCAGUUCGUACGGAAGUGUACGAGGAACAAAACAAAUAGAGUACCUUCUCCUUCAUGAGCUUGUCAUUUUCUUCCUCUAGUUUAACCGCCAGUGACUCCAAUUCAACCUGGUAAGCCUGAAAUUCACAAAAACAACAAAAAUCUACAUUAUCAAUACAUCCAACAAUAAAUGGCAACCUACCUAGUGAUAUAACUCACAUUACUAUGUGGUCAUAGUAAGCAGUCUUAUCUUGCAUUAUUCCACGACUCGAACCUACGACAAACACGAGAUUGAGAUAUGAAGAUAUCUAUAUAUACCUGCUUGCGUUCCCUUGACCUAGCAGCAGAUUCUCUAUUCUUAAUCAUUCUCUUCUGUCUCUGUUGCGCCGCCUUAUCCAACUGCUCCGAAACCGAACGUCCCCUCUUCCCCCUCCCUCCACUUCCACCACCACCACCACCACCGUCCACUCCAUUCCCAAACCCAAUCACCUCCAAACUCUCCAUUCCACCACUCUGAUACACUGGAUCAUACACAAACAUGCUUGCACCACUACUCAAACUCUGAGUUAACGGCAUUGGCAUCUUCACUUCACCAUCAUCAUCAUCGUCAUCACCCCCAACCUCGUCUUCACCCACUGCACCCGCUUUCAUGAGAAAGUCCUCUAGGGUCAUCAAAUCAUCGUCGGGGUUCUCCUCCUUGCACUCCGGUUUCCCGUCGCCGGCGACGAUCUCCCGCCAGACGUCGUCGACGGUUCUGGAGGACGGAGGAGGAGAAGGGUCGAAGAAGGUGGAAUCGGAAAUGGGGAUGAAAUUGGUGGUGGGAAAUUGGGGAUUUGGAGAAGGUGAUCUAGAUUUUCUGGAAUUGGAAGACGACAUCAUCAUUGGCUUGGAUGACGCCAUCGUCAUCAAAGUAUGAUGAUUAGGUAUUCUUCGAUUUUGUGGAUCCUAGGGUUCUGUGAUUUAGGAAUUUGGGGUCUCAACUUAAGCAACACAUAGAGACCAAAACCUUCACCAACUUAAUUCACGUCUGGUAUAAAAUAUUGUUGACAGGAUAGUUUAAAAUCUAUGUAUUGAUAUUGUAAAGUAUUUUAUAAUGUCAGUUUAUUCAUCUACCAUUGCUUUUGUAUUACUGUUAUUACUUUUGAGUAAACGAAUAAUGAAUGAUUUGUUGACAAUGUAGAAAAUACUUACGAUGUCUUUAUAUGCUUAUUAAUUCAAUUUUAAUUAUUGCUUCAGGUUUUAUAAUAUGAUAUAAUAUAAUAAUGUCAGUAGCAGCUCACUCAAAUAUCAUAUGCUACCAAACUUAUAGUGUGGCAGAUCAUGCUCAUUUAUAGCUUGAUAAUUAAAGACUUGAAUUUCAAUUUGUUCACUUCAAAUUAUGCUAGUAGAUGAAAAGAGGAAUAAAAAAAUCAUAGGUGAAAAAUUAUAUAUCAAAGUUUUUGUCAAAAACAUGAUUUAUGAUAUGAAAUAUGUAGCUUGAUUACCAUCACCUAUUAGAAUUAAAGUUCUCUACUUUGUUGUUGUAAUUGUUUAUAUAAAUUGUAAAUUUUAAUCAAGUAGAAUUUUUUUGUAUAACAAAUAAUAUCAUUUUAUUUAAUAGGUAAAUAAUUAAUCAUUUUUGGAUAUGUAAGUAUUUUUGGCAAGAAUAAAUUAAAACCUUGAAUCAACAAAUUGUUUAUCAAGUUUGUUGCCAUUCACAAUUAACAUAUUGUUGGAUUAUUAAUUAAAACAAUAUAUUUAUAUAUAUAUAUAUAUAUAUAUAUAUAUAUAAAUAUAUUGUUUUAAUUAAUAAAAAAAGGAAAAUAAAUAAAUAAUAGUGUGUAGUGCUUUAUACAAAAUUAGUUAAGCAACGAAAAUUAGUUCAAAUGGUACAUGUUUGAUUCAUUUUAAGCAAAAAACCUGAGUUCAAGUCUUGUGGAUGAAAAAAUGUUCGUUGGGAGAAUUAGCCUCAACCUAUACCUCCAUUACAGUGCGAGGAUACCUGCGCGAAACCAAAAAAAAAUACAAAAUUAGUUAAACUUGUUGACCUGUUGUUUGAUAUUUUCCGCAGCAAUUAACAUCCUUUGUCGAAACCAACUACUUCUCUUCCCAAGACUGUAAUUGAAUAUUCGAAAUCUCUUUCUAAAUUUACUUCCACCGUAAAUAACGUCAUUGAUUUCACGCUAUUUCUUUUACCAUUUCCUCUUCUUUUCUUUUCUUUUGCCUUUAACUAGUUCUCGUGAACUACACACACUUCAAUUCGGUUUCGGAGUUUGUAGUUUCAAAAAGAUUCCACCUUUACUGUUUCUGAACGUUCUUUCUGCUUCAAUUAUUACUGGGUGCGUGCUACUUCUUCUCUAAAUUAAUACUAAUAUUAUAUAUUCGUUACUCACCUAGCCCCACUUACUUACCAACUUUUCAGAAUCAGGUUCUCUGUAAUGAAUUGAAAACACUGAUUCUGGGGAUGGUAAGUAGUAAUUGGAUUCAAUAUUUGUCCAAACAAGAGUUAGAACAAUAAGGUUUUUAUACCUAACACAAUAAAUAUCUCAGACAAAUGGAUUAUGAUGAUUUGAUCACAGUGGGCAUCAGCUCUCAACAUGGAAAUUUUGAUUCAGCUUAUUCUAAGGAGGCCCGAGAUGUCGAGGCAAAUACGGCUCAGAAUUCGUCGCGAGUUUCUUCGCCACCACGAAGAGGUUUGUGUUCAAAAGCUCUUUGUCAAAGUUAGUUUUUUCUGUUAGGAAGCUAAUGAUUUCUGAUUUGUGUUUGUUGUUCUUGUUGUAUUGUUGGUUAAGAAUUGAACUAUGUGAUGGGUUUUUGUUGUUAUCCUAUGCAUGCUUAAUAAUUGCGAAAAUAAAGAAGUACAGAAUGAAGAAGGGAAAAAUGGAGCAGUGUGUGAAAUUGAGAGGGGCACACAUGAGGAUAAACAUAAGUUGAAAAAUGGAGAAGGGAACAGAUUUGAAGGGGCAAGGAGUGGUCAGGGUGGACAGGUGUUCUCCUCUGCCCACUACCCGGCUCCACCUCUGGCAUUUGGCUCGGUAUAGCUUAUUGUUUAACUAUAUCGAAUGUCGUGGACUUUAUUACUUUUUCCUUUCAAGCGAACAAUGGGAAGAUGAAGAAGAAUGUAUAUGUAGUAAAUAUGUCAUGGGUUGUAUACAAAAAAGUGUCACGGUUCUAUAGGAUUUGGUACCAAGAUUUAGGAAAAAAGAAAUGUUACUUCACUAGGCCUCUUCUUCAAAAGCCUUUAUGCAUUUAUCACUUAUCUGUCGGGUCUAGUUAUUUGCCUCUCCAGAUGCCUUAUCCAAAUAGCCACUUUCAAUUUUGUGAUGUAUAUAGCUUCCACUGUCUUUAAAUUUAGAAAGGCCAAUUUAAUUGAACUAUUUUCAACUGCCAUCACUUUAUCUCCUUUUAAAAAUGGUUAAGUGCAUGCUACUUCCUGCCUUGGUUAAAUGUUGAAUGUCUUGCCCCCUUGAACUAUUGUUUCUAACUUGCUUCUUUUAAAUAUGUUUUGUAAUGUUGAACUCUGUUCAUGUAGUUUUGGAGCAUUCCUUCACAGCACCUAUUGGAGCUGAGAGAAAUCCACUUAUAGCCGACAAUGAGAUUAAGGUUUCUAGAUCAAUGACAGAGAAGAGGAGGUUCCCAAGGCAUGAUAUACUGGACAGGCUGUCAGAGCGUGAGAAGGUAGACACAAGCAUUACUAUAUGGGCAUGGUUUUAAGUUUUAACUUGUGCUCAUAUGUUUUUAUUCUAAUCGGAUAAGUUAUACCUUUAAUAUCUGUCUGCCUGUUCUGUUCAAUCUCCUCCCGAAGAUGCAAAUCUAGAAGAGUGCUAUUAUUUAUUUUGCAUAUUGGAUAUAUUCAUGUUGAGUUGCAGCCUUGCAAUUUUGUUUACUGUGGUCUCUCCACUCUCUAGUGACCUAGUAUUCAGAUAUAUGGUAAUUUAAGUAAAUAUUACCACUCCUUAGUCCUUAUUACUUCUUAGGUGCUCAUUUGCACAUACUAGAUAUUUAAACUCUUCAUCUUGUUUCCUUUUCUGCCCAUGGUGAACUCUAAUAGCUUGUCUAAUUCUGAAGAACCUUUGCUUCUUUUGGCUCUGGGCACGUGGCUGGUGUAUUUGAAAAAUGUGGCUAACUGGUUUUGCCUUUAAAGCUCUGUUCUUGACACUGUGGCCUGUAUCUGUGAUGUAUGCAUUAGACUUUCCAAAUUAUUUCCAUGGACAUAACACUUUCUUGUCUUGUUUCUUAGCAAGAACUGAUUGAUAAGCUAGUGAGGAUACAAAGUGAUGGAACUGUUAAAGUUGAUCUAGAAAGAAGUACAUCUGUUUCAGAGUUACUUGAGCUCCAAUCUUUUGAAGAGUCAACAGUGAGUGAAAGUCUUACUUCUGAAUCAAAAAGUUCAGUUCCACGGUUACAAAUUGUCAUGCUUGUGGUUGGAACUAGAGGCGAUGUACAACCUUUUUUGGCCAUUGCAAAGAGACUUCAGGCAUGUUUGAAUAUUUUCAUUUGAUUUAUAUGGUUGCACGCUAGAAUUGUAUUAUUAAAUCAUUAUGAUUUCUUUUAUUGUUCACUCGUAUGUUGUAUGGUGUAAAUGUCUCUGGUAUUGCAUUUGCUAUGCACCAAUUAAUGCCCCCUAACUAGUAGAAUCUGCUAUUUGGUAACAUUCAUUUAAGUUGGUAACAUUCAUUUAACAUUGCUAAAAGAGCUUUUACGGUUUGUAACACAUUGGUAUCUUCACAACUUGUUAUAUGGGUGAUUGGGCAUUGGUGAUAACUACUCCGAACUGAAGUUCUUGAUAAGAUUUCUCUAAUAAAAUUUUUGAAGGACUUGUUCUGUUCUUUUGAAGUUUCAGUUUGUUUAGGGUUCUCAAAAAUGUGAUUCCCCAAAUACCUUUUGCUGGCACAAACUUUUUUAUGAGCCUCAAAGUUGAAUUUCUGCCCUUUCAGAUGAAAGUUUUGAGUAAAGUCCAACAAAAAAAGGAUAUAAAUGUCAAAAAUGAUUUUUUUUUUAUAAUACACCAUUUUUAUGAAAAGAAUCUACACAAAUGGGGCCUAGUUUUGGUCAAAUUGUCUUAGAAUCUUUAUUUUUCCAGGUUGAAAACCCCUAGCUUUGUUCACAACAUUUUGUACUAAUGAUCUGUCUGAAAGGAUGCAAUUUUUUAAUUUUAUUUUUAACUACUGUUAUUGAAUUUUACAUCUCAGUAGUCAUUUCUUUAGUUCAUACUUUUUUACUCCCAGAGAUGAACCAAUGUUUUCUUUUGCAGGAGUAUGGUCAUCGUGUUAGGUUGGCAACACAUGCUAAUUUCAACACAUUUGUAAAGUCAACUGGUGUAGAUUUCUAUCCUCUCGGUGGUGAUCCUCGUGUAUUGGCAGGAUGUAAGUGAUUCCUUUUUAAUAUUUUCAUUAAUAUCUACUAUUUCUCUUCCAGUCUGCUUGUACUUUUUGCGUAACUUCACUUUUGACCCUCUUUUAGUCCCUUCCCACCUAUGUAAUCUGUGUUUAGAUUUGAAAACACACUGCAAUGAACUGAUAUCUCAUGAUGCUUGAAUUUGCGUAAUUGCUCUAGAGUGAUUUCUGAAAAGGCCAACUCAAAGAUUUUAUUGAAUACUUUUCUAAUGGAUUGCCCAAAUUUUUAAGUGUUAAGAAUAGAGUCAAAUGUAAAAUAAAUACUUCAAUAUGGACCUAAAAUGGAUCUUAAAUGGAUAUGGAUGUAUGAUACAGUAACUACCUUGAAACAUUAAAUAUCAGGUAAUGGAACAAGAAUUUCAAAUACAAUCCAAGCAUCUUAGAUAGCCACUAGUAUUGUAGGGUUAAGAGAGGAGAGAUGAUUAAACCGAAUAAAACGAAAACCUUCAUUAAUAUUCUUUUUUAUAUACUAUGGAGGCAAAGUAACUUCAAUCCCCAUAAAUCACAAGAGUAAAACAUACUCCACUGAAACAGAAUUGUUAAAGUCUUAUAAUCUCAAUUUUUUUUAAUAAACUCUUAAUACAUUUAAUUCCAAGAUAGUAAUCCUUGUAUUGAUGAAUUUUUUAAUGGGAGUUGUAAAAUAAUUAAAUAUCAUGUUAAAAAGCGUUCUCAUUACAUUCUCCAUCACUGUCCAAUAGCCAUUUAUAAAAAUGCUCAGUCUAUAUCGAGCUAACUUAGACGUGAUUGAUAUUGUAAGCUGUGACUCAGACUCACUGACUCUGUUCUACUCCAGGCUCAUUCUCUCUUUUUUAAACGUGCUAAAACAACAAUGCAUUUCUUCUUUAAUCUUAUUCCAUCUUCACUAUUAUUCAUCGCACAAGCACAAAACCAUAUAUUAAAUGAGUUAAUUCAAUAAUAGAUAUGGCGAGGAAUAAAGGUUUAAUCCCUUCUGACCCGGCUGAAAUAUCUGUCCAAAGGAAGCAGCUGAAUGCAAUUAUUGAUUCCCUUCUUCCAGCAUGCACAGCUGCUGAUUUAGAAACCGGUGUUCCUUUUAGAGCUCAGGCUAUUAUUGCCAAUCCUCCUGCAUAUGGUUAGUGGUUAGAAGAUAUUGUAUUGUGUAUUUCUUCCGGUUGCUUUUUCUUUUAAGCUUUUAAUUGCUGGUAGUUCUCGUAUUGUAACAUAACAAUCAUAUCACAGGCUUUGCCUGUAUGAAUUUUGGUUGCUCUAUCAUUAACCUUAAGACUACUCUAUGUUUACCAGUAGAGUAGAACUUAUUUCUGUUACCUUGAUGAUAGAGCUUAGCAAUGUUUAUGAUCUUAUUAGAGAAAUGUAAUUGAAUUUGUUAUCAAUGAAAUGUAACAAAUUCAGUUACAUUUCUCACUAUUCUCUAAUAUAUCUUGAUAUAUCUUGUUAGAGUCAUUAUUUGUACCAAACCUGUUCAAAUGAUUGACCCCUGAUAUUUCAGUCACGCUUGGCUACUUGAUAUUUACAGAUUAAAGUGCAUUGGAAAUUUUGCAUUUUGCUCAUGCACAUACUAGUAAUUCAAAACACUCACAAAACAUUAAUUUGGGAUUGAGCAUAUAUCUCCUUUGAUCCGGGUUAAGGAGUAUAAAAUAAAGAAAAAAUAGAUCUUUCAAGUAAUCAAUUUGGCGAUAGAACGAUUGGUAAAUUAUUAUCCAAACAGGAAAAUUAUUAUCCAAAUGGAUAUUUAUAUUAUUCCUUGUGAUGGAGAUAAAUACAAAUAAAGAGAAGUAGUUUUGACCACAAAUAAGUGAAAAGGCAAAUGGGGUAAAUGUGUGAGCUAAUAUGUAGAAAUGGAAAGGAAGAAUUUCGACCUAAAAGUUAACUAGCAAUGUUGAAGUAUGAAACUCAGGGGCUCUCAAACUCAAAGCAUUUGAGUGUAAUGGUAUUUCUUGUGAGUUUAUUUCCCAUAUUCAGGGGCAGAAUUGUUAUUUUUUAUUUCAUAAUUGUUUGCAAGUUUGUCUGGUCGUGACUUAUUUAGAAUUAUAUCUGACCUUAUGGCUUGCAGGACAUGCACAUGUUGCUGAAGCCCUUGGUGUGCCCAUUCACAUCUUCUUCACAAUGCCUUGGACGUGAGUUUAAAUUGUUAUAACAGACAGUUUUUAUAUCUUAGAAAGAUGAGGUUUCAUAACAAAGUAUGCAGAACUUUCUAAUUCUUGAUUUGAAGUUUUCAUACAGUACAAAUUUCUUGUUAUAAUUACAAUCAGGAUUCAGGAACAACUGCACCAUUUAUGUAUCUUCCCUUUUUAUUCACUUUGUGAGGUCAUGUACAUUUUUUGUCAAAUAUUAGGCCAACAUAUGAGUUCUCACACCCCUUCGCACGUGUUCCUCGAAGUGCUGGAAAUUGGGUAUGCACUUUUUUGAAACAAUAUUUUGUGAUCUGACUUUGAUUCUCUUGUGAAUGAAUUGUGGAACUCCUUUAUCAAUGAACCUGUUUCAAUAUUUCCUUGUUGUAUGUAGCUGUCCUAUAUAAUCGUGGAUCUACUAAUAUGGUGGGGGAUCCGAGGAAUUAUCAAUGACUUCAGAAAAAGGAAAUUGAAGCUUGCUCAUAUUGCCUACUUCAGCAUGUACCGUGGAUCAAUAUCGCAUUUACCAACUGGCUAUAUGUGGAGUCCUCAUGUUGUUCCAAAACCAAGUGGUAUGAUGUAAUCAAUAGUCAUAUCAUCUUAUGUCCUCUUAGUACUUUCUUUUUAUGAGCAAUCCUUUUAUCAUUUAAUUCAUUGGAGUAGGAUAUCAAUUCAGUACUUGUUAGUUUCUAAAAUAGGCUUAGAUGCAAAGUUGACUUUGAUUUGCUUUGAGCUAGAACAUUCAGUCCUAAAACCUUGACUUGUUAGUUUAUAAAGUUAUCUGCUGAAAUUAAAUAUUAUAUAGUUUUGUCAAGGAAAACUUCAACUUUAGAUUCUCUCUUUAAAGAGAGUUCACUGUAUUAUGUAUGGAAUGCAUCAAGUUAUUUUCUUUGGUAAUACACUAUCUGUCAACAACAACAACCACAGCAACAAAAACCACAACAAAGACAACAAUAACAAGCCUUAAUCCUGCUAGGUGGGGUCAGCUACAUGGAUCGAAAUAUGCCAUAAUCCUCUAUCAUAAAUCAUGAUACACUAUCUGUCUCUAACAAGUCAAGGUUUUGGAACGGUUGGUCUUUGAUAAUACAUGGUAGACAUGUUUUGCUUAGUGUCCCAAGUGAGUUGCAAGAACUAAUGACAUAUAACAAAUUUGCAGACUGGGGUCCCUUAGUUGAUGUUGUUGGCUAUUGUUUCUUGAAUCUUCAAUCAAAGUAUCAACCACGGGAAGAUUUUGUCCAAUGGAUUCAAAAAGGACCACCUCCUAUUUAUUUUGGGUUUGGAAGCAUGGUAUGGUAAUUUCACUUGAACUAUGAGUUAUUUUAUCAUGAAUUUAGAUAUGAUAAAUAACUUUUGUCUUUUGUAAAUUGAACUUUUCUGUUUUGGAUGUUAUGGACCUCACUACAAUUUAGUCGUAAUAUUUAUUACAUUCUUAGAGGAUCAAGCUUUUACUUCAAGCAAAUAAAGCCUGACGCAAUUUUGCAUGCAAGGUAAUAGGAGCUAGGAAAUCUGAGUACUGUUAUAUUGAAAUAAACCACUUACUUUCAGAAUUUCAGAUGAAAAUUCUUGUCUUUAUAGUCUUUCAACUGAAAGGAAAAGGAAAAGUAAGUGCAGAUAGUGCUUGGGCAAUGUGAAUAUUUGUAUUCUAGAUUGCGUACAAUGGACAUAAUAAUCAUAUAUUCAUAUUGAACUAUAGAAAGGAUUUGCACUUAUAAUAGAAUAGUGUAAUCAUAUAUAAUUUCAUGAAUAACAAUUUCAUGUAUGCUCAUAAGCUAGUGGACUUGACAUUGUAUGCCUUGACAUCAGCAAAUAUUUAGAAAUGAAUGUUUGAAGACCUCUAAAUGAAAAUGUCUUUUACUUUAUCAGCCACUUGAAGAUCCUCAACGAACAACAGAUGUUAUAUUGGAGGCACUAAAGAUUACAGAACAACGCGGAAUUAUUGACCGGGGUUGGGGCAAUCUAGGCAAUUGUAAGUAUUAUAUUUCAAAUUUAAUUUUGACUCAUUGACACUCUUGUUGUUGACGAAGUUAUAAUUAAUUUCUGGUUUCAUGUUCUGUUAUUUGUUUGAGUGAUUGAAUGACUAAAAUAUGUGGUGCCCAUUACAUUAGUUUCACUUACGAUAUGCAGUCGCAGAAGUUCCUGACAGCGUUUUCCUUCUGGAGGAAUGUCCACAUGAUUGGCUGUUUCCUCAAUGUUCUGCCGUGGUGAGUUUCAAUUAAUAUUUUUGUUUGGCUUUCUUUGGGAACAAAAGAAAAUGCUCUAGACUGUGUCUGAGGGCUUCAUCAAUUGCCAGCAGCUCAAACUUCAAACCACUUAGUCUUCCCAUAGAACGGGGGCUAGUUUUCUUUACGGAAUUUCUCUAAUAUUUCUUUGAACUUACUGGAAGAUGUUUUGGAACAAAAUUGUAGGUUCAUCACGGUGGAGCUGGAACCACAGCUGCGGGAUUAAAAGCAGGGGUAAUGUUCAAUAAUGUCUCAAGAUUUUAAUGACAUUAUUUCAGUGUUGCAUCUUUUCUGAUAUGAAUAUCAUAACUUGCAGUGUCCAACAACCAUAGUUCCAUUUUUCGGAGACCAGUUCUUUUGGGGAGAUAGAAUAUAUCAGAAAGAGUUCGGACCUGCUCCAAUUCCAAUUUCUCAGCUCAGUGUUGAGAACUUAUCAACUGCCAUAAAAUUCAUGCUCCAGCCAGAGGUAAAUUUAAAUUCUGCUUAUCCUGCUUUUAAGAUAUCCCAUUCCUACCAUCCUCGCUUGAACAGCCAAAGAAUAAUCGAAAUCAUAUAAUAAUAAAGGGUUUAAAAGUAAGGCAUAUUAAGUAGCAGCAUCUGUUAUAAAUCUUUUCAAAUCAAUCUUUUGGCCCCGAAAUUGAAACUUAAGUCCUAUUCAACAUAGACAUAUGUAUGAUUCAUGUGAAAGUUGUAAUAACCUAUGAACCAUUCUCUUCCACUGUCUUUAUAUCUUUUAGCAUCAUGAAUUUAAUGCAUGGUAGAAGAGUUUUUUAGUGUUAUUUAUCUUUGUUGCACCGGCGGAGGCUAGCGUAGCUGUAUGCUUCCAUAAUGUAGUACUUGUGCUCUGCAAACAUUGCCAUAGUAUAUCCAAAAACAAUAUUGACAAUUAAUGAAAUUAUAAAUGUUCAGGUGAAAUCUCGAGUUAUGGAAAUCGCUAAGUUGAUUGAAAAUGAAGAUGGUGUUGCCGCUGCAGUUGAUGCAUUUCAUCGCCAUUUGCCUGAUGAGCUACCACUGCCAACUCCGUCGUCUCCCGGAGAGGAGGACCACCAAAAUCCUGUGGACUGGUUUUUCGCCCGAGUUGGAAAGUGGUGUUGUCUACCUUGUGGUGUUGUCUAGGUUUUCUUUUAUUCAUUACAAAGCUUAUAUUUGAUAGGAAACCUUAUAUUUUCCCAGAAUAGCAGCCUAGUGUUUUUGGUUUGGUAUUUCAUUCAUUUUUAUCAACAAUAUCAUGUGAGGGUUUGAUUAACAAUAUUCAAUUAUGUAAUUAGAUCCCUUUUGUAUAGGAGCUUAUCUCAUUUAUGAUCAAUUAGGAGUGAAAAGCUUUUGUUAUAGGCCAACCAAUUUCCUUUUUUGUACACAUCUCUUAUAUUAAUUUGUCAUGGAUUUUAAGAUCUAUGUUUUAUAGAUACUAGGGUGUCCAUUGGCAUAAAAUCGACUCACAUUCUUAUUUUUUAUGAUAUAUAUCAUUUUUGUGUCAUAUUCUUUAAAGAAAAAUAAUUUAAUAUAAGAAACGUUACAUAAAAACUCAAAAAAAUUGUAAAAUCUACGUCAAUCCAUAAAAAUAGGGAUCUGAAUCCAAGUAAUAAAUUAAAUUUCAAAAAUAUAUUAUUUAUAAGACAAAUUUGUAUUAAAAGAAGUAUAAGGACACUUGAAGUUUAUUACAAGAACAUUAAUUUUGUAUAAUGAGCAAAGUGUAGUUUAAACUGUAAAAAGUGAAAAGUAUAUAGUAUAUAGUGUUAGAAGAUGAGGCCUAAAUUACUAACAGAAUUCAAACUUCAACUUCCACUCUCACCUUUCAACAUGCGGUGGUCGGCGUUCAGGAACGCCGGCUUAGGCAUCGCCGCCAUGUUAUACAUCACCGUUGACUACCUCCGUCACAUUUCUCCGAAGUUGCACUCGCGGCUGCAGCCGGCAUUUUUGUCUCUUCUGGCCAUCGCCGCCGUGGCGCGUGUCCCGUCCUACCGCCACUGGUCAGCGGAGUUCCGUGCGGUGAUCCCCUUCGUUGCCUCCAUGAUCUUCAUGCUCGCCACUCUCCUCUACGAGGCCAUCUCUGUUCGCUCCGUCACCGCCGUUCUCGGCCUCGACUGGCACCGGUAACUGUCGCCGGAACUAACUCCGUUCUCUUUCGUUAUUCUGUUCUUACGGAUCUAGAUUGUUAUAUCAUUUUAAGGCAUAUCUUGAAUCUCGAAACAUGUUGCUUCUUUAAUUUCAGUUUAUUUAUUUAUUAUUUCCAUAAUUAGCUAUAACGAGAUCUGAGAUAUUUAAUUACAUUCUAUUCAUGGUUGCGGUUCGGUUACGUAGUUAAUGCAGUUCAUCAAUGUUUACAUUGAGUUUUGUGGGAGUUUCUUUAUGAUCAACUCGUUAAAUGACAAGAUGAAUUCAAUAGGUGAUAGUUAAAGGAGAUAAUCAUGUAAUUAUGAUUUAUUAGUGAAGUAAAUGGAAUGCUUUACUUCCUAAUUUAGUUCUCAUAGAUAGUAUUUGUUUCUAUUUUUAAAUUUUUUGGUCUUUAGAUCUUAAAUUUUUAAGUUUCAGAUCUCUGCUUAUUUGACAGUAUCCUUGCAGGAAAUUUAAUUUAAAAUGUAGACUAUGAUUUUCUCAUUUUUCAUCAGAAACGAAAUUGAUACUUAUGAAAUUGAUGAAUUAUUUGCUACUGCAUAAUGUUGUAUUUUCUCAUUACUAAGUAAGUAGACUUACUUAACACUUUUUUGAAAUAUGAAAACUUAUUUAGUUAUUUUGUUUUUGAUAGUGAAAACCAUCCACUUCCAGACACUGGUCAAUGGUUGUUCCUGGCAUUAAAUGAGAAACUUCCUAGUGCCAUUGUUGAUAUAUUAAGAGCUCGUGUUAUUGGAUUGCACCAUUACUUGAUGUUGUUUAUGAUGCUGGCAUUCUCUGUUCUAUUUGACUCUAUAAGAGCUCCAGGCCUUGGACUAGGUGCGAGAUACAUGUUUACUAUGGCAAUUGGCCGCCUUCUUCGAACCAUAACAUUUGCAUCUACAAUUCUGCCAUCACCCCGCCCUUGGUGUGCUGCUUCUCGGUUCAGAGUUCCAAAACAUCCUCAUCCUUGGGCUCAAAAAUAUUAUGUUCCCUAUACCUCGGAUCAUAACGCUAUCAGUCAGGUGAUAAAGCAAGAUAUUGCUUAUGGUAUGCAGUCUACUUUUCAUUCGGUUCUCCUAAUUGUUCUCAAACUAUAAUGAUUUUACUUCUAGGUUGCCUAUAUUGUGGCCCUUAAUAUUAACAAAUUCACAGGACUUGUAGUGCUCAUUAAAGAUCGUCUUCACACAAAAAAUUCUUCAUAAAUUCCGUUGGUCUGAAAGGGUAUUUUUGAAGUAAAACCGAAAAAUAUUAUAUCUUGGACAUAGAAGUUAUUUGCACUUUCAGCCACUUCGGUGUACUUAUAAGAAAUAUGAUCAUGACCUUCUUUGUGAUUGUAUGAAUUUUAGUUUUACAUUAUUACUUUAUGCUUUAUCCUUAAAUCAACAAUGAAGUCCCUCUGCAUCUGUACGAGCAUGUUCACCCUUACAGAUAUUUUGGUAUUGCGAGAAGCUCGUGCAAAUUAAUAUGCUAUUCUUUUUUAGUUGACGUUGGACAACCAAUUGGUGACCGCCGGCCAGAUUGGGGUUCAAUGAGUUUUCUUAUUGAUUUUCUGCGACCCACUGCAUCAGAAGGUUCAUGGUUCAGUCUGUUAACGAAAGCUGGAGGUGGCUGCAAUGACCUUAUAUACAGUGGCCACAUGCUAGUUGCUGUACUCACAGCUAUGGCAUGGACAGUAAGAUACUAAAAUUUGAAGUUCACUACACGAAUUGUGAUACAAUUUUGUGGUUAUUUCUGCAUUUGAUUUUAAAGUAGGAGCUAAAUUCUAUACUUUUCUAUUUAAAAUUUGGCUUCAGGAAGCAUAUGGUGGUUUCAGUUCAGCUCUUGUAUGGCUACUUGUAAUUCACAGUGCCCAAAGAGAAAUACGAGAACGCCAUCAUUACUCUGUGGACUGCAUUGUAGCCAUCUAUGUAGGUAUCCUUAUAUGGAAGAUGACUGGUUUUAUAUGGUCACAACAAGAUAGGAAACCGACUAAGUUUGAGAAGAUUCAGAGUAGACUAAUCCAAGCUUCAAAGGACUCAGACAUAGAUAAAAUGAGGGAGCUUCUCAAAGAGGUUGAGUUAAGCAGUGAAGGGAGCAAGAAUCAGACUGCAAUGAGACACGCACAGCUGUUUAAGGGUGUGACCAUUGGCUUUGCGCUCAUCAUCGUUGUUCUGGCUUUGAUAUUCACAAGCGAUGGGUGAUCUUCUUAUGGUAUUAAACUUAUAGUAACCCUUUUCCACGAAGGCUGGUUUAUAUAAGCAGCAAUUUGGGAGUUUGUUGAGUGCAUUUAUGUGAGGCUUGGCUAACCUUGAAUGCCCCAAAAGUGAGGUUUUAUAAUGUUUAUUGUUAGAGCUGUUGUUUACCAUUGUCAUAAUUUUGCAUCACUAGAGAUGUUGAAAGUUUUUUGUAUGAAUUGUAUAAUCAACAACAUUAGAAAAGUUAUCCAGGAUGGAAAAUAGAAAUUGUCGUUGGCGCAAUAUAACAUGAGGAUGUGGUUGUCAAUGUGCACAAGGAGUCUUUGUUUUACUUGGCUUUGGCUUUGGCUUUGGAAAGGAAAAGUAUAUGUUGUGUCGAUGGGUCUAGACUCUAGAAGAGGUGGUAAGGUUGUUUGAAAUUGAAAUAAAAGAUGUAGAGAUGGGUAUAAUUUGUAACAAAAAUGUGAAUGAUUCACACAAAAAUUGAUUGAUUCUAUUGAAGUCUUGAUUGGUAUUAAACAUAUAGUAACCAGACAAAUUCACACAAAAAUUGAUUGAUUCUGUUGAAGUCUUAUUUGUAUUUUUUUGGACAAUCUAUAUGUUUGUGAGUUAAGGCUACCUAUAUCUACCUUUUCUAGACUUUGAUGUCGAGUUUGUAAUACAAAUAACGCUGCAGUUUAUUCAAUCUUCUCAUUUAGUACUAAUAUAGUGUCAAAUUUUCCCUAUUUAGACUACCACCAUAUUUUCUACUCUUGAUUUUAUACUUUAGUGUCCCAAAAGCAAUAGAUUCCCUGAGGUAGGAGAAGUAAUAAGCAAUAGGAAUAGUUUCAAAAAAGCAAUAGACCUCAACACUUUGAGGUCUCUAUGUACAUGUAUUGUAUAAUGAAGAAAUGAAUAUAUGCUUUACUUGCACACUUUUGUUCUUACAUCUACAAAACAGUAACACAAUACUCUAAGAAUGCUCUUCAUUGGGUCUGUUCUAAGAAACACAAUAUUGAAACACACCCUUUUACUAAACUUUCAUUAUUUUCAAGACAAAUUAAGGAUCAGCAUAUUAUGGAGGUUGAGUUGGGGCUCAAGAUCACCAGAACCAGAGAUGAUACAACUUCCAUUUCUGAUUUUCAAUUUGCAAAAGACAGAUCAGGACCUCUCUUCUUGUCUAAAGAAACUGAUGCAAUGUUUAUCCUCAUAGUACAUCUUAAAGGUUUCUUCUUGUUUCCUUUCUAUGUUAAGGAACAUGUUUCAUGUACAACACACUGUGACAACAAUGGGACAAAAUUGUAUUUCCCUUAGUUAUUUUUAAAUGCAUAUAUACAAUGAAGAUAAAAAUAUAUAUAUGGGAGAUUGAGAUAAACGUACAAAUAACAUAACUACUAUGUGUUAAUGAUGUUUAGUAUGUUAACAUAUAAUUAAAUGCAGGAUAUAAGAAAGAGAACAUUGACAUAAAUAUUAGUGAAGAUGGUACUGAGAUUUCAGUGAGUGGAGAGAAAGAGGUGCAGGAAAUGCAAAUGAUACCGUUCAAGAAAGAGCUGAAAAUCAAAGGGUUUAGAAAGAAGUUUAGAAUUCCUGAUGGGGUUGUUUUGGAUAGGAUCAAAGCUAAGAAGUAUAAAGAAGAGGAUGGUGUUUUGACAAUUAUGAUGCCAAAAAUGGUGAAAGGGGUGUGUGGUAUUGGAAUUGAGGAAGUGAAGGAAUUAGAAAAGGUUGCUGAUAGAGUGAUACCAGAACCAAAACCAGAACCAGAACAAACUAGUGUAUCAGAAAUGGUUCAAGAUAAGAAGGAAGAGGAAGCAGCUCCACCAGUGAAGAAGCGAGGUUCCAAAAAACUAUGGAAGCCUUGUCCUCCUUUGUUUCUAGGAGGAUCAACUUUGCUUGUAUCUCUUAUCUUUCUAGGAAUACACUAUAUUAGAGUGAGAAAGGGUAGUUGAUUUAAGCUUAUUAAAACAUGCUUUGUCUUAGUUCAUGCUCUUCUAAUAGUAACAAAAAAAUACUUUACAAUAAUAUUAGAACAACCUUUAAUCCUUAAAUCUUAUAUGUGCAUUUAUCCUUGAGUUUCUACCCAAAACUUAAGAGAUUAAUCCUUUUGAGGUUUAAAGAUCUUAUAAAGGAUUUGGAAAUUACUUAAGUGACUCUUGUUUUUCACCAACAAAAAGUUUAUUCAUACAUGCAAUAGUAAUCAAACUCAUAACAAUAUGUUUAAAAAAUCAUUUAUUUAUCAACUUAGUCUAGUCUCAUUUGUUUGGCUGGAUCUAUUUAAAGGGUUUACCGUUUAUUCAAUUCUAUUGGGAGGGAUAAUCACACAUCCUGAAAAGAACUAACUUUAUCCGUAGGAAGAUGAGAUAAAGGACAGAGUAUUUUAUUUCUUCAUUUCUUCAAAUUGUAUUGAGCUGGAAAGGUGGCAGAUGGUUUGCCACUAAAUAAAACAUUGUGUGUUCUUCAAAGUUAAAACCUUAUACACAAGUUUCAGACAUAGCACGUGCAUACAGAUAGAAAGACAAAUCCAUUAUCGUGAGUUCCAAGAAUGUGGGGGCACUAUCCACAAUAAACCCAUGUCUUAACAAUGAAUGAUGCUUAAAAAGACAGAAAAAUAGUGUAAAUAGAAUACUAAAGUUGUGUCUUUUGCAUAAUUGUAUGUGCUGCAUGAGAUUUUGCUAUGUUUAAUAAUAAAAACAAAUAUAAUAUUUUUCCCAUAAAAUAUUAUUACUCAAAAUCAAAAGGUAAAUGAAGAUGGCAUUACAAUAGGUCAUAAGAAUACAUUGACCAUUACAGAAGGUCAUAACAUGAGAAUUCCUUGGCAUGGAAGAUAACUUGACCAGGAACUAGAGUCACAUGACAAGGAAUACAAUUCUUGAAGGCAAUAAACCAAGUCAAAGUAAACCAGCAUCAAUGACCUGAUUGGAAACUCAUAUUCAUCAGAUAUUCAUAUAUAACACUGGUAACAUUUUCAUUUGUCAUCAAAUACAAAAUAGUGAAAUCUUAGCAAUGGAAAAACAACGGUCCAAAUAAGACAGAAAUAACAGAAUAAACAGAACAAAGGCUGCAGAACACAGAAAUAAUCUUCAGAAAUUUGAGUAACUAAAUGUCUUCUAAUCUUCUAUAGUUAGCCCAUAAAGUUUAAUGAAACUGGAAAUAUUACAAAAUUCUAUAAUUAAAAGCUUUUCUAAAUACAAUUUAAGUAUAUGAACCAAAAGAAAAUGUAUCUGAUACAUAUUCCUCAACAAAAUCGGCUACAAAGAAGGAUGCGGGAAGUUAAAAAGAAAAUUGCUUAUACAAAUACCAACAUCAUCAGACAAAAACAACAGGGAGGAAAAUAAACAACAUCAUCCACUUCAACUAUCCUUAAUUCUAUACAAUUUAUAUGACUUUUCAGUACAAGAAUCCCCCCUUACCACUAUUUUGUAAACUGAAAUGGAAGCAAAAUUAGGCUAUUGCAUUAACUCAACUUCUACUUCCAUUAAGCACCAGUACUGUUGCAAUAAGUUACUCGGAAUGGUUCGGCUUGCCAAGAGUUUCAAGCCCUUCAGUUCGGCUACACACGAUUCUAUGGAACACCUCCCUCACUUGGCGCUCCAACGGGUCUAGUCCAUCUUUUAAAGCAUUGCAAACUUGUGAAAUUUCCUGCACUCUCUUCCUAACCUCCCUUUCCUUCUCUUCUGUCAAAGGGAAGUGCACAGAAUCAGCAAAUUCAUUCAUCAUUCUAGCAUAUUUCUCAAUCUGAUGAAUCUCUUUGAGCAAGCCACAAGUGUUCUUCCGAUCACGCUUCUUCGACUCGUCCGUGAUCCUGUCAUGAAGCGAGAACAUCGGAGCAGCCCACAAGGAAUUCUUAGGAGUGUUAAAUUGGACUUGUAACCCACGAUCCUGGCAUGGAAUUGCAGCCACAAGUGCCCACAUCACAAACAAAAGGACCGAAUUCAUGAUAUACACGGUCAUUGCAAGACCAUUAGUUGCAACAAUAUCAUUUGGUUUAGGAGGAUACAUGUUGUACCCAAUUGCUUGGAUCUGCUUAGCAGCAGACCAAGUACUGGAAACACUCCAUGAAAGCGAUCGAAAAUGAGCCAAUGACCGGUGAUGCUGGUGAAGGUUGCUAAUAUUAUGAUUACCAUUAUUGUUCUGAUUCUGAUGAUGGUCUUUGCUAGCAUUGUUGCGGCCGAAAGAUCGGUUUCUAUUUGCGAUAGAAGCAGCAGAUUCCUUAUCAUCAAGCAUACCAAUUGCUAAAUCAAUGAGAGCCUUCUUAGCUCUACGAAAUUGACCAUGACCAAUGCUCCUCUGAGGCCCCACUGCAUAAACUACAAUCUCCAACAGCUUCUGCCAUUGCCGAAUCUGCUCAAUCCCAUCGCGGAUCGCGUUGCAAACAUCCAAAGCCUUGACACUACGUUCAAAAUAAUCAGAGAUCAUGCGAUCCAUUGGGUGUCUCAAAAUCUGAACCCUAUGGGUUUGGAGAAUGGCUCUGAAUUCCUCAUGGCAACAGAUGAAUGAGUCAAGGAGUUUCCGAACCCAUGACAAAGAAAGAAAAUCAAUGUCAUCAACUGAAGAGAGUUCAAGUAAACGGUUAGUGAUGUGUUGCUGAAAGGAUUCAAGUUCAAGUUCCAAGCUUAUCCCUUCCAUUGAGUGAACUUGAUGAUGAUCACGAUGACGGAGACUCAGAAUUGAACGACCGAAAUGGGACAAUGAUGAAGGAGACGAACCUUGAGAAUCCGUCGCAGGCAUUCUCAAACAAAAGUUGCAGAAGCUCUCUUUUUGAAUCACUCCCACUUCUUAAUACCAAAUAUAAUUUCACAAACCCAGUUUCUAAAAACUCAUAAAGAACGAAAAUUUAUCUCCAAUUUGAAGACCCAGGAAUCAAAAACCCCAAACUUUCACAGAACAAAUUUUGAAAAGCCUAUGUUGAACCCCUCACCUGAAAUUAAAAAAAAAAUACAAAUUCUCUCCAAUUUUGAAUCUUUUUUCAGUUUCAAUUUUGAAAACCCAGAAAUCAAUAACACCGAUUUCGCAUACCCAUUUCCAAAAGUACAAAAUUGAACCCAUGAAAUGAAAAGGACCCUUCCAUAUGUGAAACCUUUUAUCAGUUUAUUUGAAAACCCAGAAAUAAGAACCUGUUUAGAAUCUAAAGCUAAGGAAAAUUGAAUAUUGAAAAUUUAGAACCGAAGUGAGAAAGAUUGAAAGGAUGAGGAAGGAAAUGAUGAAUGGAGAGAGAAGAGAGACAAUGAGAUGGAACCCUAAUUGUAAGGGAGCUGGAUUAUAUUUGGGACAAUUGGACCGCGUUUUAUGGUAGUUGGAAAAAAGUCAAAUACGCAAAAACAAAAAUGAACCAAAAUAGUUUUUUUUUUUUAGCAUUGUUAUAUUUUGUUAUAUCGGCUCCUAAAUCCUCCUACCCACAAAAAAAUGACACAUGUCACUUGUAAAUCAAUCAUUAAUAAUUAAAAUAUCUUAUUAUGACACAUGUCAUCUUCUUGUGGGUAGGAGGAUUAAUAUGAGGAUAUAGUAGGAGAUAUAUCAUUUUCCGUUUUUUCGUACCUCUUUUUUAGAUAUUUCAUUAAGCGUUUAAUAGAGUGCUAUGAUAAUUGGACCAGAAUGAAUAGUCUGACUGAUUUGACCACUGAUUAAGUUUAAAAAUAACUUUAAUUUAUAGUCUUAACUAAAUAAGGAAUUAGACCGCUUUGAAUCGGAGAAAUUUCAAUCCAUCCAUAUUAAAUUUAGUUAAACUACAAUAACCCAUGAACUUAAUAAUUAGUUGUGUGUAAAAAAUUGGAGAUAUUAAAAUGAGUUUUUUUAUUACCCACCUUCGAUGAGGACUAGUUCAUAAAAUUGGAUGCUUUCUAGAAAACAAAGAAUUAGCAAUGUGUUAUGUUAUUGUGAUGGAUUGACGGAUAUAACCCUGAUGUGAAGGGUUUUUGGACCCUUUCAUUUCAUUCAUAACUAUUUUGUCAUUAUAUGACUACAUUCAUCUCACACUUAACUCUCUUGCAUCAUCACUAUAUAUUUUUUUUUAAACUAUGGCUCAGAUAUACAAUGAUUCAACGAUAAAAAUGCAAAAUAUCAUUUUCAGAAAUACAUUUUAAGUUUGUUAACUUCAAAACUACUUAUUACAACCAUGUAAAAAGUAUUGAUAAUAUUAAAUCCCUAAUGAAGAUUGCAUCAUAUGAAAGUUAUUUCCUAGUAGAAAUAGAAAAAUAAGUCAUUACAUUAUUUUGAAGAGACUAAUCCAUUAUAAAUGUUUGGCAAAUGUUAUUAUGGGCCAAAACAUUAGACCAUAAGUUUGUAAGUAAAAAUUAUCUCGAUUAAGUAGUUGAAGAAAAUCCAAAUAGGUGAGAUAAUAUUCUUAAUAAUAUUAAAAUCUGAAGUUUUUUUUCAAAAGACAUGUCUUUCAUAUAUAUAUAUAUAUAUAUAUAUAUAUAUAUAUAUAUAUAUAUAUAUAUAUAUAUAUAUAUAUAUAUAUAUAUAUAUAUAUAUGAAAGACAUGUCUUUUGAAAAAAAACUUCAGAUUUUAAUAUUAUUAAGAAUAUUAUCUCACCUAUUUGGAUUUUCUUCAACUACUUAAUCGAGAUAAUUUUUACUUACAAACUUAUGGUCUAAUGUUUUGGCCCAUAAUAACAUUUGUGGAUGAUAUCGAUGCAGACAAAAUGAGGAUAUAACCAAUAUUUUGGCACAAUGUGAAUGGCUUUAAGUUGAAGAAAUUGAAAACUUUAUCUAAUAUUCAAUGUGUAUUUUCAUCAUACAUUAGUUUGGCUGGCAGCUAGCUCUUUUGUUUUUUAUCAAAUAAAUUGGACAGCUCAGACACCAAAUUUUUCAUUAUUUAUAUGACCUAAGAUAUUGGAGUUGCUGUAAUGGAUUUAAUUUUAUUUAUGUGAUUGCUUAGCCAAAGUAUUUUAGUGGUGAAAUAAUAUAUAUUUUGGAAAUACUGUAAAAAAUACUUGCACAAGAUAGAAAUUAAACCGUAUGAUACUCAUAUAAUAAUUUGAUAUACUUUUAAAUUUGUAAUAGAUAGAAAAAAAUUAAGAUAUUAACGUAAGCAAUUUUUUGAGGAUAACUACAUAUAUUUUCGUUUAAAAUACUAAAUAUAUUACUUUUCCAAAGUAUAUAUAUAUAUUAGUUCAAACACAUGAAUGUAUAUAGAUAAACUUUUUAUUUUAUUUUUCUUGAUCUAAUACGUUAAACCUUGUUAAGAUUAUUAAACAACCUCACGUGUGUGUUGUUCUUCCCUAGACCAUGGAAUCGAUAAACAUAGUUUGAUACUUAAACUAUAUGCACCUUUCCUUGUUUAACUUAUGAACAAAAUUGCACUUAUAUGGCCUUCUAUCAUUCACCAUUAAUUUGUAAUAUUUUUGUUUAAAAGUCAAUGAUAAUUAACAUAUCAAUGAUGAAAAUUUGUCAACAAUGUAAAAAACAUUUACACCAUUGGUGCAUACAUUUUAAAUACUGAAGCUGAAAGAUUAGAACAGAAAGAUCUUGGACAGAUAUUACCACUUUAAUUAUAAGUACAUGUGAUGCAUAUGAUAGGGAAUAAUUGCACUCUACUACUUGGAAGUUAAGCAUCAAACUGUGGUCCUAAACAGGAUUACUUCCCAUAAUCAUAAUUUAUAUCACUCUAUAUAUCAUAAAUUAUCAUUAAUCAGAAAAAUACUUGAUAAUUAAAUUCUAACAUAAAUAUAUUUUUUUAACCGAUUACAAUCUUAUGACACAUAGAGUGACACUCAUUAUAAUACAGCAUCCCAAACUUGUGAAGUUGGUGGACACUGGAUAAAAAGAAGAAGAAGACAUUAUGAUGCAUGCGCAUGCUAGGUUUUUGACCAUUAAACAUUUUUUAUGCCUUCAAUUAUUUAUAUUUGAAAACAUUUAGUGUCGAACAAAGUAGUGAUCUUCCAUUUAUAUGAUGGGUUGCUAAUAAAAAAUUCAAUGAUUUUAAUUGAACAUGCUUGAAAUUUAACUGUUAUUUCAACAUUUGUUUUAUAAUAUGAUGAUGAUCAAAUUCCUUCAACUUCUAGAAAUGUUUAAAUUCACGAAUAUUUACAAGAAAAUAAUAUUGUUUAUAAACUUUAUAUCCUACAUAGGACUCUACCUUUCUUUAUAAAGAAAAUAUAAUAUUCUUUAUAAAUGAAGAUUCAUCUAUCACUCUAUUCAGUCAUUAACAAAAAGUUAUUAUUUGUACAGAUAUUAAGUAAUCACUUGCAUAACUUAAUUAUAUAUCUCAUUACAUUGAACAUAAUAUUAAAGGUGAUUUUAUAUUUAGCAUUUCACCUCACUCCAGUUAUAUCCCUGUGGGAAAAGUCUCCUAUCACCACACUCAAUCAUGGAACAUAGAAAGAUAUAAUAUUUAGUAUUUAAAGAGAAAGAUCAUCUGUCCCAAAAUAAUUUUGUUAUCGUAUACCUAAUAUUCUGUGUACUUGCACAAAAAUGUCUACAUAUUUGACAGAGGGCAGAUAUGAGACACUUGUUCCAACUACAUGGCUACUAUUUCACAAUUAAUUAAUUUUGAUUAAGAAGGUGCCAGCUUUUCAAAACUGCAGCAAAAUGCAAAAAAACUAUGUCAACUUUGACAAUUUCUAGUCAUAUUUACCAACAGUGAAUACAUUUACUGCCAACAAUCAUUUUUCUUUUCUAGAUUAAGCAGCAAUAUUGCAUGUUAGAGUAUCUUCAUUGAUGUAUUCUUAUAACAUUUUAUUGAAAUAAGAAUAUUUUUUACUAAAUUAUCAAUGUAGAAUUCUUAUUUCUUAAUAAUAUUUCUUGCACAAAAACAUUUUUAUAUUUAUUCUUAUAAUAAAACGUAAGUUUCAAAGGUAACAAGUAGGAAAGAGUAACAUUUAUUAUUAUAAAAUAUAAGAGUUUGAUUACAUUAUACAAUUUAAAUAUAUAAAAAAUGAUAGUUGUUAUUAUGAAGAAAAAUUAUAUAUUAUUCUUAAUUUAUGAGAAUGUGUAAUAAAUUAUACAAUAAUAUGUGAGACUCAAAUAAAUUUAUCUUAUAAAAUUAUAAAUUAUGGAGAUACUCUUACAUCCUAUUCAGCACUUUUGCUUCUCCAGAAAAGGUCAGCAAUAAAAUAUCUCGUCCUUCAGUUUGAUGUCAUGCACCACAUGACAUGAUCAUAAAUAAGAUAACGGGUGAGGACUAAGAUUGAGACAAAAAUAAUGUGUCUCAAAAAAUUCCUAUCUCCAUGUCAAAAGCCACUUACAUUAUAAUAAAUAAUAAAAAAUAUUUUUAGCUUUUAUGAUUGUUUUUUGUAAUUAAUUAACACUUUUUGAUAGAAUUAAUAUAUAAUGAAACAUCAAAUUUUGGGAUAAAUGAUCUCGAUUUCUAAGUUUGACCAUUUAAUAACUCCCAUCCUUUGCCAUAAAUGUGGGAGGGAUAAGGAGAUAAGGUUGAUUAUUCUACCCAACUAUAAAGAUAUUUUAAUGACCAAUUGGUUAGUAAAUGUAAGCAUGGGGUCAUAGUGGUAGGACCCUCCUACUCUUGUUUGACUCCUACACACAACAAUUAAUAUUAUUCAUCUCUUUGGUCCCCCAACAACAUAGCAUUAUUCAAUUUUACCAUCCCUUUGGCACCAAGUAUUCUUGACCUUUGAAACAUUCUAGGAAUUGAAGCACUCAAAGAAUGGCUCAAACAAAUGCAUAUUAGUCAUGUAUUGAUAUUACAAUGUGCACUUUGUUAUGGAGGGCAGAUCGAUUAUCCUUAACCCUGUUUCAAUCCAAUGAAAUUGUGACAUCUAUUAAAAAAAAUUGAGUAUCGAGAAACAUACAUGUUCAUUUUUUAUUAGGUAUCACAGUUUUAUUGGAAUAAGAUAGAGUUAGAGACAUGUUUUUGGAAUAUAUGAUUCCAAAUUAUGACAGGGAAAAAAGAAAAGGUCAAAUGAGGCAUUGAAACUUGGGAUCUUAAAUUGACUUGGUUCCAUUUCUAAAGACCAUACAUCUUAGGGGAAAGAUAGCAAAGAAAAAAGCCUACAUUACAUUUGGUUACAAUCUAUGAUGAGGGUAUCCAUAAAGUCAUAAGUCACAAUCAAAACAAUCCCAUGUUAUCUCAUUACUACUUCAAUGGAAUAGUUCAAAACAAAUUAGAAAAAUACAUGGUUGUACAUCUAAAAAGCUGAUACAAAAUAAUCCCAUAAUGUCUGAACCUUCAAAUUGUAUCUUAAGGUAGGCAAAAGGGAAAAAAUAAAUCAUAGAUCAACAAUAUUCACAGCACUAGCUUGGCUACACUAAGCAAAAAUUUGACCUGCUGCUGAAAUUCAAGUAUAUGAUGACCACCUUUCUCUAUUCAUUUUAACCAUUAUAUCUUUAAAGUUACACAAAUUUUAGGAGAAAAUGCAUAUACAUCUCAAUGUGUAAUGUUGCAUUUGUAAUGAAGAUCAAAAUUUUGAAAACGCAACAAUCAGAAUAACAAGGAAAACAACAAAAGGAGAACCCAACAUCUGGUAUUGACAAAGGAAAGAUGGUGUGAUGGCCACUUUUACCCUUAAAUACAAAAACAAAAUCAAUAACUUGUAUUUCCAGUAUUAGAGAUGAUUCUUUUCGGUCUGGUUCAUAAUUCAAUUUAAAAGAAGAGUAGGCAAAAUACUCCUGUUUAUCCUCUAUCUUUAUUUGUUAUUUUUUUCAACUUAUACAUUUGUCUUGUAUUAUGAAUUGAACCUAAAGCCAUUCAAGGCACUUGACAUGGUGCCCAUAAAAAAAAGACAUGGUGCAUUAGCACCCCAUCUAAGUCCUACUAAAACCAAUAAAAUUCUCAACAUUGAACAAAACAGAGAAGAAAAGUCACAUACACUUUAAACUUUAUAUACAUUGAAAGGUUUAAAAGAAGAAAAGAAAACCAAAACAAACCAAGAAAGGGACAACAUAAUGGCACAUUUUACACAUAUUGAUUUGUACUUCACAUUUUAACUAUGCAGGUGUACAAUGACUUAAUGCAGCUUCUAGAUCCUAUAAAUAACUAUGAUGGAGAAUGGAUCCUAUUUUUCUUGCCACAAAUAUCUCUUAUAAUUAUUCACAUGCCAGUUUUGAGUCAAAGCUAGUCAAGCAUAUGGCAAAAGCCUGAAAUGCAGAGAGAGGGUACCGAUAGUCCAUUGUAAACAUAUCCUUGCCGACCCUGCCAAACUGAAGAAUAAUCUUGUCAUGGUCAGACUGUGUUGUUGGCUGAGAUAGUGUAGAACCUGUUCCCGAAGUAGCACUAGAUGUUGCAGAGAUCAGCUGAAAAUUCUUGACAGAGGCGAUGUUAACUCUUCCCCUGAAGUUGAGGCACCAACACUGCAGUUGUUCAUGCCAUCUAGGUGACUUGUUCUUAAGAACUAGGGGUCUCACCUUUCCCUCUUUCUCUUCUUUGCCAGCUCCGAUAAUAUCCGAGAACCUAGCGCUGCUAAACUCGGUUGAAGUGUCGAAUGAUUUUGACAAGGAUAUACUCCCGAAAGAAUCGCCGAGGGUGCGGGGAAGGAGUUCUGGCUUGCCGGGGACAGUGCCACCAGGCUCAAGGGAUGAUGCAGGGAUUGAGUGCAUGGUGCAGUUCAUUCUUCGCGGGCCUCUAGUACCGAGGACAUUCAACUCAUAGGUGACCUGGGCUAUAUUGUAGCUGCCACUAGGGACCUUUGGAGAAACCUUUUUCGAAUAAAACCUACUCCUUCGGCCUGGUGGAGAAAGCUGAGCAUAGUUAUAGGGAGGCUGUGUAUCACUCAUUAUAAAUUUGGUACCGAGAAAAUUUGACCUGAAACAAUAGGUAGAUAACAUAAUAGUAUAAGUCAGUGCAGGAAGGUAGAGAAAUAAAAUUUUCUAGCACUCAAAUUUUUGGAAGAUGGUACAAAAUUAUGCAUGACCUUUGAUCUUUUCCAAGUCAUUCAAAACAGAACUUCUAAAUAUAAACAAUGAUUAAUAGCGCUAAAUGGAUUCAUGCAGCCAAAAAAUAGUGUACCCAAAAAGCUAUACCUCAGUUUUCCAUUGUAAGUGCUAAUAGAUCUAGAUAUGUUAUCUGCAUCCAUUGAUAAGAUAUACUCUGUGCAAGUCGUGCGUCUUGUCCGUUUUGCGGAGAGAAGAAACUUCCCAUUUUCAACAAGCAAGGCUGCAAGAACACAAUUAUGAGUUCAGAACAAGUGCUGCUAACAAGCAGCAAAAACUAUACACCUACUCAGAAACUAUGGUCAUAACAAAGUUUAAAUGGAUGAUAUGACCACAGCAAGAAGUGGCAUCAACAUCCAAUCCUUGAGCAGCUUCUUAACCGGUAGUUAUAAUCAUGAACUUCAAUAUUAACAUCCGAAACUCAAAAGUGGACCAGAGCAAACAAUUUGGCCAUAUUAACAACAACGGUCUCGUACCUAAUUUGGACAAACAAGAGCUUACUUUCAAUGAAAACUUAAUUUGGGGAAUUACAGUACUGUCGCAUGGAAGCUUUCAAUAAAAUCUAAUUUAUUGUGGCACCAAAAAUAAAUGAAGAUCAUAUACAAUUUAGAAGAAUCGAAAAUCAAGGAAACAACAACCAAGCCUUUAUCACACUAGGUGAGGUCGACUACAUGGAUCGAACAACGUCAUAAUGUUCUAUCAUAAAUAAGGAAACAUAUAUAAAUUCUACAUUGAAAAAUCAACUCAGCUUGGAAUGAUAAGGAAUAAAAUAAAUGCAUAAGUUAGACGCCAUGUGUCAAUAGUAAUAAAAAUUCAAAUAAACCACAAAAGAUAAUAAGAUAAAAUCAUAUGCAUUGGGUGUGAACAAAAGAAAGUAAAGUUUACCAGGACUAAGGCAAAGGAAGAGGUGAUAUGUCAUCUUAGACUUGUCUCUCUUGAUGAAGCACUGGAUGGGUCCAUCCCUAUACCCAGGCUGAAAAAACCAUCAAAGAAACAUUAAAGUGCAACAUAAGACCAUGUUUCCAAUUUUAUAUCACUAUAUAAAUGAAGCAUUUAUUUCAAAAUAUAUUUUAGAUGCAGCAGAAUAGAAGUACGAGAUUAUCUCACCUGCUUCAGGGAAAUCGGGAAAGUAAUCUUCCCACAGAAUUCGGGACUAUUGACAAUUUCUUUGCACAUAUCUCUCCACGACUUGCACACAGCCGCACAUGCAACAACGUUCCUACGGCCAGGCCAGGUUCUCUCACUUGCUUCCAGUCUCUUAAUAACAUCACGAAGAAGCUCGGGUGGAAGGCUAGCCCAUCGACUAUUCUGUAUAACUGGAGUUUGUUCCUGCAACUCGUGUACUGAAUUGCGCGACUUUCCCCUAUUAUGGCCUGGAAGCCUAACUUCAAAACUCCGCCUUGAUAAGCUUCCAAAUCCAUCCCUUACAUCACGAACUAUACUGCGGAACGACAUUUGUUCCAGCACACUGACAGCCCAAGAGCUCAAUAUCUCAUCAAAUCCACUAAAAAGAUAAAUAUUACACUCUUACUAAGAAGAUGUCACAACUUUCAAGUCUUAGGAGUGUGAAGAGCUGCAAAUGAACCAAACUUUAUUUUAAACUCCAUCAAUUCUUAGUGGUCAAGAAAUGAAAGAGAAUAAAACAAAUAGAGUAAAGCACAAAGUGAACAAAAUUUGGAAGAAAAAAACAAAAUAAAAGUGAGAUUCUCACAAAAGAAAGCCCCACAUGGAGCUAAAAGCUAAAGGAACAUACAAUUCAAGAUUUUUGCCAUAAACAAUGUUUUGGUGUGUUUCCAACCUGAUCAUGAAUCUAAGUUCCUAUAGGAGCAAUAAACCAAAAAAUCAAAAUAAAUUACUAACCAAAGGACUACACUUGCAUCACAAAGAUAAAUAAAUAAAUAAAUAAAUAAAUAAAAACAAAGAGAGCAAAUACAAAACAUGUAUUUUGUUUUGGUACUACAAGGGUAUCCUCUCACUUUUUUGGGAACUAAUUCCUUCCGGGCUCAUGGCUGCCCCUCCCAACAAGUAGAGCUCACAAGAAUCGAACUCUUAACUUUUGGGAUCCAGUGAAGCCUUUUACUACUAGACGAACGUCUUGUUGUUGGUAUGUAUUUUGUUAUAUGUAUUACAUAUAUAUGUGAUUGUACAAGGGAAUCUAAUUGCCCUAUUUUUAGUUCAAGUUGCUCUCUUUCCUUUAUUUUUGUUGUGGAAGCUACAAGGUAAGAAUCAAAUGAUAUGAAAUGCAUCUAAUACACAGACACAUGAGAACACAAGCAGAAAAGAAAACAAUAAAAGUGAAGGUGAGAGAGAACAAACCUAAAACAAUACCAAACUUGAGAGUGAUAAAUAAGGAUCCCUUCUCCAAAACACUGAAAUCAUGGAACAUAAGAGAUCUGUAAAAAUCACACACAAUAAAUAUAUCAGAGAACUCCACUAAAACCCUUAAAACUAAAAAAAUAAUAACACAGAAAAUAAUUCGAAAAGUAGUAAUAGGGCAAAAAAAUUGACAAUUCAAAAAAGAGAGUUGAAAAAUACAAAAGUUGAAUAAAGGUGCAUUGAAAGAAAGAAGGUGAGGAAGAUAAAUUAGAUGAAGAAGUAGGUGAUUUUUAAUCAUCUGUCACGAUAACAAUUAUUGGCUAUCAAAUAAAAUAAAAGUAAUACAAAUUAAUUGAUAUAAAAGCUAUUUCUCUCACUAACUAUUUCUUUCAUUUUCAAUUACCCAGUAAGCAGAGUAAUUAAGCAUGCAAUAUGAUAUCAUCACAAAUAUUGAAGUUUAUAACAAAAAUUACAAUAACUAUAUGUGUAGUGAUAUAUGAUUCGAUAAUGAUGUAUAAUAAAUUGAGCUAAUGAUACAUAAAAUAAAACUCCACAGCAUUGUGAUGCAUAGUGGUUGUCUCAUUCUCACUAUCAACAAUGAACAGGUUGAUUCAAUAGUACAUAUAUUUUAUAUUGUGCUAUAUAAUAUAAUAUAGUACUUAUCAUAUAUGAGUUUUAUAUUGUACUAGUUUAUGUUGUUUUUUUCUCAAUAUAAUAUUGUGCCUCAUUUGUGGAUAAGAAUUACUUUUUGAAGUUCAAUUUGAGUAUGACUUUGUUAUACUUCAUAUUGCAGAUUUAUGGUGUUGACAAGUAAAAAUGAGAGAACACUGCAACUUGCAUAAUGGUAUUGUUCCAUUUUCUUAUGUGGCUAUUAGAAAGCAACACAUUAUCUUUUCAUUGUUGUCUACACAAAUUAGUAUUAAAAGUCAUAUAUAGUUAAAAUGCAAUAGUAGACUAAUGAUAGGAUAGUAUUAUGAAAUUUGUUAUGAUGUUCAUUAAUCAUACAAAAAGAAAAAAAAAAUAGGAUAGUAUAUGCUAUUGGAAAUUGUAUAUAAUGAUUUCCUUAAACAAGAUCUCAUGUUCGAGUUUUGUGGAUAGAAAAAAUACUAGUAGGAGAGUUAGCUUCACAUACUUAUAGAUGUUUUUAGCUCAGGAUUGCCUCUAAUGCGAGGAUAUAUAUGAGAAACAAAAAAAAGUAUGGAAAAACCCAAAAACAGUGUGUAUGACCAUUCCUGUAGAGUUGGCCCAUUUUUAUUUGGGCCUCAUUCGUUAUAUACUAACUCAUUCCUGCUGAGUUUUUCAAUGGAUAUGUUUACAUUGGAUAUUGCUCAUAGUUGCUAAUAACAUCUUUGAAUUGGUUCUAGUUCACAGAAUUGAUUAUGGAUGAACCAAAAAGUGAUCUUUUUACUUCUCUAACCUUUAUUUUGAGAUUUUACCAAGAAACAUUUACCUGAAUCAAAUUUAUUGUACAUGUAUGUACCAAAAAAGUAAAUAAUUGUAUAUGCACAUAUACAUCACUCGAGUUAAUAUUUAUCCAAAUGAAUAAAAAGUGUCAAUUUCUCUUCUACCAAAUUAUAAAACUAAGCAUAAAUUAAGGCAUUAAAUUCCGUAUCUUUGUAAGUAAAUAAAUGUGUGAGGUGUGCUUGGCAGAGGCCUGCUAACUCAUGCAGUUGAAAACUACUUCUUCUAGUAGACGUGCAUUUUUACUUUAUACUUACUAGGGUGUCGACCAACACUUUGUAUCAAUCGACUCACAUUAUUUUUAUUUUAAUAUAGAGUGUAUUAUAUUCAUCUUAUAUCAUUUAAUAUAGGAAAUGCAAUAUAUAAAUUUAAUAGAUAGAGAAGAUUUAAGAAGAUAAUUUAUGAUAGUUGAUAUGAUAUACACAAAUUUUUUGCCAAAUUCUCAUUUUAUGUCUCUAAUAAUCAUUACAGAAUUGUUGGAGGUUUUUUAUGUGUUAUUGUAUGUUCUUCUCGGGUUGAGAAAGAGAAGAGGAUAUAGAAAUAAGGGAAUACGUAGAAGAGUAAUGAUGUAUUUAUAUAAAAAUGAAAGCAACGUGUGAAAGUUUAUACUAAUUAUUAAUGAAAUAAAUUAUAAAAACAAUAAGUUUGGAAUAUAAAAAUUAUGUGAUGAUUGUUACUUUUAUUUAUAUAUAUAUAUCAUAAGAUACAUCAUCACCACACACUAUCUAUCAUAGGCUCAUCAUGGGUAUGGGUCCUAACUAUGGCAUACCCUUUGUUUUGCUUCAAAUAGCAAGCAAGUAGUAAUAUGGUCCCUUUAAAAGCUUUUAAUUGUUCGACAUUGCCUUUGAUCUACGACAAUAACCCAUUUCUAUUAGCUUAUAAUGCGAUCUUUCAUGCGAUUUAUGUGAAUGGAAGAAAAUAGCAACAUGCAUUUGAGGUAAUGGAAACACUAUCUAGAAAAAGCAAAGACAUAUAAGUAGCAUAAUUAAAUCUUGUAACUAGUUGUGUGUAUAAUUAAUAUGCAUCUGCAUAAGCGUGCUAUUGAAGGUACAAAAUAAAUGAUGUAGGACUUGUAUUGGUGAAAAUUACAAGGUAGACAUCUACAUGAGCAUAUACACAUGUUUAUGGCAGUUGGUAGGUGCAAAAGAGACGCAUGUGCACCAUAUAAAUAAUAAUGGCUAAUUUUCAGCUCACGUUUAUUUGUUUAUUUAUUUAUUUAAGAUGGUCUAUCGAAUUGUUGGGAAAUUCAGAACCAAAUUCUCUCCUCUGUGUGAUAUAAAAUGGACACUUGCAGAAGCAGCAAGUGGAUAAAGAAAAUAGAGAAUAAUAGAAGAAUAACACCAAGAAUUUUAACGUUGAAAAACCUCCUCAAAGUGAGAAGGAAACAACCACAAGACCUAGUCUAGAAAAUAUCUCCACUAUAGAAAGUAGGAUUACAAUAUUUGACUUUCUCUUACAAAGAAGAUAAUACUCAAUUUUACCUAAAAAAGAUGGAAAUACAAACUCUCUAGUAUCUCACUAGGAAUACAAAUCUCACACUAUGUUGAUAUAAACUCUCUCACUUUCUCUCUAUGUUGUUUUUUCACUUACUUGUUGUAUAUUCGUCAGAAGUCCCUUAUAUAUAUAGUGAAGGAGAGGAAAGCUCCAUCAUAAAGACAUAGUGGAGAAUUAAUUGAUGUCAUAUUUUUCAAGACACUUUGAAAAGGUGUUACUCCAACUUUCUAAGUUAGACUUCAUAAUCUGAAGACUCAAUGAGUAAUUCCAAGACCUUGGAAUAGCCAUCAUUGAAUUAUUCAAUGGUUCAUAUACCAAGAUUCAUUGGUAUUACUUUCACAUCAAUUUGGAAGGAUUCCCAACAGGAAUCAAUAAGACUUCUAAAAGUGAGUUGUAAUACUCAUAAGGAAUAUGAACUUAAUUAGUGGAUUCCAAACGGUUGACAAGUAGGAAAUAAUGGGAACCCUAUAAGGAACGGUUAUGAUCCCCAAAACAUCAAAUCAUACGUAGUUUUUAUCUCUCCCCGUCAGAGAGAAAACGGAGGUCCCAAAAACAAUUAAGGAUUUGGUUGAGAAAUAUCAUUGUACCAAAACUCUCUCAAAAGGUAUAUCAAAUGAGUAGACCAAAGAACAUGAAUUUAGGUAUGACUUUAUAUCGUUGUUUCAUAUUAUAUGUAAGAAUCAUGAGAUUCAAUAUUCUAGAAUUUGUAUUUUAUCAAUCAUCAGAAAAUAUCUAACCUAAUACAUUUCUCGAAAUUGUGCUUUAUAUAUUUACCAAAAUAUUGUGGCACUAUUUAACUUUUUUCAUUGGCUGGUUUCAUCUCUCCUUCUUUUUAAAUGAUAAAAGCACUUUUAAGCUAAUUCAAGUUUGUGGGCAACCUUAAAAGUUAAAGUACACAUCCCUUACAUUAACCUAAUGUAUUUAGGAGAAAACAAUUCUCUUAGGUACUAUAAUUAAGAUUCCAACAAAAGAUCGCACACCUCCUACUAAAUCUUAGGACUAUUCUCCCAACUAUAUUGAUAUGUUUAUACCAUACUCAACUUUUUUAAGACCUGGAAAUUUAACUUUUUUUCUUCUUCUUUUUUCUAUCUCGCAACUUUAACUUUGUAAUUAUUGAUAGCUAUGUGAUCAUAACUGAGUGUAUUAAUUAAUCCAUGCCAAUAUCUGUCAAUGUUUAAAGGUAUUUAUAAUAUGAGAAAAAUAUUAUAUGCUCAUUACUUUUCGAAAAAAGUAAUCAAAAUAAAUAUUGGAUAUUGUACUGACUUAGAUUGUUGACUUUGUAUACAUCUUUACACUGUCAGUGUAUAUAAUGAGUUAUUUGUAUUGUAUAAAUAUAAAAUAUAAAUGCAUUUCUACAUCCUACAUCAGACAAUGCCUUGCGUCCGAAGCGAGCAAUAAAAAAAAUCGGGUUGUUUGUUGAGAUUAUUUAUCUCUAAAGUCACCUGUUUUUUUAAAAUAAUUACUUAAAAGACAACAUAAAAUUGUAUCAGAUUAUUUUAACCUUCAGUAUCUCAAAAUAAUCAAUUAUUAGUUGGUGUAUGGAUCAAUAUUCUUGUAUUGAAAGUUGCGGAUAUUGUUUUUUUUUUUGUUGUUUGGAUUAAUACCUUUGUGCUAUCUUAAUACAAUUUCUUUAUCUUUGUACAGCAAAAAAACUUUUAUAAAAAGUCAAUCAGUUUUGUAUGGAAUCCUAAAAUCACUUAAUUUAGAAUAUUAAAGUAAGAGAAAAAUGUACGUGCUUAUAGUGUAUGAAUUUUAUACACUUUCAGUGCAUUCUACCAUUAAUAUUUAAGUAUUAUUGACUUUUUCAAAAUAAAAGAAAUAUUCUAAAUGAAUGAUAAAUGAUAAAGUGUACCUGUAAUCAUUGAAUGAUGGGCGGCAGUCUAUAAUAUUUUAAUAUAAGGGUGACGUUUUAAAUUACUUCACGCUGAAAGUCAUCUUAAAUAACUAUAUCCACAAGCAUAACUUAGCAUCCAAGAAAAAAAUUACAAUUUAAUUUUAAUAAAUUAUCUAUCAUUUGUAAAUUAUUGAUUUUAACUUUUAAAUAAAAAUAGUUUAUCUUAACGAUAAAUAUAUAAUAUUAUGAAAUGGUAAAAAUCUCUACCUUAUACAUUUUUAAACUUUCCUAUAUAACCUUGUAUAGUACAAAUCAAAUUAUAGUUUAAUAUAUAUGUAUAUAAUGUGAAUGUAAAUUUUUUACACUUUCAAGUACAUUAUUAGUAGUUCAUAUAUGUUAAUUUUAUUUAAGUUAGAUUUAAUGAUAAUUAACAUAAAAGUAAUGUAAAUUAACAAUGAAUGAUAUUAUGAUUGUGUAUAAAUUUUUAUAUUAUUUAAUUGUUAUCUCUCAGUAAUACAUGUCGACCACAAUAUGUGAAUCAAUCAUUUCAGGAAAUUGAGAAAGAAUAAUUGAAGAAGGGAACAAAAAGAGAAGUGGGUGAUUGAGUUUGGAUGGUGGGGUGUUGAGUAAGAACCAUAAAAACUUUAGGGUUAAAAACCACAUGCAAGAUAUAAUUUGAAAGGAGCAUUAACAUGCAUGCCUCCACUUAUGUCUAUAUGUAAAACAUAUGUUUUGGAUCAGACUGUGACCGAGGAGUUUCAUUGUUACAUGGGUAUGAGAAAAGUGAAGAGUUAUAAGUGAAAGACCACAUCUUGAACCAAAACGUAAGACAUUAGUUCAUGAGCAUUUCCUUCUUAUAAACUCUCUCACUCUUCUCUGCAUAUCCAAUGUGAAACUUCACACUUGAAUAAACCCAACAAUCUCCCCUCAAUUUGAGUGUCAGCAAUUCACAUUAAUUAGGAGGCAGAGGGGAGAUUAUUUUUCAUUUAGUUAGAAGAAGUUGUUGAUUAUAAAGAAUGUUUUUAAGGGAUAACAAUAACUCUAUUUGAUAUAAAACAUAAAAAAAUAAUAUACGGAAUUUGAAUUCUUAAAGGAGAUUCUACAUCAACAAACAGACUCAGACGCCUCUGUAAAGUAUAGGUCUAUUCCUUAUCAAUUGAACUAAACUAACAAUUAUUAUCUAAUGUAAAUUUUAUUCUAGGAACUUUUAUGUGUUUUCAAAUAAGUUUUUACUUCAAUAAUAACUAGAAACUCAAACUCAUAGUCUAACCACUGGACCAUUUAUAACUCUCAUAUGUUAACGUUUUGUUUUAAUUAAUUCUUCGUUUUGGCUUGCACAUAAACUUUAGUAGAUUCUUUGUCAUCAAUUAAUACAUAUGCAUGCACAUUACACUAGCAUGCAUGAUUAAUACAAGGAUGCUUUAUUGGGUAAUAAAACAAGAAAGAUAAAAGGAUUGGGCAAAACUAAUAAGAAUCGAUUGAUCCAAAAUUGUAUUCUCAAUUAUGUCUCAUUUAGAUUCUAAUAUUUAUUAAAAAUAUUAAGAUUUGCGAAACAAAAUUUAAAUUGCAUAUUAUUUUAGAUUAUAUAUUAAAAUCUGAUUAGAUGUGAUAAGAUUGAGGACACAAUUUGAAAACAUCUUAUCUCUAUUAGGAUGCCCCAGGUUAGGGCAAGGUAUUAUUCCGUUUCAGUAUUUACAGCACACGCAAGAGGAGUAACAAUACGAAGGGGAAAAACAAAUAACAUUUAAUAAAAAUAAAAUCAACCUAACAUAUUAUUACCAAAAGUAAAAUAAUAUCCAGCUAACAUAUUUACACAUAGACAAAAUGCAAAUAAACAAAGGAAAUGAGACUCUUCCUGACUACAAAUUCUAUAACAAUAUAAUUAAUUAUACACAUAGAUAAUAUUAACAUGUUGUGACCUUAUAUCAUUCAACAUUAAUAAGUGAAAAACAAUAUUACUCUCUUGUAGCGAAUCCUUUCAUAUCAUAAACUCAAAGAAAACUAUUAAAAAAUAAACAAGAUAGAAAAUACACCAAUGGUGAUAAAAUACACUUAUAAAUGAUGAGUUAUUUGGGUCCACUCUCUUGCAUUAUGUUUAUGUCUUAGCUUGAUACAUGUGUUAUCCCAAUCAAUAAUUGAAUUCUAAUCAUAUAUAUUUUUUGUUGUGUGUGUAUAUAUACAUAAUAGUUGUAAUAAAGUCAAUUUGAGCCAUAUCAUCGUGGUUUUAUUUGUCAAUUUUAUGCAAAUUAACUAAUAGUUACUUAGAAGUUCAAGGUAAAGUUGUACUGAAUUACUUUACCAAAAAAUAUGUAAUUAUUUAAGUUAAGAAAAAGAAAUACACUAAAAAUAGUAAAUAAGAAAAAGAACCAUUCAAAGUUGUCUGCUUUGAGUUUUUCUCACUUUUAAUGUCCAUUCUCUGAAGCUAACAUUUAAAUAGACAAGAGGCACUCAUCUCUAGUUGAGUUAAAAUCAAGAGUUUAAUUAUUAUUCUGAUUAAACUUUAUAUAUACGUGCCUUUACUAGUUCUAGAAAGGUGAGGAGGAAGUUACGUGGUUCAAGGGGAAAUUAAACUAGCAUGAUUAAACUUUGGGGGGCUUAAUUUUAAUUAUAUAUAAAUGAUGGUCAACGAAAUUGGUGAUGAAUUACAUACUUUUCAAAAAUUCAUAUUAGUUAUCCAUCAGAUUGUAAUUGUAAUUUUUUAUUUAAAUAUCAUUAUUUACACAAAGAUAUCAACGUUUAUAUAAUUUUUCUAAAUAAAAUAUUUACAAAAAUGAUAUUUUAUUUAAUAAAUAAAUAUGAAAAUGUAUAUUCAUUUUUGUUUAUUAAAGGAUCCCGUGCAAUGCAAUGAUUACUAUAAAGAACCCGUGCAUAUGCAAUGUUUACUACAAAGAACCCGUGCAUAUGCAAUGUCUUCUAUAAAAUGUGUUUACGAACGUAUAUUAGAAAAACUCAAUUAUGUUGGUUGUAUAUAUAGAUAAUUUAGGGUGUUAAUAUUUGAUCUUUUAAAAAGUAAUAAUUUCAUAAACUAAUUGUACGGUUUACAAUUUUACCCCGCAUCAUAUUUAUUUAUGAAUAUAUGAAUUUUUAAAGAGAUUUGUUAACUAAUGUCCUAAAGAUAUUGUUUAUGGAAUACAAAAGAAGAAAAUCAAUAUUGGGGAACCAAGUGCAACACUUCUUUAGAGUGAAACAUCAUUUUUCAAUGUAAGUUUUGUCUUUUUUUUAAUUAAACUAUAUUAUUAGGACAUACACUUAUUAACAUUCUCAUUAUAUUAAUGAUUUCAAUUAGAGUAAAGGCCAAAGUACUAAUAGGUGGUUGAUGUAAGUGAUAAAUGUUUGAUUUUCCUCCAACAAGGUUUAGGUUUGAGUCUUAUAUAUGUAAAAAAACUAAUCUUACCAUAUUUAAAGGUUAUUGGCUCAAACAAAAUUGCUUCUAAAGGAUAGAUGUAUUCUAUACAAAAAGGAAAAAAAUAGUAAAGUUAGUGAUCCCUAAAAAAUAAAAAAAGUCUUAAUUUAGCAGUUAAAAAUAUCAAAUUUUGUCAAAUUAAUCAUAGGGCAAACUUUUUAGAAUUUGGAAGCUUUUAUCAUUACACAACUCAAUCAACUAAAUUAGCCUGUAAGAGAUUAAUUGCAAGUUGAAUUUUGAAAGGGAAUAAAAAGAAAUGAAAAACUUUAGAGUUAUCGAUCUUUUAAUUAAGUGUAUAUCAUAGUUUUCAAGUUUUUUCUUCCUUUUGUUAUCCUCUAAGAACCAAUUUAUAAACGAACCCUAAGUAUAAUUUAUAUUAAUGUUGUUUAUAAUUAAAAGACCAAAGAAACAUUUAAAUAUCAGGCCAUGCAAUUUUCUUCUGAGGUAAAAGCCGAAUAAAAUGAUAUGAGUUAUCUUAAAGUGCACCACGUUGAAGCACGUUGUGGGGUCAAUACAAGUUAAUGGAACUAUUGGAUCCAAAAACUCCAAGAUAUGGAAAAUACAGCUAACAUAAUGUUAUUGAACAUUAUUAGUCACAUUGAGAAAGAAUACGGAAUAAUGGAGUCAAUAACUCUAUAUCACAAGUCACAUAUUCUCUGGGAAGUCUUCUCAUGAUGCAUGCACACCAUUGUAAAUGGUCCCUAUAAAAAAAUUAAUAAUUGGUCAAAAAUGUAGAGUUAGAAAGAUUUGUAGCCAUCAAAAAAUUCAUUCUAUUUAUUAUGUUAGGUCGAAGCUAACAGAAAUUGUCACCGGUUACUUCCAUUCAUAAAUGGUCUUUGCCUUCACAAAGUGGCUAACAUCCAUCUAAUAAAGAUUAAUUAAUUCUUUUUUGGUAUUAUCAUCACUUUUUUUGAUAAGGAAUUAAUCACUUUCGGUAGUUGAUCUUCCUAACAAGUGUCGCACUAAGGAAUCGAACUAUUAAUCUUUUCCUCGUCCCAGAGAUCUGGUGGGAUUUUAUAUUACUAUAUCAACAUCUUGUUGCUAAUGAAUAAUUAAUUCAUCUCACAUAUAAAAAACUAAGAUAUAAAUAUUCAUCAUUAUCAACUAAAUAUUGAAAAAUUAAUAUUUUUGUUAACUAACUUGAAACUCUUUUAUAAGUUUAGUAGCGUAAAGUCUUACUAAAUCCUUAAGAUAAUCAAAAGGUUAAAGAUUUGAUUUAUGUGAUCGUGAACGAUACUUGGUAACUUCAAGUUUGCCAAACUAUGGUGUUCUAACUUUCUACUAGGAAGCCUGCCACGUGCUUAUGAUGACUUAGAUUUUGCUCAAGUUAUUACCAAGGGUUAAGGGAUAUGAACGUGUAAAAAAAUUAUAUUUGCAUUUAUUUUCUUCAUGUUUUGAUAUGUGAGAUUUUAUUUCAAAAAUUGCAAGAGAAAAAGCAUUGACCGGUUAAAAUAUUAUUGAAUUUCAACGUACAAUUUUUACACUUAAAUCUAUAUAUUAUUACAAGUAAUAGUAGAAAGUAACGUGUAAACGUCAAGGAAUUGGAAUCUACAAUUUUCCAAACAUAUAUAUUUGGAGAGAAAAAAUUAAGAUGGAACAAAAUUAGACGUGGCAUUUUAUAUGCAUGUUACAUGCCACACGGUAAAAAUGUAUUUUCUUUUAAAUUAUCAAUCAAGUUUAGAGAAAAAAUGUAUGAAUAUGUAUAUUUAGAUAUAAGUAUAUUUAUGUUUUUAUGCUUUAUUUAUAAUUAAAUUUUAAUUAUAGUUAAAAUUUUCAUAUAUUGUUAAUAUUGUACUAGUAAGCAUUAUAUAAAUACGUUUUCACAUAAGUCUUCCUCUUAAGUUUAAUGUAUUUUGGCAAAUCAAGCAACAUUGACACAUGUAGAUUAAGUGGAUUAGAUUUAAGUUUGUUAUUUCUUUUCUUGAAAAUUGGUGGAUUAAAUUGAUUUUUAGUCAAAACUUAAUAAUAAUAUAUGGGAAAAUAUUAAUCCUCCUACUAUUUCUUAUAAAAAAUUUAUUUUCCCAAUCGGGAAGUAGUGAUAAAUGUUAAACUUAUCAGAUAAAAUUCUCUCUAUUAGAGAGAAUGAAUUAUUCUUGAUUUUGUAUUUGCUUUUAAAAGUAAAAUUGUCAGUUUAUUAAAGAUAAAAUAAUAAAUAUAUCAUAACAUAUUGAUUUUGCAUUUUCCUCCCCUUGUCAUUGCUCAAAAUUAUCACCUCAUUGUUAAAGAAAUUGGACACGUGAGAGUUUGAUGAUUAAUGAAAGAGUAAAUUACAUUAAGAUUUUUUAUGUUUGAGUAAAAUUAACAAUUUGUUUCUCUCAAAUCUUUAUCUGUACCUAAACAAAUCUCUCAUAUUUAUAUACAUACAUUACAAUAACUAUCUACAUGAGAAAUAAGUGUAAUAUUUAAAAUAAAUAAAAAAGGUGAUGAGUAUAAUAAAGUUAAACAUAACAUGAUAUAUUGUAUAGACAAGUCCAAAUAUUAUAAGAAUCAAUAUAUUUUUAUUGUUAUGAGUUCAUUAUAAAAUGCAUAAAUAAUUCUAAAGAUAUAUUGUUGUAAGUCACUCUUACACUAUAUUGUAACGAACCGAAAAUAAUAAAUAUGUAUUGAUUCUUAUACUAUUUGCACUUAUCUCCACAGUAUACAACAUUUUGUUUAACUUAAUUACACUUAUUAUUAGUUUGUUUAAAAUAUUACACUUAUCUUUCUUGGAGAUAUGUAACGAGUAUAAUGCAUAUAUAAAUUAGGGAGAUUUCGUGUAGGUGUAAGAAAUGAAGGAAUAAUUUGUAUAAUUUUACUAAAACUUAGAUAAUAUUAUUAUAAUUUACUGACAAUUUGAUAAUUUCUAAUGACCUCUUUACUAUUGAAAUCCAAAAGCAUCCAAUAAACAAAGGUGAUCUAUAAAAAUGGGCAAACUUAUUAUCUCCUUUAGGGAUGAGACAAAAGCUCCUCUAUGAGUAUCACCAAAAAUAGUUUAUGAGUACGAAUAUAUAUUAUGGUAUUUGUCCUCUCAAUACCAAAAUAUUCAUAAAUAUUAUACUUUUUAUUAUUUUAUAUUAUAUAUUAUUUAUUUUAUAAUAACUUUAGUGAUGUAAAGUAAUGAUAAAUUUGUUAUGUACAUAAUUUUAUUUUUGUUGUAAUAAUUAUUGAUUAUUAUAAAAUAUAUAAACAUAUACUUAAACUACUCACACUAAUACUAAUAAAUAGUACGAAUAUUGGCACGGAAAAACUUUACCUACAUCCACCCUUGUCAUCCCACUAAUACACAUCUUCUAAAAAUUCUAAAGAAACAUGUAUCCACCAAAUAAAUAGUUUAAUAUUUGUACAUUAACAUUGUAAAAUAUUAUUUUAUAUUUUAGUCUAUCAUAAUCAAAUUUUCAUAUAUUAGUUUUUAGUAUCUCUAAAAUAAAAGUAAGUUAACAUUUAUGUAUUUUUGUGUAAAAAUUUAUAUAUAGUCGAAACAUAUUCUACCAUUUAUUUGUAUUAAUUUUUAUGAAGAAUCAAUAAUAAUUAAAUAUAAAUGAUAGAUGAUACAGUAAAAAUAUAUAAAAUUUAUACACUGUUAAUACAUACAUUUUAUCUAAAAGUAAUACGUGUGAAUGAUAUAUUUUAUAUAAUGUAAAAAACUUUGUAGGAUAUAUAGAUUAAGGUCUCUAUUAAUAAUUUAUUAUUAUUUUUUCCUUUUUUUUAAUUAUAUUUCCCUAUCAUUAUUUUCCCUUUAACUUUAUAUGUUUAUAAAUUAUCCCUAAGCUUUUCUUUUCCUUUUUUGACGCACUUACGUAUGGCACACAUAAGAGAACCCAAAGUGACCCUUCUCUGUCUUUCUUUUCCAAUCCAACAUUACAAAAAACAUACAAGUGAAGAUUCCAUACCCCUAAUCAUAAAUAUUAAAAUAAUAAACAUCAACAAUUAAUAAUACAUAUCCAGAUAGAAAAAGUUAACCCAGCUUAAAUAAAGCAUAAUUUUCCAAUUUUAUAUCAUGAAAUUGACAGAGAAGUCCCACCUAAAAAUAAACAAAUAUAAUUAUUCACCUCAACCCAAAGCAUCUUAUUUCCAUGAGCAUAUAAUAAAAACCCUUAGAGUUAUACUAUUCCACUUGUUUUCAUAUAUAUUCCAUAUUUCUCAUCAAGGUGUAAUUGCUAUUAGGGAGUGAGUAGGGAACAUAUAUUUUAUCCUCGAUGCAGCUGGGUGACCCAACUGUGUUGGAGACUUCCUCCGGCGAGGCCGUGGCGGAGAAUGACGGAGGCAGCGAGCAGAAGGGAAUAAUAAGAAAUGAUAGUGGUGGUGAUGGUCAUGGAGAUGAGAGUCAUGAGAAGAUGAACGGUGGAGGAAACCGGUGGCCCCGCCAACAAACAUUGGCUUUAUUGAAGAUAAGGUCGGAUAUGGAUGCUGUGUUUCGUGAUUCAAGUCUUAAGGGUCCACUUUGGGAAGAUGUUUCAAGGUACUAUAUUAUAUAUAUAUAUAUAUAUAUAUAUACAACAGUUUCUUCAUCUUUGUCUAUGCCGUUUUCUUUAUGGCUUUCAACAAACUAUGCUCGAAACCAACUAGCUUAAGAUCAUGUAUGAAGAGCUAUUAAUUCGUUUUCAUUUUCCAAACUCAAGAAUAAAUUAGCUGUGGUGGCAGAUCUUGUUCAAAUCUGAGAUAGCAAUUCAUUGUUAUAUGAGUUAUGUACUAAUUAUUGACAUUACUGAUUAUCCAUUUAGUACCUACGAUUAAGGUGGUCGAUGGUGAGGAUGGAGGGUCAAAAAAUGAGUUAUAAAGAUAAUUUAAUAGUCAAGGUAAGAGAAUGAAUGAGGUUGAAAAUUCGAAUCUCACUCACGAUAAAUAAUAAUAUAUGUCGAUAAAAAAAUAAGAUUAAUGCUCAAUUGUUUUAUCAGUCUUGAGUUACAACGGACCCAUAGCUGAAGUCAAUCUUUCUAUAAGAAUUUGCUCAAAUUAUGUUUAGCUCUUUUUAGGUAAGAACUAACUUCAUAUUUUUAAUUUCAGUAAGAUGAGGCUAGUAUACUUUCUCUCUCUAAGAUUUUACCUUUGAUCUUUACAUGAAAACAGUAACUUUCUUUUUUAUAAUUUCUGAUAUUUUUAAUGGAUAAUAUAAAUUUUCUUUUUCUUCUCCCUCUCUCUUUCUCUCUCCCCUCUAUAUAUUUUAUGUUCAGGAAACUAGCAGAUCUUGGUUAUCACAGAAGCGCAAAGAAAUGCAAGGAGAAAUUUGAGAACGUGUACAAGUACAACAAGAGAACAAAAGAGAGCAGAAAUGCGAAAUCUGAAGGAAAAACAUACAGAUUCUUUGAUCAAUUACAAGCUCUUGAGAAACAAUUCAAUGUCUCUUCUUACCCACCAAAACCACAACCACAACCACAACUUACGUUGUCAAAAACAAACAACAACGUUUCCACUGAUACUAUUGCAUCUAUUCCUUUUAUUUCCACCACCACUGUUCCAUCCACAAACCCUAGCAAUGAUAAUAAUAAUAACAAGAACAAUGUUUCAUAUUCUUUGCCCAAUAUCACAAACCUUUUCUCUAACACAUCUUCAACAUCUUCUACGGCUUCGGAUGAAGACUUGGGAGAGAAGUACAGGAAGAAGAGGAAAUGGAAGGACUACUUUCGGAAGCUGACGAGGAAGGUCUUGGCCAAGCAAGAGGAAAUGCAGAAGAAGUUCUUGGAAGUGAUAGACACAAGGGAGAAGGAACAUGUGACACAACAAGACGCUUGGAGGAUUCAGAAAAUGGCAAGGAUCAAUAGAGAACAUGAACUUCUUGCUCAAGAAAGAAAAACUGCAGCAGCAAAAGAUGCUGCAAUUGUUGCAUUCUUGCAAAAGUUAUCUGGUGAGAAGAACCAUACAACUUCUGCAAAAAUAACACCAACACCAUCACUGUCAUUAUCACCUCUACCGUCACAUCCACCAGUAUUACAAGAAUUACGGCCACAGCCACAACAAAAACAUAUGCAUCAACUGCCAUUGAUGGUGAUUAACGACAACGUUGAAAUUCAGAAAAUGAAUAACGGUCAUAGUAAUGGUGGUCCAUUAAACUCUUCUUCAAGGUGGCCAAAGGCAGAAGUUCAAGCUUUGAUAAGGCUGAGGACUAGUCUCGAUGCUAAGUAUCAAGAAAAUGCACCAAAAGCUCCAUUAUGGGAGGAUAUCUCAGCUGGGAUGCAAAGGCUUGGGUACACUAGGAGUGCUAAGAGAUGCAAAGAGAAAUGGGAAAACAUCAACAAGUACUUCAAAAAGGUGAAGGAAAGUAGCAAGAAAAGACGGGAGGAUAGUAAAACAUGCCCCUAUUUUGAAGAGCUUGAAGCUCUAUACCAAGAAAAGAGCAAAACUCAGAACCCCUUUGGUGGUGUUGCUUUUGCAUUCAACAAUAUGAAGCCAAAUGAGAUGAUGGAGCCGUUGAUGGUGCAACCAGAACAACAAUGGAGGCCACCCUCUGAAACUGAGUUGAAUGAGAAUAAUGGAGAUAAAGAAAGAGAGAUGGAAGAUGCAGAAGAAGGAGAUAGCAUGGAAGAUGAUAAGGAUGAUGGUGAAGAAGAUGUAGAUAGCAUGGAAGAAGACAAAGAAGGAGAUAACGGUUAUGAGAUUGCUACAAAUAAAAUUUCUUCAGUGGACACAGUUGAAUGAGACAAGUAGGUUUGUGGAUAGAUACCUCAUGUCCUAAAUGAGCUCUCAUUCUAUGUUUCAAAUCAAUUAGAGUGCUUCAUUUUAUUAUUAUUUGUUUUUUUAAAUUUUGUUUAUUCACGUGUCAAUGUACCAUUGGAUUGAGAUGGGACAACGUUAAAACAAGUGAUCUUCAUCCAUAAGUUUGUGAGAGAUGGGAUCACCUGUCCACAACGGUACCCUUUUCCGUAUCCCAAACCAAUCAUAUAUUGAACGUGGGUAAAAGAAAAAUUUAAAAAUAAAAAAUAAUAAAAUAUAGCAAUUUGAUCGAUUUGAGAUAUGGAACAAAAACACAAUUUAGGGCAGGUAUAUCCUUCAGGUUCUUGAGUGGAUGGAUGGAGAAUUUUUUAUUAUUUUUUCAAUUAAUUUUCUUUUUUAUGCAUUUGGGAUUAUGAGAUGUCACUAAAGUUUGUGAUAGGCAAAUAGUAGUGUCAUUAAAGUGAUGGCCACAAACACACUGCACUAUAAAAUUGAAUUCUUUUAAUCAUGAAAAGGCAUACCCAUCUGGGAGUGCACAAGGUAACUAUGAUCUGACACAUUUUUCUGGGCCAGCUUAACAGAAAAUGAUUGGAGUUGUGGGUCACAUUUUCAGCCUCCAUGAACUGCAGGGAUCAAAGUUUAACAGUACAGAUAAUAGUUCACAUGGACCAGCUUAGGCUCAUAAAUUUAUGUUUAAAAUGUAAAUUAAGGAUGACAUAGAGAGAAGAGAUCCCAAAGGAUAAAUCUAAUAACAAAAUGUCAAUGCAAGUCUUUUAAUUUUUGGUUUAUUAAUUUUAUAAAGGGGUGGAAUCAAAACAUGUCCAAACAUUUUCCGUACCAAUCAAAAUAUUCAUGUCAGUUAAAAAAAUUAAAUAUUUAUUAUUAUUUUUCUAUUUUUACUUUAUUGUAAUUGAUUAAGGACAGACUUUAGCACAAGUAAGACUGUUCUCCAUUAAUGGAGAGAUAAAUUAUAUUUUGUAGUAUACUUUUAAGGUCAAAAUGGUAACUUCAAUAAAAAUUAAAGAUUACUGUUUUUUAUUUUUAGUAUAUUUUUUCAAAACUUAUCUCUCUAUCAAUGAAGAUGAGUCUAACUCCUCUGAUAUAAUGCUUUAGGAUAGAAGAUCUUUAUCCCAAUAUAGAUCAGAAAACCACUAUGCAGUAGUACUUUCAGUUUCCUUUAUACUACUUGCGUGUGAAUUAUUGUUGAAUGGUAGGAGCAACUUGUUAACUUUUGACCAUUGACUUUAUAACAUGAUGAUAGGAAUUAGUGCAUAUUACAUUUGGGAUUAGUGUCCUUUCAAGGCAAACUUGUACAAGUUACAUUACUUUAUGGCUUAUAAUACAAAUAAAAAAAUGGUUCACUUCUCCAUUAAUAUUAUAAUGACUUUUAUAUAAUUAUAUAUAACAUAUAUACAUAAUUAUAAUUCUUCCAAGUGACUAAUGAUGAUAGCUAGCUAAUUAAAGUUAAUAGAAGGACCCUGUGUCUUUUCUCUAGUUUUGCAACCUGAUUAUCACAAUCUUCCAAACAUAAACCUUAAUUUGUUUUCUUGGAGCACAUCAUAUAUGAAACUCAAAACUAUGAGCAUGCUUAUGGAUGUUAAUUGUUUUGUUAUAUCACGGUAUUAAAUUGUAGAAUAAAUUAUAUUGACACCCCUGAUCAUCCUUGCAUAAGAAAUAAGUGUAACAUUUUAAAAAAAUGUGAUAAAUGCAAUUAAGCUAAACAAAAUAUGAUAUAUUGUGGAGACAGGUCCAAAUAAUAUAUGAGUCAAUAUCUCUUUAUUAUUUUUGGUUCGUUACACUAUAUUAUAAGAGCGAUUUAAACAAUAUUUCUUUAGAAUUGUUGAUACAUUUUGUAACAAAAAUAAUAAAGAUACAUUGAUUUGUAUAUUAUUUGGACUUAUCUAUACAAUAUAUCAUGUUUAGCUUAAUUGCAUUUAUCACAUUUUUGUUUAAAAGAUUACACUUAUUUCUUAUGCAUGGGUGGUCAGUGUAAUGAAUGGAAGUAUAAAAAUUAGGGAUGUUUGUGUAAGUGUAAAAAAAUUAGGGGUGAUUUGUGUAAUUUCACUAAAACUCAGGGGUGUCAGUGUAAUUACUCUAAAUUGUAUAAUCUUUCAAAAUUGAUAUUUUAAAACUUUAAAUGUAUAUAUACAAUAACAAGUAACAACUUAAAAUUAAUCAGUUUUUUCUUUAAAUAUGAAAGUUUAAUUAAAUGCAUCCUUUUCUCAACGACUACGCCUCUAAUGCAUAUCUGGCAACAUAUGAAUUGUUGAUGAAUUGAUUUUUCUCCAAAAGGGGAAUCCCUAAUUUCUGGAGCCACUCUAAAUUGACAACAGGUGUUGUUAAGUUAGGGAGGAUUGAAUGUUAAAUAAUAAUAAUAAAUUAAGUAUUCAAAUGGAUAAAAUCUAAUUGAUAUGACUCACCUUGAUUAUUAAAAUUUAAAAGGCAAUUAUUUGUUAUUUUCUCCGACCCUAUGCACACAUUCAAAUUAAUAUAUGGGACACUUUAAUGCAUAUGAAUUUAUUGAGUCCAAUACUAAAAUAUACAAAAAAAUAAAUCGUUUUCAAUUUUAAUAUUUUUUUAAAUCAUAUGAUCCAUCAGAAUUUAUUAUGUAUAUACGCCAAUCAAUAUGGAAUUUCUUGUCUCAAUUGGUAUUUCAUUUAAUUGGAAAAUUCUAUUUAAUUAAAAAAAAUUAAUAACAAGAAUUAAUAUUUGUAUAUUAUUUUAUGCAAUUUGAUUUGGAUACAUGAGGACAUGAUCUUUUUGGGACAAAAGUGUCCCUUUACUUCUACAUAUGUACACGUGUUGGUAAAGUCCUUGCACCCACCUCACAUGUGCUACGCACGAAUAAAAUAAUUAGGAGCUUAGAGAUAUUAGGAACACUAAAUGUUAUGUUUGCUAGUGAAGAAGUAUAUAUCAUUUUUCAUAAUUUAUAAACUCUUGAUAUAUUAUGAGAUUCAAGAUCAUAGAUCAUCAGAAAAUUUUAACAAUUUGCACUAUAGAAACCUUGGAAUCCACCUUAAGCACACAUUAAACUUUAUCAUGUAACCAAAAAAAUACAAUUAAACUCCAAUUAACUUAGUAAUAGUAAAAAACUUCCGUUACAAAAGGAGGGUUUUAUAUAUAUACAGUCUCCAAAGUUGUUUGCUCUAUUACAUUGAGACAUAGGAACAGGAUCUGUAGACUUUUCUGCAUGAAUGCAUGCAUAAUUAAAUGGGCACACUGUAAUUUUUCCUAUAUUGAAUGGGGACACUGUAACUCGAUGGAGCGUUUAUUUCUCAAACUGUUGCUGCAUAACAGUAUCAUUAUUAUGAAGGCCAAUCAAUUUUGGUGUGGGGGCACAUAUUUAACAUACAAAUUGUCACCAUUUUCAUAAAAAUGGACAAUAUUGUUGGAAUGAGAUCAACUGUCCCAUUUUUUUGUGUUUUAUUGAGUCUCAAUCUAAUAAAAGAUUGAAACAUACUUAAAAAGAAAAAUAAAAAUACAAUUUUUAUGUUAUUUAGUGCGAUAUGAUUGGUUUGGGACAUAAAAACAAAAAGUUUUGGAAACAAAUACACCAUCAUGAGCAAUAUUGGCAUCUGCCAAAUACAUAAUUUGUAAUGUAAGAGCACCUGAAAAACUUUCCUAGCGCCUAUUGAAAUCUUGUAUGUGUUUUAUCACCAGACAAUUUUAUUAAUAUUACUCUUAGUGAUUUUGAGAUAAUUUUAAUUUGAGGAAUUAUUGACAGAAGUUAUAUAUGUAGAAGUAGGUUUUUAUAUUCUUUAUGCAUGUUUUCCCCUUUAUAAUAGUAAAUUAUAGAUUCAUGCACUUAGUGUUAAGAUAAUCUGGAUAAGUGAGUACAUAUAUGACUUAAACUAUAUUUGGUUACACAAGGUUAUAACUUAUAACUUAUCUAAUACCUUAUAGCAUAGAUGUUUGGCGAGUAAAAACUAAAAGAAACUAGUAGGUUUUAAAAAUGAACUUAUAUCUUCUAAAAGCUGCCUUUUAAAAAAAUUAUUCCACAUAACAGCUUUUAAUAAAUCAUUUCUGAAUAUUACCCUUAUUUUUUAACAUGUAUUGUUAAGAUAACGAUCAUAAAUAUAUCCACAUGCAUCAUAAUUUCAGCCAUUUGAUUAGGCUAAAAUUACAAACAUAGCAAUUUUCAUUCUUUAGUAUACUAUAUGUACUUUGAUAGAUUUUAAUAAAACAUGAUUAGCAACCAUAGAUGACGUUGAAAUCCUAACAGUAGCACAUUUAACAGCAUAAAAAGUUUAACCCAAAUAGAUGAUGAUGAUGAUGAAGUUUAUCUCUUUCUUAGUACUGACACACACUUAUGAAGAGAAGAAGUUCAUCACCUUGUCUUUACAGUGCAACAGAGAUAUAACAAGUGCAUGCUAUUGCUUUAGGUUCUUUUCAGAGUAAUGUGUUUAUUAACACAACUUACAUGAUUCCUUUGUGGUGGACCCUUCUUCAAGGGUUUAUCAUUCCAUGUGUGAUGCUGCCAUUUUCUGCUUUUGGAAGGGCCUUGUUAGUUUUUACAAUGCAAAAGGUUAGGUCAGUGUCUCUUCUCUACAAUCCCCUUAUAUUUAUCUAAUUUCCCUAUAUUGAGAAAAGUAGGUUAAAUUUAUCAAAAUGUUAGCAUUCCAAAAGUAUCAUUUUCACAUUCACUUUUCUAUCUAAUUUAAUUAUCACUAUAUGAAAUUUGAAAGUUUUACUGAAAUAUAAAUGAACUAAUAGGAAUAUUUAGAAUGAAUUAUUUCAUAAUAUUUACAUAUUAUAAGGGCUGAAUAAAUAUAUCAUGACAUUAUGUAUUCCAUUUAUCUAAUCAUAUCACCUAAGUAAACAACUUCAUUCAUAUUUCAAACAAUGGGUAUUUUAUAAAGGACUUGUAUUAAUUAAGUUUGACUGCACAAAAAAUACAUAUAAUUUAAGGUCCUUGAGAAUGUUAUAUAUAUAUAUAUAUAUAUAAAUAUAAGAGUAUCUUCUUAUCCAAUAAGUAACAUACUAAUCUCUCAAACUCACAUGCUAAUUAAGUAGGAACCCUCUCAAAAAUAUUUUGGCAUAUAACAAAUCUAAGUGAUGAAAGCUCCGACAGAGUGUUACAUUAUAAUUAAGUGGAAAAAAAUACUUCUGUUUUUAUUCUCAAAUGAACCCAAUUUUAUUAGUGCUGCAAUAAAGUUUUCAUCAUUUUUAUGACACACUACUACUAAUGAGUUAGUAGUACAGAAGAGAAAUGGGACAAUCAAUUCACCAAAAUAUAAACUAUUUCUGGUUCGUAUUGAAAGAAAUUUUUUUGAAGACUUCGGUAAUACUUUAUAUAAAAUAUUUUAUAUUUUCAUAUGAUAUUUAUUAUUUUUUCUCUUAUUUAUACUUUAUUCAUUAAUGAAAAAAAAGAAUGUGUGAACUUUUCGAAAAAAUAAAUUAAGAGAAUAAAAUUAUAAUAAUGUAAUAUUUGUUCAAAAAUCAAGCAAAAUUACUAAUAUUCACUUUCUAUAUUGAUUAACAUUACCUUAUAAAUAUAAGACAAAAACCCCAAUCAAUAUCAUACCUCAUGUUUUUUAUAUAUCAUAAACAUAAAACAGGUUGAAAAACAAAUUAAAAGGUAAAAAACAUGGGGUCCCUCUCUUCUUUAUGAUUCAUUAUUUUGGAACCAGCCUCGAUGUCUUUCUUGAAUUCAUUUCUGAUUCAGCUUAUUAAAUAUCCCAAUAAAUAAAUAAAUAAUUUUUUUUAUAAAAUGGAAAAAACAUAUAAUCUCUGACUAAAUUCUGCAACAAAAGUACCAAACCCCAAACCCCACCACUUUAAUACCAAUGUGUCAUUCUGCCUUACACCUAUAUUCAAAUUCUUACACACUUCCACAACCACCACCACCAAUAGCCGCCAACCACCACUCUUUUCUGCCCCAGGCUCCAUUUUUAAGACAACCCUUCAAGUACGGAGGGAGAUCACCUGUCUCAAAUGAUACCUUAUUCUAUAUCUCAAACAAAUUAUAUAUUAACAUUUGAACGAAAUAAAAUUUUUAAAAGCAAAAGGUAAUAAAAUGGAGCACUCUGAUUAGCUUGAGAUAUGGAGUAGGAUAUCGUUUGAAGCAUGUGAUCUCUUUGACACUCACACGUGUCAUUCUUUUGGGGCACUUUUGCACCUUUCAAUGCAGUACUACUCACCUGAUGCAGCCUUGUUUGCCACUACCUCAUUCUUGCAACCUUCACUUUCUUUCUCUUUUUCUUCUACAUUCUUCUCUUCAUCAUCAAAAUCAUCAUGAUCUUCUUCCCUCUGCUGUUGAGGAGGCCAUUGCUGUUCCGGCUGCACCAUCAGCGGCGCCACCAUACUCUCCGGCUGCACCAUCUUGUUCUUCUCUUUAUAUAAUGCUUCCAGCUGCUGAUAAUAAGGACAUGUUUUUGAAUCUUCUGAUCUUUUCUUGUUACUUUCCUUCACCUUCUUGAAGUACUUGUUGAUGUUCUCCCAUUUCUCUUUGCAUCUCUUUGCAUUCCUAUUGUACCCGAGCUUCCUCAUUGAGGAUGAAAUCUCUUCCCAAAGUGGUCCUUUUGGUGUGUUCUCUUGGUACUUCAUGUCAAGCUCAGUUCUCAGCUUUAUCAAUGCUUCUAUCUCCACUUUUGGCCACCUUGAUGAGCUUGCUCCUAUCAUAUUCUCCCCAUUAUUAUCAACUCUCACGAUUUCCGUAUUUGUGACUUGUUGUUGUGGUGGUGGUGGUGGUGGGACCACAGGUUGCAGUGGUGGGCCAGGCUGAACAAUAAGUUGUAUUUGUGGUUGCACAAGUGUUGGAGCAAUAGUUGGUGCUGGUGGUGCAAUUGGUUGUGCCACCACUUGUGGCUGCAAUUGAGAUUGUUGUUGCUGUGGUUGUGGUGGAAUGCUAAUGUUAUUAUUCAAUGCUUGUCCAAAAUUUUGUUUUUCAGCCAACUUUUGCAAGAAAGCCAUGACUGCAGCAUCCUUGGCAGCGGCUGUGGAUCUUUCUUGAGCUAGAAUUUCCCUCUCUUUAUUGAUCCUUUGUAUCUCUUGCACUCUCCAUGCUUCUUCUCUUACCAUUCGCUCUAAGUAACAUACUAAUCUCUCAAACUCACAUGCUAAUUAAGUAGGAACCCUCUCAAAAAUAUUUUGGCAUAUAACAAAUCUAAGUGAUGAAAGCUCCGACAGAGUGUUACAUUAUAAUUAAGUGGAAAAAAAUACUUCUGUUUUUAUUCUCAAAUGAACCCAAUUUUAUUAGUGCUGCAAUAAAGUUUUCAUCAUUUUUAUGACACACUACUACUAAUGAGUUAGUAGUACAGAAGAGAAAUGGGACAAUCAAUUCACCAAAAUAUAAACUAUUUCUGGUUCGUAUUGAAAGAAAUUUUUUUGAAGACUUCGGUAAUACUUUAUAUAAAAUAUUUUAUAUUUUCAUAUGAUAUUUAUUAUUUUUUCUCUUAUUUAUACUUUAUUCAUUAAUGAAAAAAAAGAAUGUGUGAACUUUUCGAAAAAAUAAAUUAAGAGAAUAAAAUUAUAAUAAUGUAAUAUUUGUUCAAAAAUCAAGCAAAAUUACUAAUAUUCACUUUCUAUAUUGAUUAACAUUACCUUAUAAAUAUAAGACAAAAACCCCAAUCAAUAUCAUACCUCAUGUUUUUUAUAUAUCAUAAACAUAAAACAGGUUGAAAAACAAAUUAAAAGGUAAAAAACAUGGGGUCCCUCUCUUCUUUAUGAUUCAUUAUUUUGGAACCAGCCUCGAUGUCUUUCUUGAAUUCAUUUCUGAUUCAGCUUAUUAAAUAUCCCAAUAAAUAAAUAAAUAAUUUUUUUUAUAAAAUGGAAAAAACAUAUAAUCUCUGACUAAAUUCUGCAACAAAAGUACCAAACCCCAAACCCCACCACUUUAAUACCAAUGUGUCAUUCUGCCUUACACCUAUAUUCAAAUUCUUACACACUUCCACAACCACCACCACCAAUAGCCGCCAACCACCACUCUUUUCUGCCCCAGGCUCCAUUUUUAAGACAACCCUUCAAGUACGGAGGGAGAUCACCUGUCUCAAAUGAUACCUUAUUCUAUAUCUCAAACAAAUUAUAUAUUAACAUUUGAACGAAAUAAAAUUUUUAAAAGCAAAAGGUAAUAAAAUGGAGCACUCUGAUUAGCUUGAGAUAUGGAGUAGGAUAUCGUUUGAAGCAUGUGAUCUCUUUGACACUCACACGUGUCAUUCUUUUGGGGCACUUUUGCACCUUUCAAUGCAGUACUACUCACCUGAUGCAGCCUUGUUUGCCACUACCUCAUUCUUGCAACCUUCACUUUCUUUCUCUUUUUCUUCUACAUUCUUCUCUUCAUCAUCAAAAUCAUCAUGAUCUUCUUCCCUCUGCUGUUGAGGAGGCCAUUGCUGUUCCGGCUGCACCAUCAGCGGCGCCACCAUACUCUCCGGCUGCACCAUCUUGUUCUUCUCUUUAUAUAAUGCUUCCAGCUGCUGAUAAUAAGGACAUGUUUUUGAAUCUUCUGAUCUUUUCUUGUUACUUUCCUUCACCUUCUUGAAGUACUUGUUGAUGUUCUCCCAUUUCUCUUUGCAUCUCUUUGCAUUCCUAUUGUACCCGAGCUUCCUCAUUGAGGAUGAAAUCUCUUCCCAAAGUGGUCCUUUUGGUGUGUUCUCUUGGUACUUCAUGUCAAGCUCAGUUCUCAGCUUUAUCAAUGCUUCUAUCUCCACUUUUGGCCACCUUGAUGAGCUUGCUCCUAUCAUAUUCUCCCCAUUAUUAUCAACUCUCACGAUUUCCGUAUUUGUGACUUGUUGUUGUGGUGGUGGUGGUGGUGGGACCACAGGUUGCAGUGGUGGGCCAGGCUGAACAAUAAGUUGUAUUUGUGGUUGCACAAGUGUUGGAGCAAUAGUUGGUGCUGGUGGUGCAAUUGGUUGUGCCACCACUUGUGGCUGCAAUUGAGAUUGUUGUUGCUGUGGUUGUGGUGGAAUGCUAAUGUUAUUAUUCAAUGCUUGUCCAAAAUUUUGUUUUUCAGCCAACUUUUGCAAGAAAGCCAUGACUGCAGCAUCCUUGGCAGCGGCUGUGGAUCUUUCUUGAGCUAGAAUUUCCCUCUCUUUAUUGAUCCUUUGUAUCUCUUGCACUCUCCAUGCUUCUUCUCUUACCAUUCGCUCAUGCUCGCGCUUCUCUAUAGCUUCCAAGAAUGUCCUUUGCUGUUCCACUUGCUUCUCCAUCACAUUCUUCAUUAGUCUAUUGAAGAAGUCUUCCCAUUUGCGCUUCCGCUUGCGCCUCCCGUCCAAUAUUUCAUCGGAAGAAGUCGAUGAGGACGAGAUACUUGAGUUGGACAAGAGAUCAUUUGGGAUGUUUGGGAAAGAUAUUGGAAUUGUAGCACUUGUAGUAGGGUUUGUUAAUGGUGGUGGGAAGUUUGUAGGGUUUGUAGGUUGAUAGGAAGGGACAUUUAUUAGGUUUAUUGAUGGGGUAGAAGUGACAAUGCCUUGAGGAAUAGAGACAUGAGGGACACUAACACUACCAAGAGUGGUGUUAGCCACUGGUGGCAUUGGCAUUGGCACUGUUGUUGUUGCUGUUGCUACAAUUGAUGAUGAUAUUGGUGGUGGUGCUAGUGAUGAUUGUGGUGUGUAAGAGGAAUGAAUUGUUGGAGGGUGGUGAUGUUCAAGGGCUUGUAGUUGAUCAAAAAAUCGAUAAGUUUUGCCUUCUGAUUUGCCACUUCGACCAUCUUUGGUUCUUUUAUGAUACUUGUACACGUUCUCAAAUUUCUCUUUGCAUUUCUUGGCACUUCUUUUAUACCCAAGUUCAGCUAGCUUCCUGAAAGUCCCAAAAAACAAGACAAACGAUAAAUAAAGGAAGAAAAAAAAGGUAUCUAUCUGGGUUUAUUUUAUCCCAUCAAAUUCAGCUAAAAGACAAAGGGUAAAAAGCAUUGGGGGCAUAACAUUAUUAACAUAAAGUGAAAAUAUGUGUGUGGUGAAUUAACUUUUUGGGUGCAAAGAAUAUCAAUUAAUGGAGAUGAUAAAGUAAGUGAAGGAGAGAUUGGGAAAAAUAACAAACUUGAUGUAAUUAAAGUUUUAAUUGAUAACAAAUCCCAAGAAUUGAUAGCAGAAAUUUCUAUCAUGAAACCAAAGUUAGAGAAUUUGAUAAUUUACCUGAAUUUCCCGUAAGAGUGGGUAACUGAAAUAAAGGGGGAAGAAAAUCUUGCUUUUCACUAUGUAAUUCAAGUUGGUAACUUAUUUGGAAAAUAAGAUACGAACCAAAGUGGAUUUUAAUAGUUGGAAAAGUAAAUCAAACCCAAAUCAUGAAUACUCCACACAUCUAAACUCUUUUAUAGUAACACAAACUCAAAAGGUAAAAAGAAAAGAAAAAAAGAGGAUUUAAAGGGAAUGAAGAAAAAUACUACAGGAAGAAAACCCAAAUGAUUGAGAGAGGAAAAAUAUAAAACAUUUCCAAUAAUCAAAGUUCAACCACAACUGAAUUCUCAGAUCUCUACAUCCCUUGAAUUUGAUGUGUGAUUCAUAGAACACCAUAGUUUACAUUGAAGUAAGUGAAAUCAAUGAGAAGAAGCAAGCCAAGGAAGAAGAAAUAAAAAAAGAUUAAAUUUUUUACAACCCCAGAAUUUACAUUGAAGUAAAAUGAAUGAGAGAAGAAGCAAGCAAAAAAAUGAAAUGAAAUUAUUGAACCUUGAUACUUGUUCCCACAAAGGAGCUUUAACACUUGCAUCACGAAACGCCACGUCCAUAUCCGACCGUAUCCUUAACAAAGCCAAAGUCUCUUGUCUUGGCCACCGGUUUCCACCGAAGCUACUACUACGGUCACUUUCUUCCAUUCUUCUCUCUUCAUCUCCUGAAGUUGAUCCACCACCACCACCUACCACCACCGCCGCAACCUCUCCGCCACCACCUCCUUCUGAUGAGUCCCCCAACAUGGUUCUUCACUCACUAUUUUGCAAUUACAGCAGUGAGGGGAACAGAAAAAUUAAAAAUAUAAAACGGUGGUGGUGAAUUCUAUGAAUUUUGAUGAUGGGUUUUUAUAUUUUUAUGUAUAGUACUUACCAGGACUAUAUACAUAUAUAUCAAUAUAUGUAUGUAUUAUGUAAUGAAAGGUGUGUGAUGGAGGUGAAUUUAUUAUUAUUAUUAUUAUUAUUAUUAUUAUUAUUAUAUUUUCUUGGGAUCUCAUACAUAGUAAUAAGAAUCAAUAUUUUUCCCUUUUCUUAAUUUUGCUUUUCAUUAUUUAACUUUGACAUGUUUCCUUUUGUGGAAUCUUCAGACUUUUUUUAAUGUCCUGCUUUGGUAAAUUCACCAACCUUUGUUCAUCGCAUGUAGAACAAAGUGGCACAGAAAAAUAUAUGCAGGUAUUUACUGCUAUUAAUUAUUUAUGAAACAAAAAUAAUGAAUAAAUUCAGAGAUUUUUGAACAACUGCACUAAGAGACGAUAGAGACAAUAACUUGGCUUUUCUCUGUCCAGCUAUAUUUAGUUAAAGGCCAGCUUAUUUCACUCACCCUUUAAUGUAUUUCCCAUUUUAUUAUUUCCUUUUUUUUUUUCAUUUUCUAAAUAUUUUCUUACCUACUUUCUGAUUUUUAUUCAGAUUAUUUAUUUUUUUUAACUUUUAUUGGGAGGGAGAUGAAUAUUGAAGCUGUCUUUUUGUUUGAGAUGUGUGUUAUGCAUGAUUGGUUGGACAUGCUCUAGAAAUAAAAUGACCAAACAAGCCCUAACAUAUUUCCUUCAUUGGCCUUUUAAUCAUGACAUUUCUUCCAUAAUGAUCUCGUUCAUUUAUAUUUCUUAGAAUGAGUUUAAAUUACUUACUCUGAAGUAAUAUUAUCAAUUAAGAUUGCUUGUCUAUUGACUUUGUACCCAUGUAAUAUCUGCUUAAAUUAGGAUAAACAUUCAUGCUUGUUUUAAAAUAUAACACGAAAUAUCAUGUUCUGUCCAAGCAUGAGCAGAACAGUUUGCGAGUCGCCAUAAAUAAAAUUAUAUAUAUAAGUAGUGAAUAAAAUAAAUAAUAUACCAUAUAUUUAUCAUAAUAAAAAGUUAUAUGAAUAGAACAAUACAUACAAAAUGCAUAUAUAUAAUACAAAAUAUGCAUAGGAUAUAAUUUAUAUACAAAUACAAAAAUAAAAAAGCAUAUGCAUAUAUAAUAUACAAAUUACAAACAAAUAAGAAAAUGAUAGUAUUCUCUUAUAUUUUAUAUACAAAUGCAUAUAUAAAAAAAUAGAACACAAUUUCUCACAUUUGACAAAAUAUAUAUAUAAUUGCAUAUUUGAUGUUCAAUAAUUUCUCUAGUAAUACAUGCGGGCCACCUAUUUUGCAUAUUUAAAAUAUCCACAAACAAAUGGAGCAUACUAUACAUGCAUUUUAGGAUAGAAAGACACAUUUUUCAUAUUGUGCAUGCCCAAUGCUACUUAUGCACCUUUGAGGCACCUAAGUCCCAUAGAGGGUGUAUUCCCUAGUAAGUUAAUUUGAGAAAAUUGAUCCUGAAUUUUGCUCUCUUUAAGGGUGCCUUUGGUAAAAGAGAGUAAGUAAGGAAAGAGAUUUCUUCUCUUAUAAGUUUAUUAAAUUUUGUAUGGUAUAUUCCCGAACUUGUAGUUUCUUCUCAUUGAAUAAAUGUUAGAUUUGAAUAUAAUAUUUUUUUUUAUAUUUCAUAUAAUAUGCUUAUCUUUAUCUUAUAUUCAUUAUUAUUUAUAAGGAUAAAAUUGUCUAUUUAAUAAAAGCAUAUUUUAUGUUUAUUAUUCAUGUGAAUUACUUUUUUGAAUGUAAAUGAUUAUUAAAUAUGAAUUAUGGAUAAUACAAUAAUAGUAUUUAAAAUUAUUCAUUAUGAGUGUAUAUAUUUUUUUCUCUUCUUUCAUAUUUCUUUCCUACCAAACGACUCUUAUAAUCAACUCAUUUUCUCUUCUUUUUUUCUUGCUACCAAGGAGAGUUGGUUCAAGUGGUAUAUGUUUGAUUCCCCUUAAGCAAUGUCUUGGGUUCAAAUCUUGUAGAUGGAAAAAAUGUAUGUUGGGAGAAUUAGCCCCACGUAGCUAUGGAUGUUCACGGCUCGGACAAGAUUGCCUCCAGUGCGAGAAGAACUAUAGGAAGCCAAAAAAAGUUCUCAUUUAUUAUAUAUAUCUCUCCCCAAGUUUUUCUCUUCUUACUUAUCCAAUAUUUAACAUAAGCUAAUCUGAUUUUAUUCACAUCAGCUUGUUUGUGAUUUGUGCCUGUCCAUCACUUUUACAGCCUCUAUAUUUUUUAUUCUGCUUUCUUUUAUAAUGAUGUUCACUGAAAUUUCCAAAAAUACCCCUGUUUUAAAAAGUACGUUAAUGGUGGGAAAGAAAAAUUGAGGUAUUGAUUUAAUUUUCAACUUGUUCCCUUGAACUGUGGUACUCUACAUGUGGCCUUUGGGUCCUACCUUGAUUGUGAUAAUAGCAAUUUGGACAAAUUUCUCUUCAUAUAAUAAUUGAACAAAAACAUUGGUUAAAUAUAUCUUACAAUUAUACACUAUGUUUUAUAUUCAAACUCGAUUUGUGAUUAAGAAGAAAAAACGUCUGAAUAGUGCUACAUAUAUUCAAAAUUUUGAAAAGAAUAGAUUACUUUUUUUAUUAAGUGGGAAUCACUGUUGAAGUAGAAUUAAUUUGGUAGAGGUCAUGUUAUUAGGCCAAGCCAUUUAUGAACAGAAGUAAAUGGUGGCCAAUUCUGUUGGGUUUGUGACCUACCCUAAUAAAUUGCAUGUAAGUUUUUUUUUGGCAGUAAUAUUGUGCAUCAUGAGUGAUUUCUUCAUCAACUAUUGGUUUUUUUUGUUUUCUACUGUUAUUCUCUCACACUGGAGGCAAUCUUGUCCGAGUCGGGAAUAUCCAUAGGUACGUGGGGCUAACUCUCACAGCGGACAUUUUUCCACUCACAAUACUCGAACCCGAAUGAAUCAAAUAUGUACCACUUGAACCAGCGUCCGUUGGUUUCAUUAACUAUUGGUUUGUUAUUAACAAAGUAAUUGUUGCAUCCAUUUUAAAACAGAUAAUAACCUGUACAAAACAAUAACAUUGUAUAAUUUAAUUUGUUAUUUGAGAAGCUAACAUAACAAAUAAAAGUAAUAAAACAGACACAAAUUCUUCUAUUAUUAUUAGAAGAGGAUAUAAAGUUGUGUUGUAGUGGAAAUAUUAUUCGAAUAAACCCAAACUUGAUCGAAAUGAUACAUUCCUGUAGCAUAUCUUUUUUGGAACCCUUCAAGUUAUCUUCUAAUUACACUCUUAAUUGUUUGUAUGUAAUCAGGUUUUGAUAUGAUGGUCACAUCAACAUGUGUAUAUCAAUAAAAAAACAGUUUUCAAGUUUUUAUUAAAAAUGAUAUGUCCUAAAAAAUCAAUAAAUAUAUGUCAGUGAAUUUGAAUUUAAAGCACUUAAUUUAUGACACAAUAGUAUUAUUAUUAUUAUAGUUAUAGUUAUUAAAAAUAAUUUAUCUAUAGUUAUAAUAAUCGGGUGGUCUGUGUCUAUGAAAAAAUAAUGGGAUAUAAGUAUACCAAAAAAAUAACGGAUGGUUUGUCGAUUUUUAUACAGUGGAAUUAAGUAUUAACUCUGGUAAUUUUAAUAGCUCACUUUCAAGAGAUUGAUUUUAGUUUUUUAUAGGAUUAUUUUUAAACAUGUAUGUAAUUAUCUGAUUUGGGUAUCAAAAUGUCUUGAUUAAUUAACUUGCAGUGAAAAUAUAAAAUAAGUACGUUAAAUCAUUUUAAUGAAACUGAUAUUCUUAAUUCCAAAAGAAUCCUAUAAAAAUAUUGAAGUUUGUAUUUAUUAUAUAAUCAACAAAUAGACAACGGCUACUACCCAUAUUCAAUUAUGGCACCAGCGAUGUGGUAAAUGAACGUUGCGUUUCUUUUUCGAAUUUUAAAGUCCAAACCUCUUUUAUCGUUGCACUUGAAAAUGACUUGAUAUUGUGACAAGGUUGUUGAAAGUUGAAGCACAUUUUUAUGAUGUUUUCUUAUUUUCUUGGAUGUUUUUUUUUACUUAUUAUAUAAAGUUCCUUUUGUAUUUUUCUAAAUCGGGUCUAUAUAUUAUUUGUCAAUUUGGAAUCCUAUUUACCAAACAUUAGUCCAUUACCUUGCAUGAAUCAAUUUUUUAUCUGUUAUGAAAUUGCUCUAAAGUAGCAUCAUAGACUCAUAGUAAAUAUUUAUUGAAAUAAUUUGUAUUUUUCAGGAAUGCUUUUUUAAUUAUGUGAAUAUUUAAGGCUUGUUUGAUGAUUGGGAUAUAUUGGAUAAAGAUAAAAGAAAUGCGCAUGCUAAGCCUCUUAUUAAUAUUUUACACAAUUUUCAAUGUACAUCCAAUAACAAUACAAUUACAAAAAAAAAAAUCAAAUAACAAUACAAUAUUAUAUAAAGUAUUAUAUGUGUAUGUGACAAACUGAGUCUUCACACUUGAUUCUUAAGAUUGAUGAUACAACUCUUAUGAGCGACAUUUGUUAUAAGAGGCAGUCACGAAUCCGGAAAGAGUUUAGUUCUUUAUCAAAAAAUGUGAGAAAUACGCUUGGUAGUACUAAAAAACUAAAUUUUACCUGAAAUUUAUAUAACAAUGUUCAUACCUUAACUCGAGUAUAUGAGAUUGGGUACGGAUGAUAAUGAAUGUGAGAAUUAGGGCUAGAUACGAGUCGAACCAUGGUUCAACUCGAUAAGGAUUUGCUUAGCUCGAAAUUUGACUCAAGUUUGAUAUGAGUUAUAUUUUUAGUUCCAAUUAGGCUUAGUUAAAGUUCACAAACCAUUUGGCUCAACGAAUUGGUUCAUUUAGACAAAUUAAAUAAUUAAUUCAAUUUUAAAAAAUAUUACACAAACUUAUACAUAUACAAAUAAUGCAGAAUCAUGAUAUAAUAACAAUAAACAUAAAAAAAAGUAGGAGGAAGAAGAAUAAGAAUGAAGAUAAUUUGUUUCACUUUUUAUGUGCCAAUUAUGUCUCGAUUCAAUUAGAAAUUGUCACUUACUUAAAAAGAAAAAUAAUAAAGAAAAAUAUUCUUUGAUAUUAUUUGGUUAGAUUUGAUUGGUAUGAGACAUGAAAAGAAUUACUUUCUUAUAUUAAUUUAAUAAUAAAGGUAUACAUAACAUAUAAAUUGGUAUAUCCAUUUUUUAUUUACAUUUAUCAUUGUUUCCAUAUCUUUCUGCUGCCUUGUUUUUUUCUGUAUUUUUAUUUCUCUCUGUACUUAUCUACACUAUGUAUUGUAUUUGUGAAUGAAAGUUGAAUAUCAACGUGCAUUAUACAUGAUCAAUCACAAUAUAAAAGUAAACAUAAAUGGUUUUACUAUUACUUGUCAGGUUCUGAUGGAUUAUAUUUAUUUAGAUAUAUGCCCAUACAAAUUUCACUUUAUAUAUAUAUUUGUACCAUGCUUGUAAUGUUAUAUAGCUGAAGAGGGUAUCAGUUAUGCACUUUAAAUGCAAGCAUCGUGUGCCAAAUAAUGUAAUAGGAUCUCACAUAAAUGCAGUGGUAUAUAUUUUCUGCAGAUAUAUAUCUAUUUUCACGAAAGUGUGAUGGAACAUGUGGACUAAAUUAUGUGAGUGUGUGUGUGAAUUAAAGCAUAUUCAUGUAUACCACUAUAUUUAAAAGCAAAUAGUAAAUACUUCAUUAACAAUAUAUGCAUACCAGAAAAACGAAAAAGACAGUGAAAUGAAAAGACUAACAAUAUUCAAACUUUUUUCCUUGUAGGAGCACUAACAAAGGCCACAAUCAAAUCUAACAAUGCAGACACUAGUAGUGCUAUAUACAAUACAUGUCUUUCAAAAAUAAUGGAGUUAUAAUUAUUCAAAGUAGAUGGGAAACAAAUUAAUCCCUCUUUCAAAGAGUAAUGAUAUUUUUUCUGAAUCUGCAACAAAAUUCGAUUUUGGGUAUUUUAAGUAAGGUAUGAAGAAACAAUUACAAGAUUAUUAUUUCCUUCUCAUAGUUUUAAUAUUUGUCUUUUUAGAGAACUUCAAAAAAAUAAUUACACAGAAAAAUAACUAAAAAUGUGUUAUUAUAUUGUAGAAAUGGAUAUACGAAUUAAAUGUUAUGUAUACCUUUAUUAUUAAAUUAAUAAUCUCAUUAUCAUCAAAUAUAUUGUUCUCUUUGUAAUAAAUUUUAAAACAAUGUGGAUACCAGCAACUCUUUUUAUAUACUAUCAAUAGUAUCUUCUCAUUAUUUUUUGGUAAAGAACUAAUCUCUUUCGGGGUUCGUGGAUGCAACUCCCAACAAGUGUCGCUUUCAGAAAUCGAACCCUCAAUGUUGGUGAUCUAGUGAGACCUUACACGAUUAGAUCAACGUCUUAUUGAUACUACGUUUAUAAUUUAUCUAGACAAAAAUAGCAAAACUCUGUAUAUUUGUUUUCGAAGUUUAUUUGAUACAUUAAUGUAUUGCAAAUGGAUUUGUUUUUAUCAAAUACAAAAUGGGGUGCAACGUGCAAAUUGCAAUCUUAUACAAUAAGUAUGUUUCAGGGAUUAUACUGUGUGCAUUAGUUUAGGUUAAAAAACUACACUUCUCAUGGUAUAUAAUAUAAGGAUCCCACCUCUUUCUUUGUUUCUAGUAAUAAAAUUUCCUCAAAAGAACAAUACAAAAAAAAUGGAACUGUGCUCAGAACCGACCUUGCAGACAAUUGGAAAUUACUGAAAAUAAAACUUUUGCAGUUGCUGAUAUGGGGAAAAGUAAGAAAAUUGUAGUAUAUACCUGUAUGCAUAUUUUUUUCGGACAUUUAUUAUCGAACUGGAGACAAUCUUAUCCGAGUCAGUAACAUCCACAUGUAAGUGGGUGAACUUUCCUAUUUUCUAUCCACAAUACUCGAAUCUGAGACCUUACUUAAACGGAAUCAAACAUGUAUCACUUGAACGAACAGAUGUGUGCUUAAAUACGUAGCAAUUUGUGGAUCUUGGUGAGUUUAUAUUUACAGGACCCCAUCAUAGAAAUAAAGUUUUUUACAUGUAGACAAAAGGGUUUACUUCACAUGGGUUAUGCAUGUGAUAUGAAUGUACACUUACAUUUUUUGUCUACCAUGUGGAUUUAACCCUUACAUUUAUCUGUCACCAGCUAAGCAAUCCACCAUUUUGAUUCUUCUUCUCUUCCAUUCCUUUCUUUUUCUCUACCCUUCCUUUAAUUUUCUCAUAAUAUUCUUGUCCAUGUUUAUUAAUUAAAACAUCACAAAUACACACAUGCACCACUAAGAAAAAGGGUGAUUAUUCACCUUGCUAGCAACUAUUUUUAACUUUCAUUUCCUUUAUGAUGAAAUUAUUGCUGCAACUUGGAUGAAGCAUGAUGGGUUGAAACAAAUGCUAGCUACCAUUAUUCUUAUCCUUUUCACACACGAAAUUGACACUUGUAAUAAGCUUUAUUAUGGUUCAUCCUAUAGGGGUUUUGAGCAGGUAUAUAUGGAGCAAAAUAUUUAUCUUUUACAAUUAUCCAUAGUUUUAAUUAAAUUAUUGCAUAUAGUUAGUAAUGUCCUUGUUCUGUAUAGAAGCUACCUUAGUGGUUUAAUUACAAUGAUUCAUUUGGCAUAUAACAUCUAUUUUGAAGCUUAUAAUACAGAUUAAACAACUAUAGAUAAAUGGUGGCAAAGUGAAAAGUAAAUCGCAAGCAAUCAUAACCAUGUGCAAAAAAAAUUAGUCUUCAAUAUCGACUUUAAUUUACACGCUCAUAACAUCUCUUACUUACAAGCUAAAAUUACAACAAUUUUUUAUUUUAUUUUCAGAAGUUUAAUCAGUAAUUCUACAUCUGUUCUAAAUGAAUCCUUGUUGUAAGUUCUGCAAAUAUUUUUUAUUCAAAAAUGAGUGAAAUUUUUGUGUAUAGCUAAAGAUUUAUAAAUAGUUAAUAUAACAUUUACGAUUUAUUUAUAUUACUUAUAUUUAAAAGUGUCAAUAUUAAUUAAAUAUGAAUGGUAAAUGAUACAAUAAUAACAUAAAAGUAUUAUACCAUUAAUAUAUACAUCUUUUUUCUCUUCAAAAAAAUUACUCAGUGUAUGUUCUAUAGAAGUGCAUUAAAUAAUAUGAAUGAAUAUUAUAAAUAUGUAUAUAUAUGUCUGUGUUUAUAAUAAAAAUUCAUUAUUUUAUGGGAAAUGGUACUAACUUGUCUCAUUAGGGUCGUCUGCAUUAUUCUUAUUGAAAAAAUGCAUUGAAACAAUAUGUAUUCUAUGCUUCGAAAAUUCAAAAAAAUUGUUUUUCAAUGGACUUUUCUCUGUUCAAAUUCUUUUAUCAAUGCCGUACUAGAACAUUUUUAUUUAACUAAGCUUAUUAGGAUUUAUUGUUGAAUAAAUAAUACAAUUAUUGAAAAUUGGUGUGUAAUUUCUUAGGUAUAAUUGGAAAUUAUAUGUAAUAAUAUAUUCAUGAUAUUUUUAAACGUUAACAAAAACAAAACAAGAAUAAAUUAUCAUUGUAAAUUAUUUUGAAGAAUUUUGUUAACAAAUGUUUUGAAAGCGUACGUAUUCAAUCCUUCAAGCUACAAAUGGUUUUUAAAUGGAUUUCACAUGAUUUUUAAUAUUAUUUCAUGAUUCUCACUAACUUAGGUAAUAAUUCAAUUAAAAUUUUACUAUAAAGUUUAAAAACCCACCUAUGGUUAUUAAAUGAACUUCAUUUUAUGACCAAAGAAAGCAAUAACACAUCUUUGAGCAAUUCCACAUGAGUAUGCUUCAACUAUAAACCUCUUUAACCAGCUGUUUUUGUACCCAACCUUCCUUAAUAAAAACAAGGGUUGAGGGUGCUCUAAAGAAACACAUUAACCAAACUUUAAAAAAAGUCCUCCAAAUUUCACUAUAGAUUCAUUGGAAUAUGUAACCAUGUGCUCAUACCUUGUAGGUUCAUAAACUGAAUUUUAUGCAAUCACAAUGAUUCUUAUUAUAAUUUAUUGCGAAAUUAAUGUGGAAGCGUAAAAGAUAAAUAUUACGGAUAUUUCUCAUUCUUUGAUCAAGGCAUGAAAAACCCUAUUUAUAGUACAUGAAUAUGUAACAAACUUACCUAACUAACUAGCUAACAAACUAAUAAACACAUGUUGUAAAACAAUUCAACAUGUGUUAAAUGUGGUAGCUUUGUUCUCCAAUAUAAUUACUGCUAACAUUUAUGGGUAACUAAUAAGCCAUAUGAGUUAUAUAUACCAACCAAGUGUUUUAAAUUGUGGUUGCAAUAACGGGUAUGGUUAUCGAUUUCUGGGGCCCAAUGUGGGUCAUAAGAAAGUAAGCACUCAAAAAGCCCAUAUUGAACAAGGAAGUGUGGAGGGUCCAUGUGCCCAUAAACAACUACUUACAAUAGUGGGAAAGAAAGGGAUAGCAUGCUUAAAAAUUAAAGACAUCCUUGAAGGUUCAUGGUUUGGUUUUCAACUUUUUUUGUUUAUCUUCUAAUAAUUUAAUAGCAUCAACUUUUUAUUUUAACUUUUCUUAUCACUUUUUUUAUUUUAUUUUCACUCAUUUGCUUACGUGAUGAUGUAAACUCCAAAACAUGUGGCACUGAACCUUUUAUAUAAGCGUGAAAUUUCAACUCUCUAUUAUCAUUUUAUGGACCACAAAGGAAAAUAACCACACAUAGAUCUAUUUAACUUAACAUCAUUCAUCUAUCUCAGUGCCAAAAUAGAGUGAUGAACAUUAUUUGAAGUGUUGAAGUCAUAGUGGAUAGAAACAAAAAAAAAAUAAUAUAAAAUUAAAGCUGAAACAAAAGUUAAAUUCAACAAAAGGUGUCACUGUUUAUAAGCCACGUCUAACUUUUAGUGCCCACAUUUUUUUUUUGCUUCGAUAACUACGUUUCAAAUGUGUGGAAUUGUCUUCUUAUGCAACUUCAUUAAUUCCAAUUAUAUGGCGUCAGUGGCAAAUGAUUAAGAGUUUAAAAUCUAUGCACUGCAUUAUCCACCAUUGAUUUGUAUUACUUUUGUUUAAGAGUCAAUGGUGGUUAACAAAUUAAUGGUGGAUGAUUGACUGACAGUGUGAAAAACAUUUACACUUUCAGUGUAUACAUAUUAAAUCCAAUGAUUAAUAUCUGCUUGAGAAAGUUAAAUUCCAGUUUUGAACAAAAUAGAACAAUUCUGAAUACACCUGUUUCAUUAUCAGGAUUUAAGAAAAAUUGUAGUAAACAAUUCAUCAUUGUUUUGAUCAUAAAUCUUACAUGCUUUGUUCUUAAAAAAACAACAAUUCUUUUCCAAAACUUUUCCCGUACUAAGUCAUCAAAAGUUUUACCUUAAUAAAAGCCUCUAUUUGCAAUUCUGAUUUUGGAAUUUUCUAACUCAUCAAACUCUCCAAAAGUACUUUCAUCCAAGGUCACGCGAUAAUUACAAUAACUAUCAUGUUUCAUGUGUAUUAUUUUAUGAAAAGCAUUAAUAAAUAAAUUGUAUUUUCGAUUUAUUGGAGUGACAAUUGUUAGGAGAUAUAAUCAUAUAUCCCAAAAGAUAUUAGUUACUUAAUCAAAAAGGUGAGAAGACACUCUUAAUAGUAUAAAAAAAAAGUUGAAAACAAUGUAUAAUCCCCGGUACCUCCAAGUGGGUGGAAAUAGUGAUUUCAUGAAAGCUGGAUUUAUUUCCUUUUUCCUCUGUACCAAACAUGAUAAUAGUCUAGUGUGAUUUUUCAUAAUUGAACCAAUCAAUUUACAAGAUUACAUUUCUUCAAUUUGGUAGAAAUCACUUUCUCAUACCAAAUGGCAUUUUUGCUAAUCCACCUUUUACCCUUUAAAUCAUAUAAUUGAUUCACUACAUCUAACAACAUGCACCCUUCAUAUAAGUUUGUCAGACUAGGCGAAAGGUUACUUUUGACCCAUAACUAAAGGACACCUUUUGGCCUAUGACAACCGGAAAUAAGUUGGGUUGUGGCUUUGAUACCAUGUUAAGGUUCUAUCUCAAAACUAAUUGGCAAUGAGAGGAGUAGCCCAACAUAUAUUUAAAUUAUUCCCUAGACAAUGAAGUAUGCAAUGUGAGACAUACUUUCUAACACAACAAUGGAGUAGCCAAAGGCAUUGUUCCUCCAUAGAGAUGAUUGAGAUUUCAAUGGCCAAGCCAAUAAUAUCUACCACAACAAAUUCAUAAUAUCAUUUAUUGAAUCAACAGAAUAACAGACAUGUUAUCUUUAUGAAUGAAAUUCAGCUCCAUAAUUAGGUCCAAAGCAGGCUUCAAGAGUAGGAUUUCUACAUCUAACAGAAUAAAUGUAUCACUGGUAAAUUUACAAUUUUACUCUGCACAUAAAUUAACGGAUUUACAUAACCAAUGACACUCAUCAAAUCCAAUACAAGCAAUUUCAGAAACAAUCUUUUUGCAUCUCCAGCUAUGCAUGAAGGCAUAAUCUUUUACCAGAAAUGCAUCGUCACGAUCAUAUGCAUCGAAAAUAAAAUGGAUAAAUAAAACUACUUUAAUCUCAACAUAAGCAACAGUCAAUAAACGUUAAUAAAAUAUCCAUACUUUCAAGUUCCAGUUCAACUAAACAUAACAUAUCUUACCAUAGGCAGAAAAAAGCAUGGAGCACCAUGCACUUAAUGCAACUACGACAAAGCUUGCAAGAUUGUCGGCCUAGUUAAAGCCACCUAUUUCCUUUCGCUUCAGUUCUAAAGCAAUGUGUUCAUUUUCAAGCCUCAUCCUUUCGUUUUCCAUUCUAAGUUUCUCCAGCUCCCGAUCCUUCUUCUUACUAAACCUCUCCCACUUGAAUCUCUGCUUCUCUAGUUCCAACAUCUCAACCUGAAUUUGCAGCUUCUGUUCUUCUAACUGAAGUGAGUGAGAUUCAAACCAUUGCUUCUGUAACCAAGCUGCUCUUGUGCCUUCGGGUAGAACUUGACUAGAAUCGGAUUGGACCAUCUGUGCAUGGGGAUAUGCAUGUUUGUUGUGAUCCUGACAGCUUAAAGGAUUAACAAAAGUAGAAGCAUCUUCAUGGCCAUGGCACUGUUUCAAUUUCUUCUUCAUAGACCCCCCGAAUGGCCCAUAUAUUCCUCUACUGUCUCCAUGAGAAGCACAGUUCUCUUCAACCUCAUCAUGACCAUCUACUUCAUCAUCUUGAUCAUCUUCAUCAUGAUCAUCAUGGCGGGACCUUCCGAUAUCAUCAUUAUCAUGAUCAUCUCUAUUUCGGAGAGCUAACUGUAGUGAACGUUGUAAUGCAGGGUCAUGGGGCAAAUGCAAUCGAUUACUAUUAUGAUAAGAACACAUCUCUUCGUAGAACAGGUGUUUUGAGCUUAAUAUUUUGCGAACAUCAUCCUUUUCUUUCUCAGAAAGAUAAUCUAUUAAAUCCAACAACGCAGGAUUUUCAACAACCUGACAAGAAGUUCCCCUCCCGAGCAUAUCAUUAAGCUUUUUAUACCUCUUAUUGAGAUCAUUGAACUUAUCCUCACACUGUUGAGGUGAAACGUGAUAACCCCUUUCAGCCAUGACUUUCGAAAUAGAUUUCCACUUGCCUUUUUUCUGUAGAAUCACAAAUUUUCUUCUUCUGCUGCCGCUGCCAUCGGAAGUCCCAUCCUCACCUAUAUAAGAAACAGCUGUUAUCAGAAGCUUCACCAUCUUAUCACUCCACUUCACACGUUGCCAAGGUGACCCUUUUUUCCCUCUGCCAGAUUCAUGGUGACCAUCAAAACCAUCCUCAGUAAAACUCGGCUCAUCUUCUUCACUUGCUGAGUUUUUACUUCUAUCUGCCUUGCUAAAGUCUGUCAUUGGAAUGGUGUGAUCACAAUUCUGUAAGGUUCCCAUUGUAAGAGGAAAACCUUCAUGAACUGAAGAAUGUACGGAAGACCCUUGACGCGGAAGAGUUUGAUGCUGGUGCAUGGUACGGGAAUGCUGUGCUUGAUGAUGAACCUGAAUUGAUUCUUGUAAACCAAAGCCACCAAAAGAAUUACCACCUUGAAUUAUACCUCCCUGUGACAAAUUUCCUUCCAUUGCUUCUCACAAACAACAACCUAUAUUAAACCAAUAAAACCUAGUACACCUCAAAUCCAAGUUCAACCCCAAUUUUUUAACUACUUUGCACCUAAUCUAUAGAUUAAAAUCAUGCAAAUCCAUGUCUAUUCAAUCAUAUACCCAAACAGCUUCAGAUCUCCAAGACAAAACAGCCCUCAAUCUAACUAGAAUCCUUGUCUCAAAUAUCAUUUCAGAGUAACAAAUAAUCUCAAUCCACAAAUAAAAAGCUCACAAUCCAGCAGAGAUUCAAUUCCAAAAUAAUUUACCCAGAAGCAAAACAAAAAGGGAAUGUUGAAAAAAUAUCCAGAAUAACAAAAUCAAAAUCCUUCAAGGGUUCACCAGUAAGAGGAAGCUAAGUUACUUAUCUGCUGCAAAAAAGGAAUUUGAUAAGACCCAGAAGCCAAAAAAAGCAACUUUGAUGCAAACAAAGGGUGAAUGAAGAUCACUAAGAAGCAUCACAUCAUAUCCUGAGAGAAAGAAUGAUUUGCUGAAAAGAGAGGAGGAAAGUGAGAAAAGGUAAACCUUUCUUCUUGUUCUUCUUGUUGUUGUUGUUCUUCCCUGAAAUAAUAGAAAAGAAGAGCAAGUGGGAAAUUGGAAGGUAGUUUAACAAAGUUGUACAUAACGUUAACGCCACACAAACAAAACAACCUUAGCAGGUUCAAUGUAUGCCAAGAUCCGGUGGGUCCACCAAUCAGAGUACAUGCCACACUCCAAUUCCAAUACUUCUUAAUCUUUAUCAUAUCAAUUUAAUAUCCACACAUUUACAAUAUAAGUGUUUUUUAUACUAUCCGUAAAUCAUUUAGUAUUAAUUUAUUAAGUAUUGUUGACUAUUAAAUAAAAGUAAUACAAAUUAAUUUGAAUAAUAUAUUUAUAGUAUAAAAAACUUUACACGGUUAAUCAUAGAUUUUAAACUCCUAUAAUAUUAUAUAUAAAAAGUUAUACAUAAUCAUUAUUACAUCCGGUUUUCAUUGUAUUUAUUUAGAUUUUUUGUUUUUGUUUUUUUACUAAAUAAGAAUCAACAAUAAUUAGAUAUAAAUCAUAUAAUAAUAUUGUAUAAAAUGGUAUAAAUUCAGUUUAUACAUUUUUCUCUACCAUAAGGAUCAAUUUGAUUUGUGAUCACUAAAAAGAGUAAUAGUAGUUUUAAAAAAUUCAUCUGUAAAAAUUUGUUCUAAAUAAUUUUCAGAAAAAUGGACACAAUGAAAACUUUGACAAAAUGACGUGUGGAUUAUAUGAUGACCCUUUCUUAUACAAGUUAAUAUGUUGGAUGAAUAUAAUUUUCAAUGGUUGUUUUGCAAAAAAAAAUUCGGGAUUGAGGUGAGUGUAGAAAAAAAUCAUGGGACCAAGUUGAGUCUAUUAUACUUUUGGAGAAAAUUUCUAUUAUUAAAUGAAAUUUGUUGCAGAAAACAAUGGAUAUUUAUAAAAUGUACUUCAUAAAUAUUAAAUAAAGCUCACAAACAAUAAAGAAUGUGAUAGAAUAACAAAGGGUUGAAAAGACUAUAUUGCUAAUAUUGUUCAUGUUCUUUUAAUUACUUUUUAGAAAAUUAAUUAUUUUUAUUUAUAUGUUUCUUUAGAAGUGCAAGAUAAUCUUAAUUGUUGUUGUAAAGAUUUACUAGUAACUAUUUGGUUUAGUGGUGUAAAGUCUGACUAGAUCUCAAACUCGAGAGUUUGAUUUUUGUUAGCGACACUUAUUAUGAGAGGUAGAAAGUCACGAACCCCGAAAAUGAUUAAUUCUUUAUUAAAAAAGAUGAGAAAAUAUUUUUGGUAGUAUUAAAAAUAUAUAUAUUCAUACCUAAUUAAUGAAAGAUAUAAAUUUGAAUGAGUGCAAUUAUUAUAGAAAUGGUAAAAUAUUAAAUGUGAAUAUUAAUUACAUUUUUUUAAUUAUUCUGCUUUAACCUUAAAAGAGAAUUGAAUAGAAGGAUGUAAUAUGUGUCAGUAAGUUUGUUGAACACACUUUUUUUUAUAAUCAUCAAUUUUAUGAACAUUUAAUAAUUUAGAUUUACUUACUAAUUUAAAUCAUUAGAUUUUUUUAUAAUUAAUUAUUAAAAUAAAGAGUGAGUUUAAAAAACUUGGAGUAUGUGGUAUAUUAUAUGCACCGAAUAAUUGAAGAUGACGGAAGUCGGCAGAAAAAUAAUGAAUAUUGAUAGUUUGAGGUACAUUGUUGGAACUUGGUGGUCUAAUUAAAUAAAAAAGAUAGAUCAAACUAUGCAAUAACAAUGUCAUGUUCAUGUAUCUUUCGCUUUUAAUUAUAAUUAAAAUAAUAUCUCCUUUCUCCCAUAUAAUUUGAGGGCCCAUUUCUCCAAUAAUAUAGUUUUCUAGUAUAAUCAUUUGUUAUUGGAGUAUUCUGGUUCAGAGUUUAAAAAAAUAGGGUUUCAACUCCUUUUCAGAUGAUGACAAGAGUGGCACAAUUUUUUAAAUACAAAGUCUCAAAUAUGCAACAAUAAAAUAGUAGCCAAUCUUUUUCAGAUACGUGUAUUGUUUACAAGAGCCAUGUUUAAGUAUAUUUAUAAAAUAUUAAGUGCUAACAUGUAUUACCAUUUAUUAAAUAAUAUUUCAUUUCCUCGACAUUUAAAGAAUCUAAACAAUUAAACAUAAUGGGAUUAAAAUAAACUCAAUCAACAUUGAAAAUUAUAUUAAAGACAAAUGAAAAAAUAUGAGCGGAAAUAUGAUUUAAAAAUAAAAAGAUACUUAAAAAAUAAUAUGAAUGUGUAUUGAUUUUUUAAAAUAUCAAUCAAUUUGAAAAAAAUGAAAAAGUUAAAAUAUCGAAAUAUAUAUAAUGAAUAUAGUAACUAAAUGUCUAACUUACACAUAUCAUGUACCCAAAAAAAUUAAAAAUAUCAAUAAGAGUUUUCUUAAUUUUUUUAAAGAUACCAUAACAUUGUAAAUUUAUCUUCCUUGAUCUCUUUAGAAAAAUUCACAUAUUUUUUAUUUCUCAUUAAUGAAAAAAAUAACAAAUGUGAUAAAUAUUGUAUAAUAAUUAUGUCAUAUAUUUUAAAACAAAAAAAAUCAUAAAACCUUUUUUAUUUAUAAAAUGAGGUGAAUUUCCUCUAAAAUAUAGUAAAAUUUUGCAAAACAUUUUGUUGUUGUUGAAAAUAUCACCCAAGUUCCUUCCUAACCUCUAUUACACAAGUAGUUAAAAGUUAAAAGGACCAAGAUGUGAGAUGUUGAUAACAAAGGAUAAUUACUUAAUUGAAUUUUAGAAUUUAGCAAGCUUCAAGUUGAUAGUAAAUUAAGCUUUUUAUAGAUUGUCCUUUUUCAUUUCUUUUAAUAUUCUUUCCUCUAUGGGGCUCUUAGAUUAAGAACACCACAUUUCCCACUAUGCUUUGUUUCCAAUUUUCCAACCAUUACUUUUCUUUCAUAGAAAGUUGGUAUUUUCCUCUCCUACAAUUAAUUGCUGUAAUUUGUUUUUCUAGCUAGCUAGUUAUAGAAGAUGAUUCCUAUUGAUAUAAACUUGCAUUAUUACAAAAAGAAUAUAAUUAUGAGAUAUUAGUUAUGGAAAAUAUCUAACCCAAAAUUGUAUUAUCUUAAAGAGGAUUACAUGUUUCAAAGUCUAUGCCAAUUUCCUGUCCCCACCUUUAAAAAUUGAUACAUAAGAAAAUUAAAAAAAAUUAAAAACAAAAUGAUACAUCUUUAUAUUACUAAUUUAAAGUUGAUUAGACCGAGAUAGGGUUUUAGGGACAAAGUGUGAGAUAGAAGAUCUCCUCCCAUUACCUAAUAUUGUUAGCUAAGUCAUUGCUGAAAAAUUAACAAAAAAAACUUAUUGAGAUUAAAUUUGUCCACUCACUUCAUAAAGCUAUCAAUUCUUUAAGUACUUUUUUUUAAUCUUUCGGUAAAUUAUUGAGCUGGAAGUCAUAGGUUUUUAUCAUUUGUCAAUGGCUUUAACUACAUUAAGAAAAAGAAAAAGUAUCUGAUCUUAAGUUGGAUUUGAUCAAGAACCAUAAACAGAUCAAGGGAUUCAUAUUUAUUUUAGCUUUUGCUUUAGGGCGUUAAUAAAUGAUAUUUUCGGUGGAAAAUUAAACUUGUUUGUUAUUAAUUGGUUCCAUAUUACCGUUGAUUAAUCUUAAUGAUGUUCAUUUAUGAGCGUAGUGAAUUUGAAAUUUAAACAAUGAUUAAAGUAAAAUUUACAAACAUAAAGUUUGAAGAAAAAAUAAACAAACAUUUUGCAAAUAUAAUUAAAGCCAGCAUCAUGGAGUUGCAAAACGCCAUUUAUUCCAAGAGAGAAUAUAUUUAUUUUAUUAAUAUAUGUAAUUGAUUAUCUUACAAGUUACAACUCCUGGAAACACUGCAUGUUGUUUUAAUAGAAAAUAAGCAUCGCAUAAAAUGAAAAGCGUGUAACAUUAUUGCAACUAAAUUCUAUUAAUAGAAAAUAAAUUAACAUUUCUUAUGAACACAAAACGCUGAAACUUUGGUUCCAUUUCUUCUUAAUCUCUUUUUGUUUUGUGUAAUUGUGAAGCUUCUCUUCUUUCCAUCGCUUUCUUUUAUUCGUACAUCCUCCAUCUUCAUAUCAUAUCAUAUCCUAAACAACUUCAAAUGGCGAAAAUGAUGUUAUAUUGCAUGAAACAUUAAUGCAACAAUAAAAUGAUAUUUAUUAGUUCAAUAAACCUUACUUAGAAUCAAGAUUUUAAUGUAAAGUAGUGUUGAUAAAUUUGAAUUAACUAUGUAUUAUAUAUAAUAUUAUAGAUGGUAUGAAGAAGGUUACCAUAGAGAAUAAUAUUAGGUUAUCUAAUGGUGGUAAGGCGGAGGAGGUGAAGCAUAGUUGUAGGAGUGGACAGGAGGUGGAGGAGAUGGGUACUUGUAACUAGGCUUUUUGUGUGGUGGUGGUGGUGGUGGUGGUGGAGAAGCAUACUUGUAAGGCUUCUUAGGUGGUGGAGGAGAGUGGUAAACUGGGUGUGGGUGUACAUGCACCGGUGGAGGUGGUGGAGAUGGGUACUUAUAUGGUGGAGCCUUAUGAUGAGGUUGUGGUGGAGGAGAUUUGUAAUGGUAAGGAGUCUUUGGUGGGUAAACAUGCAGUGGUGGAGGGGGUGAUAGGUACUUGUAUGGUUUCUUAGGUGGUGGUGGUGGAGAAUGGUAAUGGUAUGGUGGAGCCUUCUUGGGAGGUGGUGGAGAAGGGUAGUGAUAAGGAGGAGGUGGUGAGUGUAAUGGUGGUGGUGGUGGUGAUGAAUAGAUGUAA